Molecule: long non-coding RNA, 112737 nt
Filed under: Arabidopsis thaliana (thale cress)
Lineage: Eukaryota; Viridiplantae; Streptophyta; Magnoliopsida; Brassicales; Brassicaceae
Description: long non-coding RNA (ATHA_LNC000153)
Source: RNAcentral
UGCAUUAGUGCUGGUAUGAUCGCAUCAGUUACUACAUGUAAUGCAAUCAUAUAUAUUCUUUUUUGAAGACUUUAUGAUCCAUUUGCCGUAGGUCCCACCAGCUAUGUAGGAAUACCCUAUCUUGUUUAUAAGAGCUUUGAUACAUGCAAAAUAUUCGAAAACAAUGUCCGAACAUAUAAUUUUUGUCCCGUAAUAUAGCAAAGAUCACGAAAAGGCCAGGAAAAAUACAUUUCGGUCAAAAUUUGGAGUAGAAAAAAAACCCUUCCUCAUUCAUUGGACAGCUCUCUUUGGGCUUUCCGAAAAGGUAUCACAUGCCAAGUUUGGCCUCACGGUCUAAACCUUAUAGACUCAUACAUUUUUCACGAAAAAAAGAAGAGAAAAACCAAAAAAAAGAGUGAUUAAACACGAGGACUUUCCUGGAGGUCACCCAUCCUAGUACUACUCUCGCCCAAGCACGCUUAACUGCGAAGUUCUGAUGGGAUCUGGUGCAUUAGUGCUGGUAUGAUCGCAUCUGUUACUACAUGCAAUGCAAUCGUAUCUAUUCUUUUUUGAAGAUUUUAUGAUUCAUUUACCGUGGGUCCCACCAGCUAUGUAGGAAUAACCUAUCUUAUUUAUAAAAGCUUUGAUACAUGCAAAAUAUUUGAAAACAAUGUCCGAACAUAUAAUGUUCGCCCCAAAAUAUAGCAAAGACCACAAAAAUGCCAUAAAAAGUACAUUAAGGUCAAAAUUAGGAGUAGGAAAAAAAUCAAUAGGAGAAUUCCAUUUUCCUUCCUUCAUUCAUCGGAGAGCUCUCUUUGGGCAUUCCAAAAAGGUAUCACACGCCAAGUUUGGCCUCACGGUCUAAAAGUUAUAGAGUAUUACAUUUUUAACAAAAAAAAAAGAGAAAAACCGAAAAAAAGAGGGAUGCAACACGAAGACUUUUCUGGAGGUCAUCCAUCCUAGUACUACUCUCGCCCAAGCACAUUUAACUGCGGUGUUCUGAUAGGAUCAAGUGCAUUAGUGCUGGUAUGAUCGCAUCAGUUACUACAUGCAAUGCAAUCAUAUAUAUUCUUUUUUGAAGACUUUAUGAUCCAUUUGCCGUAGGUCCCACCAGCUAUGUAGGAAUACCCUAUCUUGUUUAUAAGAGCUUUGAUAGAUGCAAAAUAUUCAAAAACAAUGUCCGAACAUAUAAUUUUUGUCCCGUAAUAUAGCAAAGAUCACGAAAAGGCCAGAAAAAAUACAUUUCGGUCAAAAUUUGGAGUAGAAAAAAAACCCUUCCUCAUUCAUUGGACAGCUCUCUUUGGGCUUUCCGAAAAGGUAUCACAUGCCAAGUUUGGCCUCACGGUCUAAACCUUAUAGACUCAUACAUUUUUCACAAAAAAAAGAAGAGAAAAACCAAAAAAAAGAGUGAUUAAACACGAGGACUUUCCUGGAGGUCACCCAUCCUAGUACUACUCUCGCCCAAGCACGCUUAACUGCGAAGUUCUGAUGGGAUCUGGUGCAUUAGUGCUGGUAUGAUCGCAUCUGUUACUACAUGCAAUGCAAUCGUAUCUAUUCUUUUUUGAAGAUUUUAUGAUUCAUUUACCGUGGGUCCCACCAGCUAUGUAGGACUAACCUAUCUUAUUUAUAAGAUCUUUGAUACAUGCAAAAUAUUGGAAAACAAUGUCCGAACAUAUAAUGUUCGCCCCAAAAUAUAGCAAAGACCACAAAAAUGCCAUAAAAAAUACAUUAAGGUCAAAAUUUGGAGUAGGAAAAAAAUCAAUAGGAGAAUUCCAUUUUCCUUCCCUCAUUCAUCGGAGAGCUCUCUUUGGGCAUUCCAAAAAGGUAUCACAUGCCAAGUUUGGCCUCACGGUCUAAAAGUUAUAGAGUAUUACAUUUUUAACAAAAAAAANNNNNNNNNNNNNNNNNNNNNNNNNNNNNNNNNNNNNNNNNNNNNNNNNNAAAAAAAAGAGUGAUUAAACACGAGGACUUUCCUGGAGGUCACCCAUCCUAGUACUACUCUCGCCCAAGCACGCUUAACUGCGAAGUUCUGAUGGGAUCUGGUGCAUUAGUGCUGGUAUGAUCGCAUCUGUUACUACAUGCAAUGAAAUCGUAUCUAUUCUUUUUUGAAGAUUUUAUGAUUCAUUUACCGUGGGUCCCACCAGCUAUGUAGGAAUAACCUAUCUCGUUUAUAAGAGCUUUGAUACAUGCAAAAUAUUCGAAAACAAUGUCCGAACAUAUAAUGUUUGCCCCAAAAUAUAGAAAAGACCACGAAAAUGCCAUAAAAAGUACAUUAAGGUCAAAAUUUGGAGUAGGAAAAAAAAUCAAUAGGAGAAUUCCAUUUUCCUUCCUCAUUCAUCGGAGAGCUCUCUUUGGGCAUUCCAUAAAGGUAUCACAUGCCAAGUUUGGCCUCACGGUCUAAAAGUUAUAGAGUAAUACAUUUUUAACAAAAAAAAAAGAGAAAAACCGAAAAAAAGAGGGAUGCAACACGAAGACUUUUCUGGAGGUCACCCAUCCUAGUACUACUCUCCCACAAGCACGCUUAACUGUGGUGUUCUGAUAGGAUCAAGUGCAUUAGUGCUGGUAUGAUCGCAUCAGUUACUACAUGUAAUGCAAUCAUAUAUAUUCUUUUUUGAAGACUUUAUGAUCCAUUUGCCGUAGGUCCCACCAGUUAUGUAGGAAUACCCUAUCUCGUUUAUAAGAGCUUUGAUACAUGCAAAAUAUUCGAAAACAAUGUCCGAACAUAUAAUGUUUGCCCCAAAAUAUAGCAAAGACCACGAAAAUGCCAUAAAAAGUACAUUAAGGUCAAAAUUUGGAGUAGGAAAAAAAAUCAAUAGGAGAAUUCCAUUUUCCUUCCUCAUUCAUGGGAGAGCUCUCUUUGGGCAUUCCAAAAAGGUAUCACAUGCCAAGUUUGGCCUCACGGCCUAAAAGUUAUAGAGUAAUACAUUUUUAACAAAAAAAAAAGAGAAAAACCGAAAAAAAGAGGGAUGCAACACGAAGACUUUUCUGGAGGUCACCCAUCCUAGUACUACUCUCCCCCAAGCACGCUUAACUGUGGUGUUCUGAUAGGAUCAAGUGCAUUAGUGCUGGUAUGAUCGCAUCAGUUACUACAUGCAAUGCAAUCAUAUAUAUUCUUUUUUGAAGACUUUAUGAUCCAUUUGCCGUAGGUCCCACCAGCUAUGUAGGAAUACCCUAUCUUGUUUAUAAGAGCUUUGAUACAUGCAAAAUAUUCGAAAACAAUGUCCGAACAUAUAAUUUUUGUCCCGUAAUAUAGCAAAGAUCACGAAAAGGCCAGGAAAAAUACAUUUCGGUCAAAAUUUGGAGUAGAAAAAAAACCCUUCCUCAUUCAUUGGACAGCUCUCUUUGGGCUUUCCGAAAAGGUAUCACAUGCCAAGUUUGGCCUCACGGUCUAAACCUUAUAGACUCAUACAUUUUUCACAAAAAAAAGAAGAGAAAAACCAAAAAAAAGAGUGAUUAAACACGAGGACUUUCCUGGAGGUCACCCAUCCUAGUACUACUCUCGCCCAAGCACGCUUAACUGCGAAGUUCUGAUGGGAUCUGGUGCAUUAGUGCUGGUAUGAUCGCAUCUGUUACUACAUGCAAUGCAAUCGUAUCUAUUCUUUUUUGAAGAUUUUAUGAUUCAUUUACCGUGGGUCCCACCAGCUAUGUAGGACUAACCUAUCUUAUUUAUAAGAUCUUUGAUACAUGCAAAAUAUUGGAAAACAAUGUCCGAACAUAUAAUGUUCGCCCCAAAAUAUAGCAAAGACCACAAAAAUGCCAUAAAAAAUACAUUAAGGUCAAAAUUUGGAGUAGGAAAAAAAUCAAUAGGAGAAUUCCAUUUUCCUUCCCUCAUUCAUCGGAGAGCUCUCUUUGGGCAUUCCAAAAAGGUAUCACAUGCCAAGUUUGGCCUCACGGUCUAAAAGUUAUAGAGUAUUACAUUUUUAACAAAAAAAAACGAGAAAAACCGAUAAAAAGAGGGAUGCAACACCAAGACUUUUCUGGAGGUCACCCAUCCUAGUACUACUCUCCCCCAAGCACGCUUAACUGUGGUGUUCUGAUAGGAUCAAGUGCAUUAGUGCUGGUAUGAUCGCAUCAGUUACUACAUGCAAUGCAAUCAUAUAUAUUCUUUUUUGAAGACUUUAUGAUCCAUUUGCCGUAGGUCCCACCAGCUAUGUAGGAAUACCCUUUCUUGUUUAUAAGAGCUUUGAUACAUGCAAAAUAUUCGAAAACAAUGUCCGAACAUAUAAUUUUUGUCCCGUAAUAUAGCAAACAUCACGAAAAGGCCAGAAAAAAUACAUUUCGGUCAAAAUUUGGAGUAGAAAAAAAACCCUUCCUCAUUCAUUGGACAGCUCUCUUUGGGCUUUCCAAAAAGGUAUCACAUGCCAAGUUUGGCCUCACGGUCUAAACCUUAUAGACUCAUACAUUUUUCACAAAAAAAAGAAGAGAAAAACCAAAAAAAAGAGUGAUUAAACACGAGGACUUUCUUGGAGGUCACCCAUCCUAGUACUACUCUCGCCCAAGCACGCUUAACUGCGAAGUUCUGAUGGGAUCUGGUGCAUUAGUGCUGGUAUGAUCGCAUCUGUUACUACAUGCAAUGAAAUCGUAUCUAUUCUUUUUUGAAGAUUUUAUGAUUCAUUUACCGUGGGUCCCACCAGCUAUGUAGAAAUAACCUAUCUUAUUUAUAAGAGCUUUGAUACAUGUAAAAUAUUCGAAAACAAUGUCCGAACAUAUAAUGUUCGCCCCAAAAUAUAGCAAAGACCACAAAAAUGCCAUAAAAAGUACAUUAAGGUCAAAAUUUGGAGUAGGAAAAAAAUCAAUAAGAGAAUUCCAUUUUCCUUCCCUCAUUCAUCGGAGAUCUCUCUUUGGGCAUUCCAAAAAGGUAUCACAUGCCAAGUUUGGCCUCACGGUCUAAACGUUAUAGAGUAAUACAUUUUUAACAAAAAAAAAAGAGAAAAACCGAAAAAAAGAGGGAUGCAACACGAAGACUUUUCUGGAGGUCACCCAUCCUAGUACUACUCUCCCCCAAGCACGCUUAACUGUGGUGUUCUGAUAGGAUCAAGUGCAUUAGUGCUGGUAUGAUCGCAUCAGUUACUACAUGCAAUGCAAUCAUAUAUAUUCUUUUUUGAAGACUUUAUGAUCCAUUUGCCGUAGGUCCCACCAGCUAUGUAGGAAUACCCUUUCUUGUUUAUAAGAGCUUUGAUACAUGCAAAAUAUUCGAAAACAAUGUCCGAACAUAUUAUUUUUGUCCCGUAAUAUAGCAAAGAUCACGAAAAGGCCAGGAAAAAUACAUUUCGGUCAAAAUUUGGAGUAGAAAAAAAACCCUUCCUCAUUCAUUCGACAGCUCUCUUUGAGCUUUCCGAAAAGGUAUCACAUGCCAAGUUUGGCCUCACGGUCUAAACCUUAUAGACUCAUACAUUUUUCACAAAAAAAAAGAAGAGAAAAACCAAAAAAUAGAGUGAUUAAACGCGAGGACUUUCCUGGAGGUCACCCAUCCUAGUACUACUCUCGCCCAAGCACGCUUAACUGCGAAGUUCUGAUGGGAUCUGGUGCAUUAGUGCUGGUAUGAUCGCAUCUGUUACUACAUGCAAUGAAAUCGUAUCUAUUCUUUUUUGAUGAUUUUAUGAUUCAUUUACCGUGGGUCCCAGCAGCUAUGUAGGAAUAACCCAUCCUUGUUUAUAAGAGCUUUCAUACAUGCAAAAUAUUCAAAAACAAUGUCCGAACAUAUAAUUUUUGUCCGGUAAUAUUGCAAAGAUCACGAAAAGGCCAGAAAAAAUACAUUUCGGUCAAAAUUUGGAGUAGAAAAAAAACCCUUCCUCAUUCAUUGGACAGCUCUCUUUGGGUUUUCCGAAAAGGUAUCACAUGCCAAGUUUGGCCUCACGGUCUAAACCUUAUAGACUCAUACAUUUUUCACAAAAAAAAGAAGAGAAAAACCAAAAAAAAGAGUGAUUAAACACGAGGACUUUCCUGGAGGUCACCCAUCCUAGUACUACUCUCGCCCAAGCACGCUUAACUGCGAAGUUCUGAUGGGAUCUGGUGCAUUAGUGCUGGUAUGAUCGCAUCUGUUACUACAUGCAAUGCAAUCAUAUCUAUUCUUUUUUGAAGAUUUUAUGAUUCAUUUACCGUGGGUCCCACCAGCUAUGUAGGAAUAACCUAUCUUAUUUAUAAAAGCUUUGAUACAUGCAAAAUAUUCGAAAACAAUGUCCGAACAUAUAAUGUUCGCCCCAAAAUAUAGCAAAGACCACAAAAAUGCCAUAAAAAGUACAUUAAGGUCAAAAUUUGGAGUAGGAAAAAAAUCAAUAGGAGAAUUCCAUUUUCCUUCCCUCAUUCAUCGGAGAGCUCUCUUUGGGCAUUCCAAAAAGGUAUCACAUGCCAAGUUUGGCCUUACGGUCUAAAAGUUAUAGAGUAAUACAUUUUUAACAAAAAAAAAAGAAAAAAACCGAAAACAAAGAGGGAUGCAACACGAAGACUUUCCUGGAGGUCACCCAUCCUAGUACUACUCUCGCCCAAGCACACUUAACUGCGGUGUUCUGAUAGGAUCAAGUGCAUUAGUGCUGGUAUGAUCGCAUCAGUUACUACAUGCAAUGCAAUCAUAUAUAUUCUUUUUUGAAGACUUUAUGAUCCAUUUGCCGUAGGUCCCACCAGCUAUGUAGGAAUACCCUAUCUCGUUUAUAAGAGCUUUGAUACAUGCAAAAUAUUCGAAAACAAUGUCCGAACAUAUAAUUUUUGUCCCGUAAUAUAGCAAAGAUCACGAAAAGGCCAGAAAAAAUACAUUUCGGUCAAAAUUUGGAGUAGAAAAAAAACCCUUCCUCAUUCAUUGGACAGCUCUUUUUGGGCUUUCCGAAAAGGUAUCACAUGCCAAGUUUGGCCUCACGGUCUAAACCUUAUAGACUCAUACAUUUUUCACAAAAAAAAGAAGAGAAAAACCAAAAAAAAGAGUGAUUAAACACGAGGACUUUCCUGGAGGUCACCCAUCCUAGUACUACUCUCGCCCAAGCACGCUUAACUGCGAAGUUCUGAUGGGAUCUGGUGCAUUAGUGCUGGUAUGAUCGCAUCUGUUACUACAUGCAAUGCAAUCGUAUCUAUUCUUUUUUGAAGAUUUUAUGAUUCAUUUACCGUGGGUCCCACCAGNNNNNNNNNNNNNNNNNNNNNNNNNNNNNNNNNNNNNNNNNNNNNNNNNNUCACGGUUUAAAAGUUAUAGAGUCAUACAUUUUUCCCAAAAAAACCAAGAGAAAACCAAAAAAAAAGAGUGAUGAAACACGAGGACUUUCCUGGAGGUCACCCAUCCUAGUACUACUCUCGCCCAAGCACGCUUAACUGCGAAGUUCUGAUGGGAUCUGGUGCAUUAGUGCUGGUAUGAUCGCAUCAGUUACUACAUGCAAUGCAAUCGUAUAUAUUCUUUUUUGAAGACUUUAUGAUCCAUUUGUCGUAGGUCCCACCAGUUAUGUAGGAAUACCCUAUCUCGUUUAUAAGAGCUUUGAUACAUGCAAAAUAUUCGAAAACAAUGUCCGAACAUAUAAUGUUUGCCCCAAAAUAUAGCAAAGACCACGAAAAUGCCAUAAAAAGUACAUUAAGGUCAAAAUUUGGAGUAGGAAAAAAAUCAAUAGGAGAAUUCCAUUUUCCUUCCUCAUUCAUUGGAGAGCUCUCUUUGGGCAUUCCAAAAAGGUAUCACAUGGCAAGUUUGGCCUCACGGUCUAAAAGUUAUAGAGUAAUACAUUUUUAACAAAAAAAAAAGAGAAAAACCGAAAAAAAGAGGGAUGCAACACGAAGACUUUUCUGGAGGUCACCCAUCCUAGUACUACUCUCCCCCAAGCACGCUUAACUGUGGUGUUCUGAUAGGAUCAAGUGCAUUAGUGCUGGUAUGAUCGCAUCAGUUACUACAUGCAAUGCAAUCAUAUAUAUUCUUUUUUGAAGACGUUAUGAUCCAUUUGCCGUAGGUCCCACCAGCUAUGUAGGAACACCCUAUCUUGUUUAUAAGAGCUUUGAUACAUGCAAAAUAUUCGAAAACAAUGUCCGAACAUAUAAUUUUUGUCCCGUAAUAUAGCAAAGAUCACGAAAAGGCCAGAAAAAAUACAUUUCGGUCAAAAUUUGGAGUAGAAAAAAAACCCUUCCUCAUUCAUUGGACAGCUCUCUUUGGGCUUUCCGAAAAGGUAUCACAUGCCAAGUUUGGCCUCACGGUCUAAAAGUUAUAGAGUCAUACAUUUUUCACAAAAAAAACAAGAGAAAAACAAAAAAAAAGAGUGAUGAAACACGAGGACUUUCCUGGAGGUCACCCAUCCUAGUACUACUCUCGCCCAAGCACGCUUAACUGCGAAGUUCUGAUGGGAUCUGGUGCAUUAGUGCUGGUAUGAUCGCAUCUGUUACUACAUGCAAUGCAAUCGUAUAUAUUCUUUUUUGAAGACUUUAUGAUCCAUUUGUCGUAGGUCCCACCAGUUAUGUAGGAAUACCCUAUCUCGUUUAUAAGAGCUUUGAUACAUGCAAAAUAUUCGAAAACAAUGUCCGAACAUAUAAUGUUUGCCCCAAAAUAUAGCAAAGACCACGAAAAUGCCAUAAAAAGUACAUUAAGGUCAAAAUUUGGAGUAGGAAAAAAAAUCAAUAGGAGAAUUCCAUUUUCCUUCCUCAUUCAUUGGAGAGCUCUCUUUGGGCAUUCCAAAAAGGUAUCACAUGCCAAGUUUGGCCUCACGGUCUAAAAGUUAUAGAGUAAUACAUUUUUAACAAAAAAAAAAGAGAAAAACCGAAAAAAAGAGGGAUGCAACACGAAGACUUUUCUGGAGGUCACCCAUCCUAGUACUACUCUCCCCCAAGCACGCUUAACUGUGGUGUUCUGAUAGGAUCAAGUGCAUUAGUGCUGGUAUGAUCGCAUCAGUUACUACAUGCAAUGCAAUCAUAUAUAUUCUUUUUUGAAGACUUUAUGAUCCAUUGUCGUAGGUCCCACCAGCUAUGUAGGAAUACCCUUUCUUGUUUAUAAGAGCUUUGAUACAUGGAAAAUAUUCGAAAACAAUGUCCGAACAUAUAAUUUUUGUCCCGUAAUAUAGCAAAGAUCACGAAAAGGCCAGAAAAAAUACAUUUCGGUCAAAAUUUGGAGUAGAAAAAAAGCCCUUCCUCAUUCAUUGGACAGCUCUCUUUGGGCUUUCCGAAAAGGUAUCACAUGCCAAGUUUGGCCUCACGGUCUAAACCUUAUAGACUCAUACAUUUUUCACAAAAAAAAGAAGAGAAAAGCCAAAAAAAAAGAGUGAUUAAACACGAGGACUUUCCUGGAGGUCACCCAUCCUAGUACUACUCUCGCCCAAGCACGCUUAACUGCGAAGUUCUGAUGGGAUCUGGUGCAUUAGUGCUGGUAUGAUCGCAUCUGUUACUACAUGCAAUGAAAUCGUAUCUAUUCUUUUUUGAAGAUUUUAUGAUUCAUUUACCGUGGGUCCCACCAGCUAUGUAGGAAUAACCUAUCUUAUUUAUAAGAUCUUUGAUACAUGCAAAAUAUUGGAAAACAAUGUCCGAACAUAUAAUGUUCGCCCCAAAAUAUAGCAAAGACCACAAAAAUGCCAUAAAAAGUACAUUAAGGUCAAAAUUUGGAGUAGGAAAAAAACCAAUAAGAGAAUUCCAUUUUCCUUCCCUCAUUCAUCGGAGAUCUCUCUUUGGGCAUUCCAAAAAGGUAUCACAUGCCAAGUUUGGCCUCACGGUCUAAAAGUUAUAGAGUAAUACAUUUUUAACAAAAAAAAAAAGAGAAAAACCGAAAAAAAGAGGGAUGCAACACGAAGACUUUUCUGGAGGUCACCCAUCCUAGUACUACUCUCCCCCAAGCACGCUUAACUGUGGUGUUCUGAUAGGAUCAAGUGCAUUAGUGCUGGUAUGAUCGCAUCAGUUACUACAUGUAAUGCAAUCAUAUAUAUUCUUUUUUGAAGACUUUAUGAUCCAUGUGCCGUAGGUCCCACCAGCUAUGUAGGAAUACCCUAUCUCAUUUAUAAGAGCUUUGAUACAUGCAAAAUAUUCGAAAACAAUGUCCGAACAUAUAAUGUUUGCCCCAAAAUAUAGCAAAGACCACGAAAAUGCCAUAAAAAGUACAUUAAGGUCAAAAUUUGGAGUAGGAAAAAAAAUCAAUAGGAGAAUUCCAUUUUCCUUCCUCAUUCAUUGGAGAGCUCUCUUUGGGCAUUCCAAAAAGGUAUCACAUGGCAAGUUUGGCCUCACGGUCUAAAAGUUAUAGAGUAAUACAUUUUUAACAAAAAAAAAAGAGAAAAACCGAAAAAAAGAGGGAUGCAACACGAAGACUUUUCUGGAGGUCACCCAUCCUAGUACUACUCUCCCCCAAGCACGCUUAACUGUGGUGUUCUGAUAGGAUCAAGUGCAUUAGUGCUGGUAUGAUCGCAUCAGUUACUACAUGCAAUGCAAUCAUAUAUAUUCUUUUUUGAAGACGUUAUGAUCCAUUUGCCGUAGGUCCCACCAGCUAUGUAGGAACACCCUAUCUUGUUUAUAAGAGCUUUGAUACAUGCAAAAUAUUCGAAAACAAUGUCCGAACAUAUAAUUUUUGUCCCGUAAUAUAGCAAAGAUCACGAAAAGGCCAGAAAAAAUACAUUUCGGUCAAAAUUUGGAGUAGAAAAAAAACCCUUCCUCAUUCAUUGGACAGCUCUCUUUGGGCUUUCCGAAAAGGUAUCACAUGCCAAGUUUGGCCUCACGGUCUAAAAGUUAUAGAGUCAUACAUUUUUCACAAAAAAAACAAGAGAAAAACAAAAAAAAAGAGUGAUGAAACACGAGGACUUUCCUGGAGGUCACCCAUCCUAGUACUACUCUCGCCCAAGCACGCUUAACUGCGAAGUUCUGAUGGGAUCUGGUGCAUUAGUGCUGGUAUGAUCGCAUCUGUUACUACAUGCAAUGCAAUCGNNNNNNNNNNNNNNNNNNNNNNNNNNNNNNNNNNNNNNNNNNNNNNNNNNUAUGAUCGCAUGUGUUACUACAUGCAAUGUAAUCGUAUCUAUUCUUUUUUAAAGACUUUAUGAUCCAUUUGCCGUGAGUCCCACCAGCUAUGUAGGAAUAUUCUAUCUUCUUUAUAAGAGCUUUGAUACAUGCAAAAUACNUGGAAAACAAUGUCCGAACAUAUAAUUUUCCCCCCGUAAUAUAGCANAGAUCACGAAAAGGCCCGAAAAAGUACAUUUAGUUCANAAUUUGGAGUAGAAAAAAAAACAAUAGAAGAAUUCCAUUUUCCUUCCUCAAUCAUCGGAGAGCUCUCUUUGGGCUUUCCGAAAAGGUAUCUCAUGCCAAGUUUGGCCUCACGAACUAAAAGUUAUAGAGUCAUACAUUUUUAACAAAACAAAAUAGAGAAAAACCGAAAAAAGAGGGAUGCAACACAAGGACUUUCCGGGAGGUCACCCAUCCUAGUACUACUCUCGCCCAAGCACCCUUAACUGCGGAGUUCUGAUGGGAUCCGGUGCAUUAGUGCUGGUAUGAUCGCCCGUGUUACUACAUGCAAUGCAAUCGUAUCUAUUCUUUUUUAAAGAUUUUAUGAUCCAUUUGCCGUGGGUCCCACCAGCUAUGUAGGAAUACCCUAUCUUCUUUAUAAGAGGUUUGAUACAUACAAAAUAUUGGAUCACAAUGUCAGAACAUAUAAUUUUCCCCCCUUAAUAUAGCAAAGAUCACUAAAAGGCCCGAAAAAAUACAUUUAGUUCAAAAUUUGGAGUAGAAAAAAAAACAAUAGAAGAAUUCCAUUUUCCUUCCUCAGUUAUCGGAGAACUCUCUUUGGGCUUUCCGAAAAGGUAUCACAUGCCAAGUUUGGCCUCACGGUCUAAAAGAUAUAGAGUCAUACAUUAUUAACAAAACAAAAUAGAGAAAAACCGAAAAAAAGAAGGAUGCAACACGAGGACUUUGCGGGAGGUAAUCUAUCCUAGUACUACUCUCGCCCAAGCACCCUUAACUGCGGAGUUCUGAUGGGAUCCGGUGCAUUAGUGCUGGUAUGAUCGCAUGUGUUACUACAUGCAAUGUAAUCGUAUCUAUUCUUUUUUAAAGACUUUAUGAUCCAUUUGCCGUGGGUCCCACCAGCUAUGUAGGAAUACUCUAUCUACUUUAUAAGAGCUUUGAUACAUGCAGAAUAUUGGAAAACAACGUCCGAACAUAUAAUUUCCCCCCCCCCCCCCGUAAUAUAGCAAAAAUCACGAAAAGGCCCGAAAAAGUACAUUUAGUUCAAAAUUUGGAGUAGAAAAAAAAACAAUAGAAGAAUUUCAUUUUCCUUCCUCAGUCAUCGGAGAGCUCUCUUUGGGCUUUCCAAAAAGGUAUCACAUGCCAAGUUUGGCCUCACAGUCUAAAAGUUAUAGAGUCAUACAUUUUUAACAAAACAAAAUAGAGAAAAACCGAAAAAAAGAGGGAUGCAACACGAGGACUUUCCGGGAGGUAAUCUAUCCUAGUACUACUCUCGCCCAAGCACCCUUAACUGCGGAGUUCUGAUGGGAUCCGGUGCAGUAGUGCUGGUAUGAUUGCAUGUGUUACUACAUGCAAUGUAAUCGUAUCUAUUCUUUUUUAAAGACUUUAUGAUCCAUUUGCCGUGAGUCCCACCAGCUAUGUAGGAAUAUUCUAUCUUCUUUAUAAGAGCUUUGAUACAUGCAAAAUACUGGAAAACAGUGUCCGAACAUAUAAUUUUCCCCCCGUAAUAUAGCAAAGAUCACGAAAAGGCCCGAAAAAGUACAUUUAGUUCAAAAUUUGGAGUAGAAAAAAAAACAAUAGAAGAAUUCCAUUUUCCUUCCUCAAUCAUCGGAGAGCUCUCUUUGGGCUUUCCGAAAAGGUAUCUCAUGCCAAGUUUGGCCUCACGAACUAAAAGUUAUAGAGUCAUACAUUUUUAACAAAACAAAAUAGAGAAAAACCGAAAAAAGAGGGAUGCAACACAAGGACUUUCCAGGAGGUCACCCAUCCUAGUACUACUCUCGCCCAAGCACCCUUAACUGCGGAGUUCUGAUGGGAUCCGGUGCAUUAGUGCUGGUAUGAUCGCAUGUGUUACUACAUGCAAUGUAAUCGUAUCUAUUCUUUUUUAAAGAUUUUAUGAUCCAUUUGCCGUGGGUCCCACCAGCUAUGUAGGAAUACCCUAUCUUCUUUAUAAGAGCUUUGAUACAUACAAAAUAUUGGAUCACAAUGUCAGAACAUAUAAUUUUCCCCCCUUAAUAUAGCAAAGAUCACUAAAAGGCCCGAAAAAAUACAUUUAGUUCAAAAUUUGGAGUAGAAAAAAAAACAAUAAAAGAAUUCCAUUUUCCUUCCUCAGUUAUCGGAGAACUCUCUUUGGGCUUUCCGAAAAGGUAUCACAUGCCAAGUUUGGCCUCACGGUCUAAAAGAUAUAGAGUCAUACAUUAUUAACAAAACAAAAUAGAGAAAAACCGAAAAAAAUAGGGAUGCAACACGAGGACUAUCCUGGAGGUCACCCAUCCUAGUACUAAUCUCGCCCAACCACCCUUAACUGCGUAGUUCUGAUGGGAUCCGAUGCAUUAGUGCUGGUAUGAUCGCAUUUGUUACUAUAUGCAAUAUAAUCGUAUCUAUUCUUUUUUAAAGACUUUAUGAUCCAUUUGCCGUGGGUCCCACCAGCUAUGUAGGAUACCCUAUCUUCAUAAUAAGAGCUUUGAUAAAUGCAAAAUAUUGGAAAACAAUGUCCGAACAUAUAAUUUCCCCCCCCCCCCCCGGUAAUAUAGCAAAGAUCACGAAAUAGCCCAAAAAAGUACAUUUAGGUCAAAAUUUGAGUAGAAAAAAAACAAAUAGAGGAAUUCCAUUUUCCGUCCUCAUUCAUCGGAGAGCUCUCUUUCGGCUUUCCGAAAAGGUAUCACAUGCCAAGUUUGGCCUCACGGUCUAAAAGUUAUAGAGUCAUACAUUUUAAACAAAACAAAAUAGAGAAAAACCGAAAAAAAGAAGGAUGCAACACGAGGACUUUCCGGGAGGUCACCCAUCCUAGUACUACUCUCGCCCAAGCACCCUUAACUGCGGAGUUCUGAUGGGAUCAGGUGCAUUAGUGCUGGUAUGAUCGCAUGUGGUACUACAUGCAAUGUAAUCGUAUAUAUUCUUUUUUAAAGACUUUAUGAUCCAUUUGCCGUGGGUCCCACCAGCUAUGUAGGAAUACCCUAUCUUCUUUAUAAGAGCUUUGAUACAUGCAAAAUAUUUGAAAACAAUGUCCGAACAUAUAAUUUUCCCCCCGUUAUAUAGCAAAGAUCACGAAAAGGCCCGAAAAAGUACAUUUAGUUCAAAAUUUGGAGUAGAAAAAAAGACAAUAGAAGAAUUUCAUUUUCCUUCCUCAGUAAUCGGAGAGCUCUCUUUGGGCUUUCCGAAAAGGUAUCACAUGCCAAGUUUGGCUUCACGGUAUAAAAGUUAUAGAGUCAUACAUUUUUAACAAAAAAAAACUAGAAAAACAGAAAAAAAGAGGGAUGCAAUACGAGGACUUUCCAGGAGGUCACCCAUCCUAGUACAACUCUCGCCGAAGCACGCUUAACUGCGGUGUUCAGAUGGGAUCUGGUGCAUUAGUGCUGGUAUGAUGGCAUUUGUUACUACAUGCAAUGCAAUCGUAUCUAUUCUUUUGUAAAGACUUUAUGAUCCAUUUGCCGUGGGUUCCACCAGCUAUGUAGGAAUACCCUAUCUUGUUUAUAAGAGAUUUGAUACAUGCAAAAUAUUCGAACACAAUGUCCGAACAUAUAAUUUUUGCCCCGUAAUAUAGCAAAGAUCACGAAAAGGCCCGAAAAAGUACAUUAAGGUCAAAAUUUGGAGUAGAAAAAAAACACAAUAGAAGUAUUCCAUUGUCCUUCGUCAUUCAUCGAAGAGCUCUCUUUGGGCUUUUCGAAAUGAUAUCAUAUGCCAAGUUUGGCCUCACGGUCUAAAAUUUAUAGAGUCAUACAUUUUUAACAAAACAAAAAGAGAAAAACCGAAAAAAAGAGGGAUGCAACACGAGGACUUUCCUGGAGGUCACCCAUCCUAGUACUACUCUCGCCCAAGCACCCUUAACUGCGUAGUUCUGAUGGGAUCCGAUGCAUUAGUGCUGGUAUGAUCGAAUCUGUUACUACAUGUAAUGCAAUCAUAUAUAUUCUUUUUUGAAGACUUUAUGAUCCAUUUGCCGUAGGUCCCACCAGCUAUGUAGGAAUACCCUAUCUCGUUUAUAAGAGCUUUGAUACAUGCAAAAUAUUCGAAAACAAUGUCCGAACAUAUAAUGUUUGCCCCAAAAUAUAGCAAAGACCACGAAAAUGCCAUAAAAAGUACAUUAAGGUCAAAAUUUGGAGUAGGAAAAAAAAUCAAUAGGAGAAUUCCAUUUUCCUUCCUCAUUCAUCGGAGAGCUCUCUUUGGGCAUUCCAAAAAGGUAUGACAUGCCAAGUUUGGCCUCACGGUCUAAAAGUUAUAGAGUAAUACAUUUUUAACAAAAAAAAAAGAGAANAAACCGAAAAAAAGAGGGAUGCAACACGAAGACUUUUCUGGAGGUCAUCCAUCCUAGUACUACUCUCCCCCAAGCACGCUUAACUGUGGUGUUCUGAUAGGAUCAAGUGCAUUAGUGCUGGUAUGAUCGCAUCAGUUACUACAUGCAAUGCAAUCAUAUAUAUNNNNNNNNNNNNNNNNNNNNNNNNNNNNNNNNNNNNNNNNNNNNNNNNNNAAAGUCAAAAUUUGGAGUAGAAAAAAACCCAAUAGAAGUAUUCCAUUCUCCUUCGUCAUUCAUCGGAGAGCUCUCUUUAGGCUUUCCGAAAAGAUAUCACAUGCCAAGUUUGGCCUCACGGUUUAAAAGUUAUAGAGUCAUAGAUUUUUAACAAAACAAAAAGAGAAAAACCGAAAAAAAUUGGGAUGCAACACGAGGACUUUCCUGGAGGUCACCCAUCCUAGUACUACUCUCGCCCAAGCACCCUUAACUGCGUAGUUCUGAUGGGAUCCGAUGCUNUAGUGCUGGUAUGAUCGCAUCUGUUACUACAUGCAAUGUAAUCGUAUCUAUUCUUUNUUAAAGACUUUAUGAUCCAUUUGCCGUGGGUCCCACCAGCUAUGUAGGAAUACCCUAUCUUCUNUAUAAGAGCNUUUGAUAAAUGCANAAUAUUGGAAACCAAUGUCCGAACAUAUAAUUUCGCCCCCGUAAUAUAGCANAGAUCACGAAAAAGCCCAAAAAAGUUCAUUUAGGUCAAAAUUUGAGCAGAAGAAAAAGAAAUAGAAGAAUUCCAUUUUCCUUCCUCAUUUAUUGGAGAGCUCUCUUUGGGCUUUCCGAAAAGGUAUCACAUGCCAAGUUUGGCCUCACGGUCUAAAAGUUAUAGAGUCAUACAUUUUUAACAAAAUGAAAUAGAGAAAAACCGAAAAAAAGAGGGAUGUAACACGAGGACUUUCCGGGAGGUAAUCUAUCCUACUACUACUCUCGGCCAAGCACCCUUAACUGCGGAGUUCUAAUGGGAUCCGGUGCAUUAGUGCUGGUAUGAUCGCAUGUGUUACUACAUGCAAUGUAAUCGUAUCUAUUCUUUUUUAAAGACUUUAUGAUCCAUUUGCCGUGGGUCCCACCAGCUAUGUAGGAAUACCCUAUCUUCUUUAUAAGAGCUUUGAUACAUGCAAAAUAUAUGAAAAAAACGUCCGAACAUAUAAUUUUCCCCCCGUAAUAUAGCAAAGAUCAUGAAAAGGCCCAAAAAAGUACAUUAAUGUCAAAAUUUGGCGUAGAAAAAAAACCAAUAGACAUAUUCCAUUGUCCUUCGUCAUUCAUUGAAGAGCUCUCUUUGGGCUUUCCGAAAAGGUAUCACAUGCCAAGUUUGGCCUCACGGUCUAAAAGUUAUAGAGUCAUACAUUUUUAACAAUACAAAAUAGAGAAAAACCGAAAAAAAGAGGGAUGCAACACGAGGACUUUCCGGGAGGUAAUCCAUCCUAGUACUACUCUCGCCCAAGCACCCUUAACUGCGGAGUUCUGAUGGGACCCGGUGCAUUAGUGCUGGUAUGAUCGCAUCUGUUACUAUAUGCAAUGUAAUCGUAUCUAUUCUUUUUUAAAGACUUUAUGAUCCAUUUGCCGUGGGUCCCACCAGCUAUGUAGGAAUACCCUAUCUUCUUUAUAAGAGCUUUGAUAUAUGCAAAAUAUUGGAACACCAUGUCCGAACAUAUAAUUUUUCCCGUGUAAUAUAGCAAAGAUCAAGAAAAAGAAAAAAAAGUACAUUUAGGUCAAAAUUUGAGUAGAAAAAAACAAAUAGAAGAAUUCCAUUUUCCUUCCUCAUUCAGCUGAGAGCUCUCUUUGGGCUUUCCGAAAAGGUAUCAUAUGCCAAGUUUGGCCUCACAGUGUAAAAGUUAUAGAGUCUAACAUUUUUAACAAAACAAAAUAGAGAAAAACCAAAAAAAGAGGGAUGCAACACGAGGACUUUCUGGGAGGUCACCCAUCCUAGUACUACUCUCGCCCAAGCACCCUUAACUGCGGAGUUCUGAUGGGAUCCGGUGCAUUAGUGCUGGUAUGAUCGCAUGUGUUACUACAUGCAAUGUAAUCCUAUCUAUUCUUUCUUAAAGACUUUAUGAUCCAUUUGCCGUGAGUCCCACCAGCUAUGUAGGAAUACCCUAUCUUCUUUAUAAGAGCUUUGAUACAUGCAAAAUAUUGGAAAACAAUGUCCGAACAUAUAGUUUUCCCCCGUAAUAUAGCAAAGAUCACGAAAAGGCCCGAAAAAGUACAUUUAGUUCAAAAUUGGGAGUAGAAAAAAAAAACAAUAGAAGAAUUCCAUUUUACUUCCUCAGUCAUCGGAGAGCUCUCUUUGGGCUUUCCGAAAAGGUAUCACAUGCCCAGUUUGGCCUCACGGUCUAAAAGUUAUAAAGUCAUACAUUUUUAACAAAAAAAAAAGAGAAAAACCGAAAAAAAGAGGGAUGCAAUACGAGGACUUUCCACGAGGUCACCCAUCCUAGUACAACUCUCGCCAAAGCAUGCUUAACUGCGGAGUUUAGAUGGGAUCUGGUGCAUUAGUGCUGGUAUGAUCGCAUCUGUUACUACAUGCAAUGCAAUCGUAUCUAUUCUUAUUUAAAGACUUUAUCAUCCAUUUGCCAUGGGUCCCACCUGUAGGAAUACCCAAUCUUGUUUAUAAGAGCUUUGAUACAUGCAAAAUAUUCGAAAACAACGUCCGAACAUAUAAUUUUCGCCCCGUAAUAUAGCAAAGAUCACGAAAAGGCCCGAAAAAGUACAUUAAGGUCAAAAUUUGGAAUAGAAAAAAAAACCAAAAGAAGUAUUCCAUUGUCCUUUGUCAUUCAUCGAAGAGCUCUCUUUGGGCUUUCCGAAAAGGUAUCGCAAGCCAAGUUUGGCCUCACGGUUUAAAAGUUAUAAAGUCAUACAUUUUUAACAAAAAAAAAAAGAGAAAAAACCGAAAAAAAGAGGGAUGCAACACGAGGACUUUUCUGGAGGUCACCCAUCCUAGUACUACUCUCGCCCGAUCACCCUUAACUGCGUAGUUUUGAUGGGAUUCGAUGCAUUAGUGCUGGUAUGAUCGCAUCUGUUACUACAUGCAAUGUAAUCGUAUCUAUUCUUUUUUAAAGACUUUAUGAUCCAUUUGCCGUGGGUCCCACCAGCUAUGUAGGAAUACCCUAUCUUCUUUAUAAGAGCUUUGAUAUAUGCAAAAUAGUGGAAAACCAUGUCCGAACAUAUAAUUUUUCCCCUGUAAUAUAGCAAAGAUCAAGAAAAAGCCAAAAAAAGUAUAUUUAGGUCAAAAUUUGGAGUAGAAAAAAAAACAAUAGAAGAAUUCCAUUUUCCUUCCUCAGUCAUCGGAGAGCUCUCUUUCGGCUUUCCGAAAAGGUAUCAAAUGCCAAGUUUGGCCUCACGGUCUAAAAGUUAUAGAGUCAUACAUUUUUAACAAUACAAAGUAGAGAAAACCGGAAAAAAGAGGGAUGCAACAUGAGGACUUUCCGGGAGGUAAUCCAUCCUAGUACAACUCUUGCCCAAGCACCCUUAACUGCGGAGUUCUGAUGGAAUCCGGUGCAUUAGUGCUGGUAUGAUCGCAUGUGUUACUACAUGNNNNNNNNNNNNNNNNNNNNNNNNNNNNNNNNNNNNNNNNNNNNNNNNNNCCAAAAAGGUAUCACAUGCCAAGUUUGGCCUCNCGGUCUAAAAGUUAUAGAGUCAUACAUUUUUAACAAACCAAAAUAGAGAAAACCGGAAAAAAGAGGGAUGCAACACGAGGACUUUCCGGGAGGUCACCCAUCCUAGUACUACUUUCGCCCAAGCACCCUUAACUGCGGAGUUCUGAUGGGAUCCGGUGCAUUAGUGCUGGUAUGAUCGCAUGUGUUACUACAUGCAAUGUAAUCAUAUUUCUUGUUAUUUAAAGAUUUUAUGAUCCAUUUGCCGUGGGUCCCACCAUCUAUGUAGGAAUACCUUAUCUUCUUUAUAGGAGCUUUGAUACAUGCAAAAUAUUGGAAAACAAUAUCCGAACAUAUAUCUUUCCCCCCGUAAUAUAGCAAAGAUCGCGAAAAGGCCCGAAAAAGUACAUUUAGGUCAAAAUUUGGAGAGGAAAAAAAAAGCAAUAGAAGAAUUCCAUUUUCCUUCCUCAGUCAUCGGAGAGCUCUCUUUGGGCUUUCCGAAAAGGUAUCACAUGCCAAGUUUGGCCUCAUGGUCUAAAAGUUAUAGAGCCAUACAUUUUUAACAAAACAAAAUAGAGAAAAACCAAAAAAAGAGAGGGAUGCAACACGAGGACUUUCCGGGAGGUCACCCAUCCUAGUACUACUCUCGCCCAAGCACCCUUAACUGCGGAGUUCUGAUGGGAUCCAGUGCAUUAGUGCUGGUAUGAUCGCAUGUGUUACUACAUGCAAUGUAAUCGUAUCUAUUCUUUUUUAAAGAUUAUAUGAUCCAUUUGCCGUGGGUCCCACCAGCUAUGUAGGAAUACCCUAUCUUCUUUAUAAGAGCUUUGAUACAUGCAAAAUAUUGGAAAACAAUGUCCGAACAUAUAAUUUUCCCCCCGUAAUAUAGCAAAGAUCACGAAAAGGCCCAAAAAAGUACAUUUAGGUCAAAAUUUGGAGUUGAAAAAAAACAAAAAGAAGAAUUCCAUUUUCCUUCCUCAUUCAUUGGAGAGCUCUCUUUGGGCUUUCCGAAAAGGUAUCACAUGCCAUGUUUAGCCUCACGGUCUAAAAGUUAUAGAGUCAUACAUUUUUAACAAAACAAAAUAGAGAAAAACCAAAAAAACGAGGGAUGCAACACGAGGACUUUCUGGGAAGUCACCCAUCCUAGUACUACUCUCGCCCAAGCACCCUUAACUGCGGAGUUCUGAUGGGAUCCGGUGCAUUAGUGCUGGUAUGAUCGCAUGUGUUACUACAUGCAAUGUAAUCGUAUCUAUUGCUUUUAAAGACUUUAUGAUCCAUUUGCCGUGGGUCCCACCAGCUAUGUAGGAAUACCCUAUCUUCUUUAUAAGAGUUUUCAUACAUGCAAAAUAUUGGAAAACAAUGUCCGAACAUAUAAUUUUCCCCCCGUAAUAUAGCAAAGAUCACGAAAAGGCCCAAAAAAGUACAUUUAGUUCAAAAUUUGGAGUAGAAAAAAAAAUAAUAGAAAAUUUCCAAUUUCCUUCUUCAUUCAUCGGAGAGCUCUCUUUGGGCUUUCCGAAAAGGUAUCACAUGCCAAGUUUGGCCUCACGGUCUAAAAGUUAUAAAGUCAUACAUUUUUAACAAAACAAAAUAGAGAAAAACGGAAAAAGAGGGAUGCAACACGUGGACUUUCCGGGAGGUCACCCAUCCUAGUACUACUCUCGUCCAAGGACCCUUAACUGCGGAGUUCUGUUGGGAUCCGUUGCAUUAGUGCUGGUAUGAUCGCAUGUGUUACUACAUGCAAUGUAAUCGUAUCUAUUCUUUUUUAAAGACUUUAUGAUCCAUUUGCCGUGGGUCCCACCAACUAUGUAGGAAUACCCUAUCUUCUUUAUAAGAGCUUUGAUACAUGCAAAAUAUUGGAAAACAAUGUCCGAACACAUAAUUUUUCCCCCAUAAUAUAACAAAGAUCACGAAAAGGCCCGAAAUAGUACAUUUAGUUCAAAAUUUGGAGUAGAAAAAAAACCAGUUUAAGAAUUCCAUUUUCCUUCCUCAUUCAUCGGAGAGCUCUCUUUGGACUUUCCGAAAAGGUAUCACAUGCCAAGUUUGGCCUCACGGUCUAAAAGUUAUAGAGUCAUACAUUUUUAACAAAACAAAAUAGAGAAAAACAGAAAAAAGAGGGAUGCAACACGAGGACUUUCCGGGAGGUCACCCAUCCUAGUACUACUCUCGCCCAAGCACCCUUAACUGCAGAGUUCUGCUGGGAUCCGGUGCAUUAGUGCUGGUAUGAUCGCAUCUGUUACUACAUGCAAUGUAAUCGUAUCUAUUCUUUUUUAAAGCUUUUAUGAUCCAUUUGCCGUGGGUCCCACCAGCUAUGUAGGAAUACCCUAUCUUCUUUAUAAGAGCUUUGAUACAUGCAAAAUAUUGGAAAACAAUGUCCGAACAUAUAAUUUCCCCCCUCGUAAUAUAGCAAAGAUCACAAAAAGGCUCGAAAAAGUACAUUUAGUUCAAAAUUUGGAGUAGAAAAAAACCAACAGAAAAAUUCCAAUUUCCUCCCUCAUUCAUCGGAGAGCUCUCUUUGGGCUUUCCAAAAAGGUAUCACAUGCCAAGUUUGGCCUCACGGUCUAAAAGUUAUAGAGUCAUACAUUUUUAACAAAACAAAAUAGAGAAAAACGGAAAAAAGAGGGAUGCAACACGAGGACUUUCCGGGAGGUCACCCAUCCUAGUACUACUCUCGUCCAAGGACCCUUAACUGCGAAGUUCUGAUGGGAUCCGUUGCAUUAGUGCUGGUAUGAUCGCAUGUGUUACUACAUGCAAUGUAAUCGUAUCUAUUCUUUUUUAAAGACUUUAUGAUCCAUUUGCCGUGGGUCCCACCAGCUAUAUAGGAAAACCCAAUCUUCUUUAUAAGAGCUUUGAUACAUGCAAAAUAUUGGAAAACAAUGUCCGAACAUAUAAUUUUCCCCCAUAAUAUAGCAAAGAUCACGAAAAGGCCCGAAAAAGUACAUUUAGUUCAAAAUUUGGAGUAGAAAAAAAGACAGUAAAAGAAUUCCAUUUUCCUUCCUCAGUGAUCGGAGAGCUCUCUUUGGACUUUCCGAAAAGGUAUCACAUGCCAAGUUUGGCCUCACGGUCUAAAAGUUAUAGAGUCAUACAUUUUUAACAAAACAAAAUAGAGAAAAACGGAAAAAAGAGGGAUGCAACACGAGGACUUUCCGGGAGGUCACCCAUCCUAGUACUACUUUCGCCCAAGCACCCUUAACUGCGGAGUUCUGAUGGGAUCCGGUGCAUUAGUGCUGGUAUGAUCGCAUGUGUUACUACAUGCAAUGUAAUCAUAUUUCUUGUUAUUUAAAGAUUUUAUGAUCCAUUUGCCGUGGGUCCCACCAUCUAUGUAGGAAUACCUUAUCUUCUUUAUAGGAGCUUUGAUACAUGCAAAAUAUUGGAAAACAAUAUCCGAACAUAUAUCUUUCCCCCCGUAAUAUAGCAAAGAUCGCGAAAAGGCCCGAAAAAGUACAUUUAGGUCAAAAUUUGGAGAAGAAAAAAAAAGCAAUAGAAGAAUUCCAUUUUCCUUCCUCAGUCAUCGGAGAGCUCUCUUUGGGCUUUCCGAAAAGGUAUCACAUGCCAAGUUUGGCCUCAUGGUCUAAAAGUUAUAGAGCCAUACAUUUUUAACAAAACAAAAUAGAGAAAAACCAAAAAAAGAGAGGGAUGCAACACGAGGACUUUCCGGGAGGUCACCCAUCCUAGUACUACUCUCGCCCAAGCACCCUUAACUGCGGAGUUCUGAUGGGAUCCAGUGCAUUAGUGCUGGUAUGAUCGCAUGUGUUACUACAUGCAAUGUAAUCGUAUCUAUUCUUUUUUAAAGAUUAUAUGAUCCAUUUGCCGUGGGUCCCACCAGCUAUGUAUGAAUACCCUAUCUUCUUUAUAAGAGCUUUGAUACAUGCAAAAUAUUGGAAAACAAUGUCCGAACAUAUAAUUUUCCCCCCGUAAUAUAGCAAAGAUCACGAAAAGGCCCAAAAAAGUACAUUUAGGUCAAAAUUUGGAGUUGAAAAAAAACAAAAAGAAGAAUUCCAUUUUCCUUCCUCAUUCAUUGGAGAGCUCUCUUUGGGCUUUCCGAAAAGGUAUCACAUGCCAUGUUUAGCCUCACGGUCUAAAAGUUAUAGAGUCAUACAUUUUUAACAAAACAAAAUAGAGAAAAACCAAAAAAACGAGGGAUGCAACACGAGGACUUUCUGGGAAGUCACCUAUCCUAGUACUACUCUCGCCCAAGCACCCUUAACUGCGGAGUUCUGAUGGGAUCCGGUGCAUUAGUGCUGGUAUGAUCGCAUGUGUUACUACAUGCAAUGUAAUCGUAUCUAUUGCUUUUAAAGACUUUAUGAUCCAUUUGCCGUGGGUCCCACCAGCUAUGUAGGAAUACCCUAUCUUCUUUAUAAGAGUUUUCAUACAUGCAAAAUAUUGGAAAACAAUGUCCGAACAUAUAAUUUUCCCCCCGUAUAUAGCAAAGAUCACGAAAAGGCCCAAAAAAGUCCUUUAAGGUCAAAAUUUGAAGUUGAAAAAAAACAAAAAGAAAAAUUCCAUUUUCCUUCCUCAUUCAUUGAAAAGCUCUCUUUGGGCUUUCCGAAAAGGUAUCACAUGCCAUGUUUAGCCUCACGGUCUAAAAGUUAUAGAGUCAUACAUUUUUAACAAAACAAAAUAGAGAAAAACCAAAAAAACGAGGGAUGCAACACGAGGACUUUCUGGGAAGUCACCUAUCCUAGUACUACUCUCGCCCAAGCACCCUUAACUGCGGAGUUCUGAUGGGAUCCGGUGCAUUAGUGCUGGUAUGAUCGCAUGUGUUACUACAUGCAAUGUAAUCGUAUCUAUUGCUUUUAAAGACUUUAUGAUCCAUUUGCCGUGGGUCCCACCAGCUAUGUAGGAAUACCCUAUCUUCUUUAUAAGAGUUUUCAUACAUGCAAAAUAUUGGAAAACAAUGUCCGAACAUAUAAUUUUCCCCCCGUAAUAUAGCAAAGAUCACGAAAAGGCCCAAAAAAGUACAUUUAGUUCAAAAUUUGGAGUAGAAAAAAAAACAAUAGAAAAUUUCCAAUUUCCUUCUUCAUUCAUCGGAGAGCUCUCUUUGGGCUUUCCGAAAAGGUAUCACAUGCCAAGUUUGGCCUCACGGUCUAAAAGUUAUAAAGUCAUACAUUUUUAACAAAACAAAAUAGAGAAAAACGGAAAAAGAGGGAUGCAACACGUGGACUUUCCGGGAGGUCACCCAUCCUAGUACUACUCUCGUCCAAGGACCCUUAACUGCGGAGUUCUGUUGGGAUCCGUUGCAUUAGUGCUGGUAUGAUCGCAUGUGUUACUACAUGCAAUGUAAUCGUAUCUAUUCUUUUUUAAAGACUUUAUGAUCCAUUUGCCGUGGGUCCCACCAACUAUGUAGGAAUACCCUAUCUUCUUUAUAAGAGCUUUGAUACAUGCAAAAUAUUGGAAAACAAUGUCCGAACAUAUAAUUUUUCCCCCAUAAUAUAACAAAGAUCACGAAAAGGCCCGAAAAAGUACAUUUAGUUCAAAAUUUGGAGUAGAAAAAAACCAGUUUAAGAAUUCCAUUUUCCUUCCUCAUUCAUCGGAGAGCUCUCUUUGGACUUUCCGAAAAGGUAUCACAUGCCAAGUUUGGCCUCACGGUCUAAAAGUUAUAGAGUCAUACAUUUUUAACAAAACAAAAUAGAGAAAAACAGAAAAAAGAGGGAUGCAACACGAGGACUUUCCGGGAGGUCACCCAUCCUAGUACUACUCUCGCCCAAGCACCCUUAACUACAGAGUUCUGCUGGGAUCCGGUGCAUUAGUGCUGGUAUGAUCGCAUCUGUUACUACAUGCAAUGUAAUCGUAUCUAUUCUUUUUUAAAGCUUUUAUGAUCCAUUUGCCGUGGGUCCCACCAGCUAUGUAGGAAUACCCUAUCUUCUUUAUAAGAGCUUUGAUACAUGCAAAAUAUUGGAAAACAAUGUCCGAACAUAUAAUUUCCCCCCUCGUAAUAUAGCAAAGAUCACAAAAAGGCUCGAAAAAGUACAUUUAGGUCAAAAUUUGGAGUAGAAAAAAAAACAAUAGAAGAAUUCCAUUUUCCUUCCUCAGUCAUUGGAGAGAUCUCUUUGGGCUUUGCGAAAAGGUAUCACAUGCCAAGUUUGGCCUCACGGUCUAAAAGUUAUAAAGUCAUACGUUUUUAGCAAAAAAAAAAGAGAAAAACCGAAAAAAAGAGGGAUGCAACACGAGGUCACCCAUUCUAGUACUACUCUCGCCCAAGCACCCUUAACUGCGUAGUUCUGAUGGGAUCUGAGGCAUUAGUGCUUGUAUGAUCGCAUCUGUUACUACAUGCAAUGUAAUCGUAAAUAUUCUUUUUUAAAGACUUUAUUAUCCAUUUGCCGUGGGUCCAACCAGCUAUGUAGGGAUACCCUAUCUUCUUUAUAAGAGCUUUGACACAUGCAAAAUAUUGGAAAAGAAUGUCCGAACAUAUUCUUUUCCCCCCGUAAUAUAGCAAAGAUCACGAAAAGGCCCGAAAAUGUAUAUUAAGUUCAAAAUUUGGAGUAGAAAAAAAAAACAAUAGAUGAAUUCCAUUUUCCUUCCUCAUUCAUUGGAGAGCUCUCUUUGGGCUUUCCGAAAAGGUAUGACAUUUCAAGUUUGGCCUCAUGGUCUCAAAGUUAUAAAGUCAUACAUUUUUCACAAAAAAAAAAAAAAGAAAAACCAAAAAAAAAAAGAGGGAUGUAACACGAGGACUUUUUUGGGAGGUCACCCAUCCUAGUACUACUCUCGCCCAAGCACGCUUAACUGCGGAGUUCUGAUGGGAUCCAGUUCAUUAGUGCUGGUAUGAUCGCAUGUGUUACUAUAUGCAAUGUAAUCGUAUCUAUUCUUUUUUAAUGACUUUAUGAUCCAUUUGCUGUGAGUCCCACCAGCUAUGUAGGAAUACCCUAUCUUCUCUAUAAGAGCUUUGAUACAUGCAAAAUAUUGGAAAACAAUGUCCGAACAUAUAGUUUUCCCCCCGUAAUAUAGCAAAGAUCACGAAAAGGCCCGAAAAGGUACAUUUAGUUCAAAAUUUGGAGUAGAAGAAAAAACAAUAGAAGAAUUCCAUUUCCCUUCCUCAGUCAUCGGAGAGCUCUCUUUGGGCUUUCCAAAAAGGUAUCACAUGCCAAGUUUGGCCUCACGGUCUAAAAGUUAUAGAGUCAUACAUUUUUAACAAUACAAAAUAGAGAAAAACCGAAAAAAAAGAGGGAUGCAACACGAGGACUUUCCGGGAGGUAAUCCAUCCUAGUACUACUCUCGCCCAAGCACCCUUAACUGCGGAGUUCUGAUGGGAUCCGAUGCAUUAGUGCUGGUAUGAUCGCAUGUGUUACUACAUGCAAUGUAAUCGUAUCUAUUCUUUUUUAAAGACUUUAUGAUCCAUUUGCCGUGGGUCCCACCAGCUAUGUAGGAUUAGCCUAUCUUGUUUAUAAGAGCUUUGAUACAUGCAAAAUAUUGGAAACCAAUGUCCAAACAUAUAAUUUUCACCCCGUAAUAUAGCAAAGAUCACGAAAAGUCCCGAAAAAGUACAUUUAGGUCAAAAUUUGGAAUAGAAAAAAAAAAAAUAGGAGUAUUCCAUUUUCCUUCCUCAUUCAUCGGAGAGCUCUCUUUGAGCUUUCUGAAAAGGUAUCACAUGCCAAGUUUGGCCUCACGGUCUAAAAGUUAUAGAGUCAUACAUUUUUAAAAAUACAAAAUAGAGAAAAACCGAAGAAAAGAGGGAUGCAACACGAGGACUUUCCGGGAGGUAAUCCAUCCUAGUACUACUCUCGCCCAAGCACCCUUAACUGCGAAGUUCUAAUGGAAUCCGGUACAUUAGUGCUGGUAUGAUCGCAUCUGUUACUAUAUGCAAUGUAAUCGUAUCUAUUCUUUUUUAAAGACUUUAUGAUCCAUUUGCCGUGGGUCUCACCAGCUAUGUAGGAAUACCCUAUCUUCUUUAUAAGAGCUUUGAUAUAUGCAAAAUAUUGGAACACCAUGUCCGAACAUAUAAUUUUUCCCGUGUAAUAUAGCAAAGAUCAAGAAAAAGCCAAAAAAGUACAUUUAGGUCAAAAUUUGAGUAGAAAAAAACAAAUAGAAGAAUUCUAUAUUCCUUCCUCAUUCGUCGGAGAGCUCUCUUUGGGCUUUCCGAAAAGGUAUCAUAUGCCAAGUUUGGCCUCGCGGUCUAAAAGUUACGGAGUCUAACAUUUUUAACAAAACAAAAUAGAGAAAAACCGAAAAAAGAGGGAUGCAACACGAGGACUUUCCGGGAGGUCACCCAUCCUAGUACUACUCUCGCCCAAGCACCCUUAACUGCGGAGUUCUGAUGGGAUCCGGUGCAUUAGUGCUGGUAUGAUCGCAUGUGUUACUACAUGCAAUGUAAUCGUAUCUAUUCUUUCUUAAAGACUUUAUGAUCCAUUUGCCGUGAGUCCCACCAGCUAUGUAGGAAUACCCUAUCUUCUUUAUAAGAGCUUUGAUACAUGCAAAAUAUUGGAAAACAAUGUCCGAACAUAUAGUUUUCCCCCCGUAAUAUAGCAAAGAUCACGAAAAGGCCCGAAAAAGUACAUUUAGUUCAAAAUUUGGAGUAGAAAAAAAAACAAUAGAAGAAUUCCAUUUUCCUUCCUCAUUCAUCGGAGAGCUCUCUUUGGGCUUUCCGAAAAAGUAUCACAUGCCAAGUUUGGCCUCACGGUCUAAACGUUAUAGAGUCAUACAUUUUUAACAAUACAAAAUAGAGAAAAACCGAAAAAAGAGGGAUGCUACACGAAGACUUUCCGGGAGGUAAUCCAUCCUAGUACUACUCUUGCCCAAGCACCCUUAACUGCGGAGUUCUGAUGGAAUCUGGUGCAUUAGUGCUGGUAUGAUCGCAUGUGUUACUACAUGCAAUGUAAUCGUAUCUAUUCUUUUUUAAAGACUUUAUGAUCCAUUUGCCGUGGGUCCCACCAGCUAUGUAGGAAUACCCUAUUUUCUUUAUAAGAGCUUUGAUACAUGCAAAAUAUAUGAAAAAAACGUUCGAACAUAUAAUUUUCCCCCCGUAAUAUAGCAAAGAUCACGAAAAGGCUCGAAAAAUUACAUUUAGUUCAAAAUUUUUAGUAGAAAAAACCCAAUAGAAGAAUUCCAUUUUCCUUCCUCAGUCAUCGGAGAGCUCUCUUUGGGCUUUCCGAAAAGGUAUCACAUGCCAAGUUUGGCCUCACGGUCUAAAAGUUAUAGAGUCAUACAUUUUUAACAAAACAAAAUUGAGAAAAACCGAAAAAAAGAGGGAUGCAACACGAGGACUCUCCAAAAGGUAACCCAUCUUAGUACUACUCUCGCCCAAGCACCCUUAACUGCGGAGUUCUGAUGGGACCCGGUGCAUUUGUGCUGGUAUGAUCGCAUGUGUCACUACAUGCAAUGUAAUCGUAUCUAUUCUUUUUUAAAGACUUUAUGAUCCAUUUGCAGUGGGUCCUACCAGCUAUGUAGGAAUACCCUACCUUCUUUAUAAGAGCUUUCAUACAUGCAUAAUAUUGGAAAACAAUGUCCGAAGAUAUAAUUUUCCCCCCAUAAUAUAGCAAAGAUCACGAAAAGGCCCGAAAAAGUACAUUAUGUUCAAAAUUUGGAGUCGAAAAAAAACCAAUAGAAGAAUUCCAUUUUACUUCCUUAGUCAUCGGAGAGCUCUCUUUGGGCUUUCCGAAAAGGUAUCACAUGCCAAGUUUGGCCUCACGGUCUAAAAGUUAUAGAGUCAUACAUUUUUAACAAAACAAAAUAGAGAAAAACGGGAAAAAAGAGGGAUGUAACACGAGGACAUUCCGGGAGGUCACCCAUCCUAGUACUACUCUUGCCCAAGCACCCUUAACUGCGGAGUUCUUAUGGGAUCCGGUGCAUUAGUGUUGGUAUGAUCGCAUGUGUUACUACAUGCAAUGUAAUCGUAUCUAUUCUUUUUAAAGACUUUAUGAUCCAUUUGCCGUGGGUCCCACCAGCUAUGUAGGAAUACCCUAUCUUCUUUAUAAGAGCUUUGAUACAUGUAAAAUAUUGGAAAACAAUGUCCGAAGAUAUAAUUUUCCCCCGUAAUAUAGCAAAGAUCACGAAAAGGCCCGAAAAUGUACAUUAAGUUCAAAAUUUGGAGUAGAAAAAAAAAACAAUAGAAGAAUUCCAUUUUCCUUCCUCAUUCAUCGGAGAGCUCUCUUUGGGCUUUCCGAAAAGGUAUGACAUUCCAAGUUUGGCCUCAUGGUCUCAAAUUUAUAAAGUCAUACAUUUUUCACAAAAAAAAAAUAAAGAAAAACCAAAAAAAAAAAAGAGGGAUGUAACACGAGGACUUUUUUGGGAGGUCACCCAUCCUAGUACUACUCUCGCCCAAGCACGCUUAACUGCGGAGUUCUGAUGGGAUCCGGUUCAUUAGUGCUGGUAUGAUCACAUGUGUUACUACAUGCAAUGUAAUCGUAUCUAUUCUUUUUUAAAGACUUUAUGAUCCAUUUGCCGUGAGUCCCACCAGCUAUGUAGGAAUACCCUAUCUUCUCUAUAAGAGCUUUGAUACAUGCAAAAUAUUGGAAAACAAUGUCCGAACAUAUAGUUUUCCCCCCGUAAUAUAGCAAAGAUCACGAAAAGGCCCGAAAAAGUACAUUUAGUUCAAAAUUUGGAGUAGAAAAAAAAACAAUAAAAGAAUUUCAUUUCCCUUCCUCAGUCAUCGGAGAGCUCUCUUUGGGCUUUCCAAAAAGGUAUCACAUGCCAAGUUUGGCCUCACGGUCUAAAAGUUAUAGAGUCAUACAUUUUUAACAAUACAAAAUAGAGAAAAACCGAAAAAAAAGAGGGAUGCAACACGAGGACUUUCCGGGAGGUAAUCAAUCCUAGUACUACUCUAGCCCAAGCACCCUUAACUGCGGAGUUCUAAUGGAAUCCAGUGCAUUAGUGCGGGUAUGAUCGCAUGUGUUACUACAUGCAAUGUAAUCGUAUCUAUUCUUUUUUAAAGACUUUAUGAUCCAUUUGCCGUGGGUCCCACCAGCUAUGUAGGAAUACACUAUCUUCUUUAUAAGAGCUUUGAUACAUGCAAAAUAUUGGAAAAAAACGUCCGAACAUAUAAUUUUCCCCACGUAAUAUAGCAAAGAUCACGAAAAUGCCCCAAAAAGUACAUUUAGUUCAAAAUUUGGAGUAGAAAAAAAAACAAUAGAAGAAUUACAUUUUCCUUCCUCACUCAUCGGAGAGCUCUCUUUGGGCUUUUCGAAAAGGUACCACAUGCCAAGUUUGGCCUCACGGUCUAAAAGUUAUAGAGUCAUACAUUUUUAACAAAAUAAAAUUGAGAAAAACCGAAAAAAAGAGGGAUGCAACACGAGGACUCUCCAGAAGGUAACCCAUCUUAGUACUACUCUCGCUCUUGCACCCUUAACUAUGGAGUUCUGAUGGGACCCGGUGCAUUAGUGCUGGUAUGAUCGCAUCUGUUACUAUAUGCAAUGUAAUCGUAUCUAUUCUUUUUUAAAGACUUUAUGAUCCAUUUGCCGUGGGUCCCACCAGCUAUGUAGGAAUACCCUAUCUUCUUUAUAAGAGCUUUGAUAUAUGCAAAAUAUUGGAUUACCAUGUCCGAACAUAUAAUUUUUCCCGUGUAAUAUAGCAAAGAUCAAGAAAAAGCCAAAAAAGUACAUUUAGGUCAAAAUUUGAGUAGAAAAAAACAAAUAGAAGAAUUCCAUUUUCCUUCCUCAUUCACCGUAGAGCUCUCAUUGGGCUUUCCGAAAAGGUAUCAUAUGCCAAGUUUGGCCUCACGGUCUAAAAGUUAUAGAGUCUAACAUUCUUAACAAAACAAAAUAGAGAAAAACCGAAAAAAGAGGGAUGCAACACGAGGACUUUCCGGGAGGUCACCCAUCCUAGUACUACUCUCGCCCAAGGACCCUUAACUGCGGAGUUCUGAUGGGAUCCGUUGCAUUAGUGCUGGUAUGAUCGCAUGUGUUACUACAUGCAAUGUAAUCGUAUCUAUUCUUUCUUAAAGACUUUAUGAUCCAUUUGCCGUGCGUCCCACCAGCUAUGUAGGAAUACCCUAUCUUCUUUAUAAGAGCUUUGAUACAUGCAAAAUAUUGGAAAACAAUGUCCGAACAUAUAGUUUUCCCCCCGUAAUAUAGCAAAGAUCACGAAAAGGCCCGAAAAAGUACAUUUAGUUCAAAAUUUGGAGUAGAAAAAAAAACAAUAGAAGAAUUCCAUUUUCCUUCCUCAGUCAUCGGAGAGCUCUCUUUGGGCUUUCCGAAAAGGUAUCACAUGCCAAGUUUGGCCUCACGGUCUAAACGUUAUAGAGUCAUACAUUUUUAACAAUACAAAAUAGAGAAAAACCGAAAAAAAGAGGGAUGCAACACGAAGACUUUCCGGGAGGUAAUCCAUCCUAGUACUACUCUUGCCAAAGCACCCUUAACUGCGGAGUUCUGAUGGAAUCUGGUGCAUUAGUGCUGGUAUGAUCGCAUGUGUUACUACAUGCAAUGUAAUCGUAUCUAUUCUUUUUUAAAGACUUUAUGAUCCAUUUGCCGUGGGUCCCACCAGCUAUGUACGAAUACCCUAUCUUCUUUAUAAGAGCUUUGAUACAUGCAAAAUAUAUGAAAAAAACGUCCGAACAUAUAAUUUUCCCCCCGUAAUAUAGCAAAGAUCAUGAAAAGGCCCAAAAAAGUACAUUAAGGUCAAAAUUUGGCGUAGAAAAAAAACCAAUAGACAUAUUCCAUUGGCCUUCGUCAUUCAUUGGAGAGCUCUCUUUGGGCUUUCCGAAAAGGUAUCACAUGCCAAGUUUGGCCUCACGGUCUAAAAGUUAUAGAGUCAUACAUUUUUAACAAUACAAAAUAGAGAAAAACCGAAAAAAAGAGGGAUGCAACACGAGGACUUUCCGGGAGGUAAUCCAUCCUAGUACUACUCUCGCCCAAGCACCCUUAACUGCGGAGUUCUAAUGGAAUCCGGUGCAUUAGUGCUGGUAUGAUCGCAUCUGUUACUAUAUGCAAUGUAAUCGUAUCUAUUCUUUUUUAAAGACUUUAUGAUCCAUUUGCCGUGGGUCCCACCAGCUAUGUAGGAAUACCCUAUCUUCUUUAUAAGAGCUUUGAUAUAUGCAAAAUAUUGGAUUACCAUGUCCGAACAUAUAAUUUUUCCCGUGUAAUAUAGCAAAGAUCAAGAAAAAGCCAAAAAAGUACAUUUAGGUCAAAAUUUGAGUAGAAAAAAACAAAUAGAAGAAUUCCAUUUUCCUUCCUCAUUCACCGCAGAGCUCUCUUUGGGCUUUCCGAAAAGGUAUCAUAUGCCAAGUUUGGCCUCACGGUCUAAAAGUUAUAGAGUCUAACAUUUUUAACAAAACAAAAUAGAGAAAAACCGAAAAAAGAGGGAUGCAACACGAGGACUUUCCGGGAGGUCACCCAUCCUAGUACUACUCUCGCCCAAGGACCCUUAACUGCGGAGUUCUGAUGGGAUCCGUUGCAUUAGUGCUGGUAUGAUCGCAUGUGUUACUACAUGCAAUGUAAUCGUAUCUAUUCUUUCUUAAAGACUUUAUGAUCCAUUUGCCGUGCGUCCCACCAGCUAUGUAGGAAUACCCUAUCUUCUUUAUAAGAGCUUUGAUACAUGCAAAAUAUUGGAAAACAAUGUCCGAACAUAUAGUUUUCCCCCCGUAAUAUAGCAAAGAUCACGAAAAGGCCCGAAAAAGUACAUUUAGUUCAAAAUUUGGAGUAGAAAAAAAAACAAUAGAAGAAUUCCAUUUUCCUUCCUCAGUCAUCGGAGAGCUCUCUUUGGGCUUUCCGAAAAGGUNNNNNNNNNNNNNNNNNNNNNNNNNNNNNNNNNNNNNNNNNNNNNNNNNNGAGAAAAACCGAAAAAAGAGGGAUGCAACACGAGGACUUUCCGGGAGGUCACCCAUCCUAGUACUACUCUCGCCCAAGGACCCUUAACUGCGGAGUUCUGAUGGGAUCCGUUGCAUUAGUGCUGGUAUGAUCGCAUGUGUUACUACAUGCAAUGUAAUCGUAUCUAUUCUUUCUUAAAGACUUUAUGAUCCAUUUGCCGUGCGUCCCACCAGCUAUGUAGGAAUACCCUAUCUUCUUUAUAAGAGCUUUGAUACAUGCAAAAUAUUGGAAAACAAUGUCCGAACAUAUAGUUUUCCCCCCGUAAUAUAGCAAAGAUCACGAAAAGGCCCGAAAAAGUACAUUUAGUUCAAAAUUUGGAGUAGAAAAAAAAACAAUAGAAGAAUUCCAUUUUCCUUCCUCAGUCAUCGGAGAGCUCUCUUAGGGCUUUCCGAAAAGGUAUCACAUGCCAAGUUUGGCCUCACGGUAUAAACGUUAUAGAGUCAUACAUUUUUAACAAUACAAAAUAGAGAAAAACCGAAAAAAAGAGGGAUGCAACACGAAGACUUUCCGGGAGGUAAUCCAUCCUAGUACUACUCUUGCCAAAGCACCCUUAACUGCGGAGUUCUGAUGGAAUCUGGUGCAUUAGUGCUGGUAUGAUCGCAUGUGUUACUACAUGCAAUGUAAUCGUAUCUAUUCUUUUUUAAAGACUUUAUGAUCCAUUUGCCGUGGGUCCCACCAGCUAUGUACGAAUACCCUAUCUUCUUUAUAAGAGCUUUGAUACAUGCAAAAUAUAUGAAAAAAACGUCCGAACAUAUAAUUUUCCCCCCGUAAUAUAGCAAAGAUCAUGAAAAGGCCCAAAAAAGUACAUUAAGGUCAAAAUUUGGCGUAGAAAAAAAACCAAUAGACAUAUUCCAUUGGCCUUCGUCAUUCAUUGGAGAGCUCUCUUUGGGCUUUCCGAAAAGGUAUCACAUGCCAAGUUUGGCCUCACGGUCUAAAAGUUAUAGAGUCAUACAUUUUUAACAAUACAAAAUAGAGAAAAACCGAAAAAAAGAGGGAUGCAACACGAGGACUUUCCGGGAGGUAAUCCAUCCUAGUACUACUCUCGCCCAAGCACCCUUAACUGCGGAGUUCUAAUGGAAUCCGGUGCAUUAGUGCUGGUAUGAUCGCAUCUGUUACUAUAUGCAAUGUAAUCGUAUCUAUUCUUUUUUAAAGACUUUAUGAUCCAUUUGCCGUGGGUCCCACCAGCUAUGUAGGAAUACCCUAUCUUCUUUAUAAGAGCUUUGAUAUAUGCAAAAUAUUGGAUUACCAUGUCCGAACAUAUAAUUUUUCCCGUGUAAUAUAGCAAAGAUCAAGAAAAAGCCAAAAAAGUACAUUUAGGUCAAAAUUUGAGUAGAAAAAAACAAAUAGAAGAAUUCCAUUUUCCUUCCUCAUUCACCGCAGAGCUCUCUUUGGGCUUUCCGAAAAGGUAUCAUAUGCCAAGUUUGGCCUCACGGUCUAAAAGUUAUAGAGUCUAACAUUUUUAACAAAACAAAAUAGAGAAAAACCGAAAAAAGAGGGAUGCAACACGAGGACUUUCCGGGAGGUCACCCAUCCUAGUACUACUCUCGCCCAAGGACCCUUAACUGCGGAGUUCUGAUGGGAUCCGUUGCAUUAGUGCUGGUAUGAUCGCAUGUGUUACUACAUGCAAUGUAAUCGUAUCUAUUCUUUCUUAAAGACUUUAUGAUCCAUUUGCCGUGCGUCCCACCAGCUAUGUAGGAAUACCCUAUCUUCUUUAUAAGAGCUUUGAUACAUGCAAAAUAUUGGAAAACAAUGUCCGAACAUAUAGUUUUCCCCCCGUAAUAUAGCAAAGAUCACGAAAAGGCCCGAAAAAGUACAUUUAGUUCAAAAUUUGGAGUAGAAAAAAAAACAAUAGAAGAAUUCCAUUUUCCUUCCUCAGUCAUCGGAGAGCUCUCUUUGGGCUUUCCGAAAAGGUAUCACAUGCCAAGUUUGGCCUCACGGUCUAAACGUUAUAGAGUCAUACAUUUUUAACAAUACAAAAUAGAGAAAAACCGAAAAAAAGAGGGAUGCAACACGAAGACUUUCCGGGAGGUAAUCCAUCCUAGUACUACUCUUGCCAAAGCACCCUUAACUGCGGAGUUCUGAUGGAAUCUGGUGCAUUAGUGCUGGUAUGAUCGCAUGUGUUACUACAUGCAAUGUAAUCGUAUCUAUACUUUUUUAAAGACUUUAUGAUCCAUUUGCCGUGGGUCCCACCAGCUAUGUACGAAUACCCUAUCUUCUUUAUAAGAGCUUUGAUACAUGCAAAAUAUAUGAAAAAAACGUCCGAACAUAUAAUUUUCCCCCCGUAAUAUAGCAAAGAUCACGAAAAGGCUCGAAAAAUUACAUUUAGUUCAAAAUUUGGAGUAGAAAAACCCCAAUAGAAGAAUUCCAUUUUACUUCCUUAGUCAUCGGAGAGCUCUCUUUGGGCUUUCCGAAAAGGUAUCACAUGCCAAGUUUGGCCUCACGGUCUAAAAGUUAUAGAGUCAUACAUUUUUAACAAAACAUAAUAGAGAAAAACGGGAAAAAGAGGGAUGUAACACGAGGACUUUCCGGGAGGUCACCCAUCCUAGUACUACUCUUGCCCAAGCACCCUUAACUGCGGAGUUCUGAUGGGAUCCGGUGCAUUAGUGUUGGUAUGAUCGCAUGUGUUACUACAUGCAAUGUAAUCGUAUCUAUUCUUUUUAAAGACUUUAUGAUCCAUUUGCCGUGGGUCCCACCAGCUAUGUAGGAAUACCCUAUCUUCUUUAUAAGAGCUUUGAUACAUGCAAAAUAUUGGAAAACAAUGUCCGAACAUAUUAUUUUCCCCCCGUAAUAUAGCAAAGAUCACGAAAAGGCCCGAAAAUGUACAUUAAGUUCAAAAUUUGGAGUAGAAAAAAAAAACAAUAGAAGAAUUCCAUUUUCCUUCCUCAUUCAUCGGAGAGCUCUCUUUGGGCUUUCCGAAAAGGUAUAACAUUCCAAGUUUGGCCUCAUGGUCUCAAAGUUAUAAAGUCAUACAUUUUUCACAAAAAAAAAUAAAGAAAAACAAAAAAAAAAAAGAGGGAUGUAACACGAGGACUUUUUUGGGAGGUCACCCAUCCUAGUACUACUCUCGCCCAAGCACCCUUAACUGCGGAGUUCUGAUGGGAUCCGUUGCAUUAGUGCUGGUAUGAUCGCAUGUGUUACUACAUGCAAUGUAAUCGUAUCUAUUCUUUCUUAAAGACUUUAUGAUCCAUUUGCCGUGAGUCCCACCAGCUAUGUAGGAACACCCUAUCUUCUUUAUAAGAGCUUUGAUACAUGCAAAAUAUUGGAAAAAAACGUCCGAACAUAUAAUUUUCCCCACGUAAUAUAGCAAAGAUCACGAAAAGGCCCCAAAAAGUACAUUUAGUUCAAAAUUUGGAGUAGAAAAAAAAACAAUAGAAGAAUUCCAUUUUCCUUCCUCAGUCAUCGGAGAGCUCUCUUUGGGCUUUCCGAAAAGGUAUCACAUGCCAAGUUUGGCCUCACGGUCUAAACGUUAUAGAGUCAUACAUUUUUAACAAUACAAAAUAGAGAAAAACCGAAAAAAAGAGGGAUGCAACACGAAGACUUUCCGGGAGGUAAUCCAUCCUAGUACUACUCUUUCCAAAGCACCCUUAACUGCGGAGUUCUGAUGGAAUCUGGUGCAUUAGUGCUGGUAUGAUCGCAUGUGUUACUACAUGCAAUGUAAUCGUAUCUAUUCUUUUUUAAAGACUUUAUGAUCCAUUUGCCGUGGGUCCCACCAGCUAUGUACGAAUACCCUAUCUUCUUUAUAAGAGCUUUGAUACAUGCAAAAUAUAUGAAAAAAACGUCCGAACAUAUAAUUUUCCCCCCGUAAUAUAGCAAAGAUCACGAAAAGGCUCGAAAAAUUACAUUUAGUUCAAAAUUUGGAGUAGAAAAACCCCUAUAGAAGAAUUCCAUUUUCCUUCCUCAGUCAUCGGAGAGCUCUCUUUGGGCUUUCCGAAAAGGUAUCACAUGCCAAGUUUGGCCUCACAGUCUAAAAGUUAUAGAGUCAUACAUUUUUAACAAAACAAAAUUGAGAAAAACCGAAAAAAAGAGGGAUGCAACACGAGGACUCUCCAGAAGGUAACCCAUCUUAGUACUACUCUCGCCCAAGCACCCUUAACUGCGGAGUUCUGAUGGGACCCGGUGCAUUAGUGCUGGUAUGAUCGCAUGUGUUACUACAUGCAAUGUAAUCGUAUCUGUUCUUUUUUAAAGACUUUAUGAUCCAUUUGCCGUGGGUCCUACCAGCUAUGUAGGAAUACCCUACCUUCUUUAUAAGAGUUUUGAUACAUGCAUAAUAUUGGAAAACAAUGUCCGAAGAUAUAAUUUUCCCCCCGUAAUAUAGCAAAGAUCACGAAAAGGCCCGGAAGAGUACAUUAAGUUCAAAAUUUGGAGUAUAAAAAAAACCAAUAGAAGAAUUCCAUUUUACUUCCUUAGUCAUCGGAGAGCUCUCUUUGGGCUUUCCGAAAAGGUAUCACAUGCCAAGUUUGGCCUCACGGUCUAAAAGUUAUAGAGUCAAACAUUUUAAACAAAACAUAAUAGAGAAAAACGGGAAAAAAGAGGGAUGUAACACGAGGACUUUCCGGGAGGUCACCCAUCCUAGUACUACUCUUGCCCAAGCACCCUUAACUGCGGAGUUCUGAUGGGAUCCGGUGCAUUAGUGUUGGUAUGAUCGCAUGUGUUACUACAUGCAAUGUAAUCGUAUCUAUUCUUUUUAAAGACUUUAUGAUCCAUUUGCCGUGGGUCCCACCAGCUAUGUAGGAAUACCCUAUCUUCUUUAUAAGAGCUUUGAUACAUGCAAAAUAUUGGAAAACAAUGUCCGAACAUAUUAUUUUCCCCCCGUAAUAUAGCAAAGAUCACGAAAAGGCCCGAAAAUGUACAUUAAGUUCAAAAUUUGGAGUAGAAAAAAAAAACAAUAGAAGAAUUCCAUUUUCCUUCCUCAUUCAUCGGAGAGCUCUCUUUGGGCUUUCCGAAAAGGUAUAACAUUCCAAGUUUGGCCUCAUGGUCUCAAAGUUAUAAAGACAUACAUUUUUCACAAAAAAAAAUAAAGAAAAACCAAAAAAAAAAAAGAGGAAUGUAACACGAGGACUUUUUUGGGAGGUCACCCAUCCUAGUACUACUCUCGCCCAAGCACCCUUAACUGCGGAGUUCUGAUGGGAUCCGUUGCAUUAGUGCUGGUAUGAUCGCAUGUGUUACUACAUGCAAUGUAAUCGUAUCUAUUCUUUCUUAAAGACUUUAUGAUCCAUUUGCCGUGAGUCCCACCAGCUAUGUAGGAAUACCCUAUCUUCUUUAUAAGAGCUUUGAUACAUGCAAAAUAUUGGAAAAAAACGUCCGAACAUAUAGUUUUCCCCCCGUAAUAUAGUAAAGAUCACGAAAAGGCUCGAAAAAGUACAUUUAGUUCAAAAUUUGGAGUAGAAAAAAAAACAUUAGUAGAAUUCCAUUUCCCUUCCUCAGUCAUCGGAGAGCUCUCUCUGGGCUUUCCAAAAAGGUAUCACAUGCCAAGUUUGGCCUCACGGUCUAAAAGUUAUAGAGUCAUACAUUUUUAACAAUACAAAAUAGAGAAAAACCGAAAAAAAAGAGGGAUGCAACACGAGGACUUUCCGGGAGGUAAUCCAUCCUAGUACUACUCUCGCCUAAGCACCCUUAACUGCGGAGUUCUAAUGGAAUCCAGUGCAUUAGUGCGGGUAUGAUCGCAUGUGUUACUACAUGCAAUGUAAUCGUAUCUAUUCUUUUUUAAAGACUUUAUGAUCCAUUUGCCGUGGGUCCCACCAGCUAUGUAGGAAUACACUAUCUUCUUUAUAAGAGCUUUGAUAGAGGCAAAAUAUUGGAAAAAAACGUCCGAACAUAUAAUUUUCCCCACGUAAUAUAGCAAAGAUCACGAAAAUGCCCCAAAAAGUACAUUUAGUUCAAAAUUUGGAGUAGAAAAAAAAACAAUAGAAGAAUUACAUUUUCCUUCCUCACUCAUCGGAGAGCUCUCUUUGGGCUUUCCGAAAAGGUAUCACAUGCCAAGUUUGGUCUCACGGUCUAAGAGUUAUAGAGUCAUACAUUUUUAACAAUACAAAAUAGAGAAAAACCGAAAAAAAGAGGGAUGCAACACGAAGACUUUCCGGGAGGUAAUCCAUCCUAGUACUACUCUUGCCCAAGCACCCUUAACUGUGGAGUUCUGAUGGAAUCUGGUGCAUUAGUGCUGAUAUGAUCGCAUGUGUUACUACAUGCAAUGUAAUCGUAUCUAUUCUUUUUUAAAGACUUUAUGAUCCAUUUGCCGUGGGUCCCACCAGCUAUGUAGGAAUACCCUAUCUUCUUUAUAAGAGCUUUGAUACAUGCAAAAUAUAUGAAAAAAACGUCCGAACAUAUAAUUUUCCCCCCGUAAUAUAGCAAAGAUCACGAAAAGGCUCGAAAAAUUACAUUUAGUUCAAAAGUCCCCCGUAUGAUGUCAUUUGUUACUACAUGCAAUGCAAUCAUAUCUAUUCUUAUUUAAAGACUUUAUGAUCCAUUUGUCGUGGGUCCCACCUGUAGGAAUACCCUAUCUUGUUUAUAAAAGAUUUGAUACAUGCAAAAUACUCGAAAACAAUGUCCGAACAUAUAAUUUUCACCCCGUAAUAUAGCAAAGAUCACGAAAAGGCCCGAAAAAGUACAUUAAAGUCAAAAUUUGGAGUAGAAAAAAACCCAAUAGAAGUAUUCCAUUCUCCUUCGUCAUUCAUCGGAGAGCUCUCUUUAGGCUUUCCGAAAAGAUAUCACAUGCCAAGUUUGGCCUCACGGUUUAAAAGUUAUAGAGUCAUAGAUUUUUAACAAAACAAAAAGAGAAAAACCGAAAAAAAUUGGGAUGCAACACGAGGACUUUCCUGGAGGUCACCCAUCCUAGUACUACUCUCGCCCAAGCACCCUUAACUGCGUAGUUCUGAUGGGAUCCGAUGCUUUAGUGCUGGUAUGAUCGCAUCUGUUACUACAUGCAAUGUAAUCGUAUCUAUUCUUUUUUAAAGACUUUAUGAUCCAUUUGCCGUGGGUCCCACCAGCUAUGUAGGAAUACCCUAUCUUCUUUAUAAGAGCUUUGAUAAAUGCAAAAUAUUGGAAACCAAUGUCCGAACAUAUAAUUUCGCCCCCGUAAUAUAGCAAAGAUCACGAAAAAGCCCAAAAAAGUUCAUUUAGGUCAAAAUUUGAGCAGAAGAAAAAGAAAUAGAAGAAUUCCAUUUUCCUUCCUCAUUUAUUGGAGAGCUCUCUUUGGGCUUUCCGAAAAGGUAUCACAUGCCAAGUUUGGCCUCACGGUCUAAAAGUUAUAGAGUCAUACAUUUUUAACAAAAUGAAAUAGAGAAAAACCGAAAAAAAGAGGGAUGUAACACGAGGACUUUCCGGGAGGUAAUCUAUCCUACUACUACUCUCGGCCAAGCACCCUUAACUGCGGAGUUCUAAUGGGAUCCGGUGCAUUAGUGCUGGUAUGAUCGCAUGUGUUACUACAUGCAAUGUAAUCGUAUCUAUUCUUUUUUAAAGACUUUAUGAUCCAUUUGCCGUGGGUCCCACCAGCUAUGUAGGAAUACNNNNNNNNNNNNNNNNNNNNNNNNNNNNNNNNNNNNNNNNNNNNNNNNNNAUAUAAUGUUUGCCCCAAAAUAUAGCANAGACCACGAAAAUGCCAUAAAAAGUACAUUAAGGUCAAAAUUUGGAGUAGGAAAAAAAAUCAAUAGGAGAAUUCCAUUUUCCUUCCUCAUUCAUUGGAGAGCUCUCUUUGGGCAUUCCAAAAAGGUAUCACAUGCCAAGUUUGGCCUCACGGUCUAAAAGUUAUAGAGUAAUACAUUUUUAACAAAAAAAAAAGAGAAAAACCGAAAAAAAGAGGGAUGCAACACGAAGACUUUUCUGGAGGUCACCCAUCCUAGUACUACUCUCCCCCAAGCACGCUUAACUGUGGUGUUCUGAUAGGAUCAAGUGCAUUAGUGCUGGUAUGAUCGCAUCAGUUACUACAUGCAAUGCAAUCAUAUAUAUUCUUUUUUGAAGACUUUAUGAUCCAUUGUCGUAGGUCCCACCAGCUAUGUAGGAAUACCCUUUCUUGUUUAUAAGAGCUUUGAUACAUGCAAAAUAUUCGAAAACAAUGUCCGAACAUAUAAUUUUUGUCCCGUAAUAUAGCAAAGAUCACGAAAAGGCCAGAAAAAAUACAUUUCGGUCAAAAUUUGGAGUAGAAAAAAAGCCCUUCCUCAUUCAUUGGACAGCUCUCUUUGGGCUUUCCGAAAAGGUAUCACAUGCCAAGUUUGGCCUCACGGUCUAAACCUUAUAGACUCAUACAUUUUUCACAAAAAAAAGAAGAGAAAAGCCAAAAAAAAAGAGUGAUUAAACACGAGGACUUUCCUGGAGGUCACCCAUCCUAGUACUACUCUCGCCCAAGCACGCUUAACUGCGAAGUUCUGAUGGGAUCUGGUGCAUUAGUGCUGGUAUGAUCGCAUCUGUUACUACAUGCAAUGAAAUCGUAUCUAUUCUUUUUUGAAGAUUUUAUGAUUCAUUUACCGUGGGUCCCACCAGCUAUGUAGGAAUAACCUAUCUUAUUUAUAAGAUCUUUGAUACAUGCAAAAUAUUGGAAAACAAUGUCCGAACAUAUAAUGUUCGCCCCAAAAUAUAGCAAAGACCACAAAAAUGCCAUAAAAAGUACAUUAAGGUCAAAAUUUGGAGUAGGAAAAAAACCAAUAAGAGAAUUCCAUUUUCCUUCCCUCAUUCAUCGGAGAUCUCUCUUUGGGCAUUCCAAAAAGGUAUCACAUGCCAAGUUUGGCCUCACGGUCUAAAAGUUAUAGAGUAAUACAUUUUUAACAAAAAAAAAAGAGAAAAACCGAAAAAAAGAGGGAUGCAACACGAAGACUUUUCUGGAGGUCACCCAUCCUAGUACUACUCUCCCCCAAGCACGCUUAACUGUGGUGUUCUGAUAGGAUCAAGUGCAUUAGUGCUGGUAUGAUCGCAUCAGUUACUACAUGUAAUGCAAUCAUAUAUAUUCUUUUUUGAAGACUUUAUGAUCCAUUUGCCGUAGGUCCCACCAGCUAUGUAGGAAUACCCUAUCUCGUUUAUAAGAGCUUUGAUACAUGCAAAAUAUUCGAAAACAAUGUCCGAACAUAUAAUGUUUGCCCCAAAAUAUAGCAAAGACCACGAAAAUGCCAUAAAAAGUACAUUAAGGUCAAAAUUUGGAGUAGGAAAAAAAAUCAAUAGGAGAAUUCCAUUUUCCUUCCUCAUUCAUCGGAGAGCUCUCUUUGGGCAUUCCAAAAAGGUAUGACAUGCCAAGUUUGGCCUCACGGUCUAAAAGUUAUAGAGUAAUACAUUUUUAACAAAAAAAAAAGAGAAAAACCGAAAAAAAGAGGGAUGCAACACGAAGACUUUUCUGGAGGUCAUCCAUCCUAGUACUACUCUCCCCCAAGCACGCUUAACUGUGGUGUUCUGAUAGGAUCAAGUGCAUUAGUGCUGGUAUGAUCGCAUCAGUUACUACAUGCAAUGCAAUCAUAUAUAUUCUUUUUUGAAGACGUUAUGAUCCAUUUGCCGUAGGUCCCACCAGCUAUGUAGGAAUACCCUAUCUUGUUUAUAAGAGCUUUGAUACAUGCAAAAUAUUCGAAAACAAUGUCCGAACAUAUAAUUUUUGUCCCGUAAUAUAGCAAAGAUCACGAAAAGGCCAGAAAAAAUACAUUUUGGUCAAAAUUUGGAGUAGAAAAAAAACCCUUCCUCAUUCAUUGGACAGCUCUCUUUGGGCUUUCCGAAAAGGUAUCACAUGCCAAGUUUGGCCUCACGGUCUAAAAGUUAUAGAGUCAUACAUUUUUCACAAAAAAAAGAAGAGAAAAACCAAAAAAAAGAGUGAUGAAACACGAGGACUUUCCUGGAGGUCACCCAUCCUAGUACUACUCUCGCCCAAGCACGCUUCACUGCGAAGUUCUGAUGGGAUCUGGUGCAUUAGUGCUGGUAUGAUCGCAUCUGUUACUACAUGCAAUGCAAUCAUAUCUAUUCUUUUUUGAAGAUUUUAUGAUUCAUUUACCGUGGGUCCCACCAGCUAUGUAGGAAUAACCUAUCUUAUUUAUAAGAGCUUUGAUACAUGCAAAAUAUUGGAAAACAAUGUCCGAACAUAUAAUGUUCGCCCCAAAAUAUAGCAAAGACAACAAAAAUGCCAUAAAAAGAAAAUUAAGGUCAAAAUUUUGAGUAGGAAAAAAAUCAAUAAGAGAAUUCCAUUUUCCUUCCCUCAUUCAUCGGAGAUCUCUCUUUGGGCAUUCCAAAAAGGUAUCACAUGCCAAGUUUGGCCUCACGGUCUAAAAGUUAUAGAGUAAUACAUUUUUAACAAAAAAAGAAGAGAAAAACCGAAAAAAAGAGGGAUGCAACACGAAGACUUUUCUGGAGGUCACCCAUCCUAGUACUACUCUCCCCCAAGCACGCUUAACUGUGGUGUUCUGAUAGGAUCAAGUGCAUUAGUGCUGGUAUGAUCGCAUCAGUUACUACAUGUAAUGCAAUCAUAUAUAUUCUUUUUUGAAGACUUUAUGAUCCAUUUGCCGUACGUCCCACCAGCUAUGUAGGAAUACCCUAUCUCGUUUAUUAGAGCUUUGAUACAUGCAAAAUAUUCGAAAACAAUGUCCGAACAUAUAAUGUUUGCCCCAAAAUAUAGAAAAGACCACGAAAAUGCCAUAAAAAGUACAUUAAGGUCAAAAUUUGGAGUAGGAAAAAAAAUCAAUAGGAGAAUUCCAUUUUCCUUCCUCAUUCAUCGGAGAGCUCUCUUUGGGCAUUCCAUAAAGGUAUCACAUGCCAAGUUUGGCCUCACGGUCUAAAAGUUAUAGAGUAAUACAUUUUUAACAAAAAAAAAAGAGAAAAACCGAAAAAAAGAGGGAUGCAACACGAAGACUUUUCUGGAGGUCACCCAUCCUAGUACUACUCUCCCACAAGCACGCUUAACUGUGGUGUUCUGAUAGGAUCAAGUGCAUUAGUGCUGGUAUGAUCGCAUCAGUUACUACAUGUAAUGCAAUCAUAUAUAUUCUUUUUUGAAGACUUUAUGAUCCAUUUGCCGUAGGUCCCACCAGUUAUGUAGGAAUACCCUAUCUCGUUUAUAAGAGCUUUGAUACAUGCAAAAUAUUCGAAAACAAUGUCCGAACAUAUAAUGUUUGCCCCAAAAUAUAGCAAAGACCACGAAAAUGCCAUAAAAAGUACAUUAAGGUCAAAAUUUGGAGUAGGAAAAAAAAUCAAUAGGAGAAUUCCAUUUUCCUUCCUCAUUCAUGGGAGAGCUCUCUUUGGGCAUUCCAAAAAGGUAUCACAUGCCAAGUUUGGCCUCACGGUCUAAAAGUUAUAGAGUAAUACAUUUUUAACAAAAAAAAAAGAGAAAAACCGAAAAAAAGAGGGAUGCAACACGAAGACUUUUCUGGAGGUCACCCAUCCUAGUACUACUCUCCCCCAAGCACGCUUAACUGUGGUGUUCUGAUAGGAUCAAGUGCAUUAGUGCUGGUAUGAUCGCAUCAGUUACUACAUGCAAUGCAAUCAUAUAUAUUCUUUUUUGAAGACGUUAUGAUCCAUUUGCCGUAGGUCCCACCAGCUAUGUAGGAAUACCCUAUCCUGUUUAUAAGAGCUUUGAUAUAUGCAAAAUAUUCAAAAACAAUGUCCGAACAUAUAAUUUUUGUCCCGUAAUAUAGCAAAGAUCACGAAAAGGCCAGAAAAAAUAAAUUUCGGUCAAAAUUUGGAGUAGAAAAAAAACCCUUCCUCAUUCAUUGGACAGCUCUCUUUGGGCUUUCCGAAAAGGUAUCACAUGCCAAGUUUGGCCUCACGGUCUAAACCUUAUAGACUCAUACAUUUUUUACAAAAAAAAGAAGAGAAAAACCAAAAAAAAGAGUGAUUAAACACGAGGACUUUCCUGGAGGUCACCCAUCCUAGUACUACUCUCGCCCAAGCACGCUUAACUGCGAAGUUCUUAUGGGAUCUGGUGCAUUAGUGCUGGUAUGAUCGCAUCUGUUACUACAUGCAAUGCAAUUGUAUCUAUUCUUUUUUGAAGAUUUUAUGAUUCAUUUACCGUGGGUCCCACCAGCUAUGUAGGAAUAACCUAUCUGAUUUAUAAAAGCUUUGAUACAUGCAAAAUAUUCGAAAACAAUGUCCGAACAUAUAAUGUUCGCCCCAAAAUAUAGCAAAGACCGUAAAAAUGCCAUAAAAAGUACAUUAAGGUCAAAAUUUGGAGUAGGAAAAAAAAUCAAUAGGAGAAUUCCAUUUUCCUUCCCUCAUUCAUCGAAGAGCUCUCUUUGGGCAUUCCAAAAAGGUAUCACAUGCCAAGUUUGGCCUCACGGUCUAAAAGUUAUAGAGUAUUACAUUUUUAACAAAAAAAAAAGAGAAAAACCGAUAAAAAGAGGGAUGCAACACGAAGACUUUUCUGGAGGUCACCAAUCCUAGUACUACUCUCCCCCAAGCACGCUUAACUGUGGUGUUCUGAUAGGAUCAAGUGCAUUAGUGCUGGUAUGAUCGCAUCAGUUACUACAUGCAAUGCAAUCAUAUAUAUUCUGUUUUGAAGACUUUAUGAUCCAUUUGUCGUAGGUCCCACCAGCUAUGUAGGAAUACCCUUUCUUGUUUAUAAGAGCUUUGAUACAUGCAAAAUAUUCGAAAACAAUGUCCGAACAUAUAAUUUUUGUCCCGUAAUAUAGCAAAGAUCACGAAAAGGCCAGAAAAAAUACAUUUCGGUCAAAAUUUGGAGUAGAAAAAAAGCCCUUCCUCAUUCAUUGGACAGCUCUCUUUGGGCUUUCCGAAAAGGUAUCACAUGCCAAGUUUGGCCUCACGGUCUAAACCUUAUAGACUCAUACAUUUUUCACAAAAAAAAGAAGAGAAAAACCAAAAAAAAAGAGUGAUUAAACACGAGGACUUUCCUGGAGGUCACCCAUCCUAGUACUACUCUCGCCCAAGCACGCUUAACUGCGAAGUUCUGAUGGGAUCUGGUGCAUUAGUGCUGGUAUGAUCGCAUCUGUUACUACAUGCAAUGAAAUCGUAUCUAUUCUUUUUUGAAGAUUUUAUGAUUCAUUUACCGUGGGUCCCACCAGCUAUGUAGGAAUAACCUAUCUCGUUUAUAAGAGCUUUGAUACAUGCAAAAUAUUCGAAAACAAUGUCCGAACAUAUAAUGUUUGCCCCAAAAUAUAGAAAAGACCACGAAAAUGCCAUAAAAAGUACAUUAAGGUCAAAAUUUGGAGUAGGAAAAAAAAUCAAUAGGAGAAUUCCAUUUUCCUUCCUCAUUCAUCGGAGAGCUCUCUUUGGGCAUUCCAUAAAGGUAUCACAUGCCAAGUUUGGCCUCACGGUCUAAAAGUUAUAGAGUAAUACAUUUUUAACAAAAAAAAAAGAGAAAAACCGAAAAAAAGAGGGAUGCAACACGAAGACUUUUCUGGAGGUCACCCAUCCUAGUACUACUCUCCCACAAGCACGCUUAACUGUGGUGUUCUGAUAGGAUCAAGUGCAUUAGUGCUGGUAUGAUCGCAUCAGUUACUACAUGUAAUGCAAUCAUAUAUAUUCUUUUUUGAAGACUUUAUGAUCCAUUUGCCGUAGGUCCCACCAGUUAUGUAGGAAUACCCUAUCUCGUUUAUAAGAGCUUUGAUACAUGCAAAAUAUUCGAAAACAAUGUCCGAACAUAUAAUGUUUGCCCCAAAAUAUAGCAAAGACCACGAAAAUGCCAUAAAAAGUACAUUAAGGUCAAAAUUUGGAGUAGGAAAAAAAAUCAAUAGGAGAAUUCCAUUUUCCUUCCUCAUUCAUGGGAGAGCUCUCUUUGGGCAUUCCAAAAAGGUAUCACAUGCCAAGUUUGGCCUCACGGUCUAAAAGUUAUAGAGUAAUACAUUUUUAACAAAAAAAAAAGAGAAAAACCGAAAAGAAGAGGGAUGCAACACGAAGACUUUUCUGGAGGUCAUCCAUCCUAGUACUACUCUCGCCCAAGCACACUUAACUGCGGUGUUCUGAUAGGAUCAAGUGCAUUAGUGCUGGUAUGAUCGCAUCAGUUACUACAUGCAAUGCAAUCUUAUAUAUUCUUUUUUGAAGACUUUAUGAUCCAUUUGCCGUCGGUCCCACCAGCUAUGUAGGAAUACCCUAUCUUGUUUAUAAGAGCUUUGAUAUAUGCAAAAUAUUCAAAAAUAAUGUCCGAACAUAUAAUUUUUGUCCCGUAAUAUAGCAAAGAUCACGAAAAGGCCAGAAAAAAUAAAUUUCGGUCAAAAUUUGGAGUAGAAAAAAAACCCUUCCUCAUUCAUUGGACAGCUCUCUUUGGGCUUUCCGAAAAGGUAUCACAUGCCAAGUUUGGCCUCACGGUCUAAACCUUAUAGACUCAUACAUUUUUUACAAAAAAAAGAAGAGAAAAACCAAAAAAAAGAGUGAUUAAACACGAGGACUUUCCUGGAGGUCACCCAUCCUAGUACUACUUUCGCCCAAGCACGCUUAACUGCGAAGUUCUUAUGGGAUCUGGUGCAUUAGUGCUGGUAUGAUCGCAUCUGUUACUACAUGCAAUGCAAUUGUAUCUAUUCUUUUUUGAAGAUUUUAUGAUUCAUUUACCGUGGGUCCCACCAGCUAUGUAGGAAUAACCUAUCUGAUUUAUAAAAGCUUUGAUACAUGCAAAAUAUUCGAAAACAAUGUCCGAACAUAUAAUGUUCGCCCCAAAAUAUAGCAAAGACCGUAAAAAUGCCAUAAAAAGUACAUUAAGGUCAAAAUUUGGAGUAGGAAAAAAAUCAAUAGGAGAAUUCCAUUUUCCUUCCCUCAUUCAUCGGAGAGCUCUCUUUGGGCAUUCCAAAAAGGUAUCACAUGCCAAGUUUGGCCUCACGGUCUAAAAGUUAUAGAGUAUUACAUUUUUAACAAAAAAAAAAGAGAAAAGCCGAUAAAAAGAGGGAUGCUACACGAAGACUUUUCUGGAGGUCACCAAUCCUAGUACUACUCUCCCCCAAGCACGCUUAACUGUGGUGUUCUGAUAGGAUCAAGUGCAUUAGUGCUGGUAUGAUCGCAUCAGUUACUACAUGCAAUGCAAUCAUAUAUAUUCUGUUUUGAAGACUUUAUGAUCCAUUUGUCGUAGGUCCCACCAGCUAUGUAGGAAUACCCUUUCUUGUUUAUAAGAGCUUUGAUACAUGCAAAAUAUUCGAAAACAAUGUCCGAACAUAUAAUUUUUGUCCCGUAAUAUAGCAAAGAUCACGAAAAGGCCAGAAAAAAUACAUUUCGGUCAAAAUUUGGAGUAGAAAAAAAGCCCUUCCUCAUUCAUUGGACAGCUCUCUUUGGGCUUUCCGAAAAGGUAUCACAUGCCAAGUUUGGCCUCACGGUCUAAACCUUAUAGACUCAUACAUUUUUCACAAAAAAAAGAAGAGAAAAACCAAAAAAAAAGAGUGAUUAAACACGAGGACUUUCCUGGAGGUCACCCAUCCUAGUAAUACUCUCGCCCAAGCACGCUUAACUGCGAAGUUCUGAUGGGAUCUGGUGCAUUAGUGCUGGUAUGAUCGCAUCUAUUACUACAUGCAAUGAAAUCGUAUCUAUUCUUUUUUGAAGAUUUUAUGAUUCAUUUACCGUGGGUCCCACCAGCUAUGUAGGAAUAACCUAUCUUAUUUAUAAGAUCUUUGAUACAUGCAAAAUAUUGGAAAACAAUGUCCGAACAUAUAAUGUUCGCCCCAAAAUAUAGCAAAGACCACAAAAAUGCCAUAAAAAGUACAUUAAGGUCAAAAUUUGGAGUAGGAAAAAAACCAAUAAGAGAAUUCCAUUUUCCUUCCCUCAUUCAUCGGAGAUCUCUCUUUGGGCAUUCCAAAAAGGUAUCACAUGCCAAGUUUGGCCUCACGGUCUAAAAGUUAUAGAGUAAUACAUUUUUAACAAAAAAAAAAAGAGAAAAACCGAAAAAAAGAGGGAUGCAACACGAAGACUUUUCUGGAGGUCACCCAUCCUAGUACUACUCUCCCCCAAGCACGCUUAACUGUGGUGUUCUGAUAGGAUCAAGUGCAUUAGUGCUGGUAUGAUCGCAUCAGUUACUACAUGUAAUGCAAUCAUAUAUAUUCUUUUUUGAAGACUUUAUGAUCCAUGUGCCGUAGGUCCCACCAGCUAUGUAGGAAUACCCUAUCUCAUUUAUAAGAGCUUUGAUACAUGCAAAAUAUUCGAAAACAAUGUCCGAACAUAUAAUGUUUGCCCCAAAAUAUAGCAAAGACCACGAAAAUGCCAUAAAAAGUACAUUAAGGUCAAAAUUUGGAGUAGGAAAAAAAAUCAAUAGGAGAAUUCCAUUUUCCUUCCUCAUUCAUCGGAGAGCUCUCUUUGGGCAUUCCAAAAAGGUAUCACAUGGCAAGUUUGGCCUCACGGUCUAAAAGUUAUAGAGUAAUACAUUUUUAACAAAAAAAAAAGAGAAAAACCGAAAAAAAGAGGGAUGCAACACGAAGACUUUUCUGGAGGUCACCCAUCCUAGUACUACUCUCCCCCAAGCACGCUUAACUGUGGUGUUCUGAUAGGAUCAAGUGCAUUAGUGCUGGUAUGAUCGCAUCAGUUACUACAUGCAAUGCAAUCAUAUAUAUUCUUUUUUGAAGACGUUAUGAUCCAUUUGCCGUAGGUCCCACCAGCUAUGUAGGAACACCCUAUCUUGUUUAUAAGAGCUUUGAUACAUGCAAAAUAUUCGAAAACAAUGUCCGAACAUAUAAUUUUUGUCCCGUAAUAUAGCAAAGAUCACGAAAAGGCCAGAAAAAAUACAUUUCGGUCAAAAUUUGGAGUAGAAAAAAAACCCUUCCUCAUUCAUUGGACAGCUCUCUUUGGGCUUUCCGAAAAGGUAUCACAUGCCAAGUUUGGCCUCACGGUCUAAAAGUUAUAGAGUCAUACAUUUUUCACAAAAAAAGCAAGAGAAAAACAAAAAAAAAGAGUGAUGAAACACGAGGACUUUCCUGGAGGUCACCCAUCCUAGUACUACUCUCGCCCAAGCACGCUUAACUGCGAAGUUCUGAUGGGAUCUGGUGCAUUAGUGCUGGUAUGAUCGCAUCUGUUACUACAUGCAAUGCAAUCGUAUAUAUUCUUUUUUGAAGACUUUAUGAUCCAUUUGUCGUAGGUCCCACCAGUUAUGUAGGAAUACCCUAUCUCGUUUAUAAGAGCUUUGAUACAUGCAAAAUAUUCGAAAACAAUGUCCGAACAUAUAAUGUUUGCCCCAAAAUAUAGCAAAGACCACGAAAAUGCCAUAAAAAGUACAUUAAGGUCAAAAUUUGGAGUAGGAAAAAAAAUCAAUAGGAGAAUUCCAUUUUCCUUCCUCAUUCAUUGGAGAGCUCUCUUUGGGCAUUCCAAAAAGGUAUCACAUGCCAAGUUUGGCCUCACGGUCUAAAAGUUAUAGAGUAAUACAUUUUUAACAAAAAAAAAAGAGAAAAACCGAAAAAAAGAGNNNNNNNNNNNNNNNNNNNNNNNNNNNNNNNNNNNNNNNNNNNNNNNNNNUCAUACAUUUUUAACAAAACAAAUAGAGAAAAACCGAAAAAAAGAAUGAUACAACACAAGGACUUUCCGGGAGGUCACCCAUCCUAAUACUAUUCUCGCCCAAGCAAGCUUAACUGCAGAGUAUUGAUGGGAUCUGAUGCAUAAGGGCUGAUAUGAUCGCAUCCGUUACUACAAGCAAUGCAAUCGUAUCUAUUCGUUUUUGAAGACUUUAUGAUCCAUUUGCCGUGGGUCCCACCAGCUAUGUAGGAAUACCCUAUCUUGUUUAUAAGAGCUUUGAUACAUGCAAAAAAUUGGAAAACAAUGUCUGAACAUAUAAUUUUUGUCCCGUAAUAUAGCAAAGAUCACGAAAAGGAUAGAAAAAGUACAUUAAGGUCAAAAUUUUGAGUAGAAAAAAAAUCAAUAGAAGGAUUCCAAUUUCCUUCCUCAUUCAUAUAGCUCUCUUUGGGCUUUCCGAAAAGGUAUCACAUGCAAAGUUUGGCCUCGCGGUCUAAAAGUUAUAGAGGUAUACAUUUUUACCAAAAAAAAGAGGGAUUCAACACGAGGACUUUCUGGGAGGUCACUCAUCCUAUUACUACUCUCGCCCAAGCACACUUAACUGCGGAGUUCUGAUAGGAUCCAGUGCAUUAGUGCGGGUAUGAUCACAUCCGUUACUACAUGCAAUGCAAUCGUAUAUAUUUUUUUUGAAGACUUUAUGAUCCAUUUGCCGUGGGUCUCACCAGCUAUGUAGGAAUACCCUAUCUUGUUUGUAAGAGCUUUGAUACAUGCAAAAUAUUCGAAAACAAUGUCAGAACGUAUGCUUUUUGCCCCGUAAUAUAGCAUAGAUCAUGAAAAGGCCAGAAAAAGUACAUUAAGGUCAAAAUUUUGAGUAGAAAAAAAAACAAUAGAAAAAUUCCAUUGUCCUUCCUCAUUCAUCGGAGAGUUCUCUUUGGGCUUUCCGAAAAGGUAUCACAUGCCAAGUUUGGCCUCACGGUCUAAAACUUAUAGAAUCAUACAUUCUUAACAAAAAAAAAAGAGAAAAACCGAAAAAAAGAAGAAUGCAACACAAGGACUUUCCAUGAGGUCAACCAUCCUAGUACUACUCUCGCCCAAUCACGCUUAACUGCAGAGUUUUGAUGGGAUCCGGUGCAUUAGUGCUGGUAUGAUCGCAUCUGUUACUACAUGCAAUGCAAUCGUAUCUAUUCUUUUUUGAAGACUUUAUGAUCCAUUUGUCGUGGGUCCCACCAACUAUGUAAGAAUACCCUAUCUUGUUUAUAAGAGCUUUGAUACAUGCAAAAUAUUCGAAAACAAUGUCAGAACGUAUGCUUUUUGCCCCGUAAUAUAGCAUAGAUCAUGAAAAGGCCAGAAAAAGUACAUUAAGGUCAAAAUUUUGAGUAGAAAAAAAAACAAUAGAAAAAUUCCAUUGUCCUUCCUCAUUCAUCGGAGAGUUCUCUUUGGGCUUUCCGAAAAGGUAUCACAUGCCAAGUUUGGCCUCACGGUCUAAAAUUUAUAGAGUCAUACAUUUUUAACAAAAAAAAAAGAGAAAAACCGAAAAAAGAGGGAUGGAACACAAGGACUUUCCGGGAGGUCACCCAUUCUAGUACUACUCUCACCCAAGCGCGCUUAACUGUGGAGUUCUGAUGGGAUCCAGUGCAUUAGUGAUGGUAUGAUCGCAUCCGUUACUACAUGCAAUGCAAUAAUAUCUUUUCUUCUUGAAGACUUUAUGAUCCAUUUGUCGUGGGUCCCACCAGCUAUGUAGGAAUACCCUAUCUUGUUUAUAAGAGCUUUGAUACAUGCAAAAUAUUCAAAAACAAUGUCCGAACAUAUAAUUUUCGCCCCGUAAUAUAGCAAAGAUCGCGAAAACGCCAAAAGAGUACAUUAAGGUCAAAAUUUGGAGUAGAAAAAAAACCCAAUAGAAGAAUUCCAUUUUCCUUCAUCAUUCACCAGAGAGCUCUCUUUUGGCUUUUUGAAAAGGUAUCACAUGCCAAGUUUGGCCUCACGGUCUAAAAGUUAUAGAGUCAUUCAUUUUAAAAAAAAAAAUAGAGAAAAACCAAAAAAAAAAAGAGGGAUGAAACACGAGGACUUUCCGGGAGGUCACCCAUCCUAGUACUACUCUCGCCCAAGCACACUUAACUGCGGAGUUCUUAUGGGAUCUGGUGCAUUAGUGCUGCUAUGAUCGCAUCCGUUACUACAUGCAAUGCAAUCGUAUCUAUUCUUUUUUGAAGACUUUAUGAUCCAUUUGCUGUGGGUCCUGAUAUGUCUAUAAUUUACAUCUUUUCAGUGUCCAUUCAUCACCGUUUUGAGUCCAGUUUUGUAUCAUUCAUCGCUGUUUUAUAUCAUUUCUCAUCAUUCUUGCAUACUUUGCAUGAUUAGGAUAGUUUUGCAUACAUAUUGCAUUUCUAAGUUGUUUUCAGGUGAUUUGGAGCUGUUUGCGAGCAAAUUGGAAGAAACGAGCCAGAACCAGAAGACAUACUCGACCACCAGGUCGUGUGCAUCCAGCACCAUACUCGACCCCCUGGUCGAGUGACUUUGGAGCCAUUCUUCCCAUCUACUCGACCCCCUAGUCGAGUAUCCUCAGCUCAGGCUACUCGAUGACGCCAUCGACCCCCUGGUCGAGUAUCACUUCGCCACACCACCUGACCACACUCGGCCAUUCACUCUACCAAGUUAGUCGACCCCCUGGUCGAGUAUCAUCACUCACCACCAUCACCAUCACUCGACCGGACACUCGAUCACGUCUUCACAGUCUACUCAAAUCCGCACUCAACCAGACAAGCUGAGCACAAGGAAGAGAAGAGGAGAAGACAAAGUGUUUGGAAGCGGCCUGGACCUCCAUCGGAUCACAAAGCCCAUCUCGGCCCAUUAUCACUCUAUUGGUCGGGCGAUUAGGUUAUUGGCCCGUCUACUAUCAUUUUGUUUUGUAUAAAUAGAUGUCUUAGGGUUCUUUCCUGAGACAUCUAGUCGACAUUGAGUUUUUGUUUCAGUUUUAUUUUCUAUUUUACUCUUCUGCGCCGCUUUUGCUUCUACAACCUAUAAUUCGAGAUUUUUCCAAGUUAUUCAGAUUCUGCAUUUGAUUUUAUCUAUCAUCCUGUUUCUCUACUCUUUAUCUCUUUACUUAUGCAAUAUUAUCAUUUAUCUGCGUUUAUGUCUUUGAGCAUGUUGUCUGAGUAGUGACAUAGAAUUCUUAGGGAUGGGAUAGAGUAGUUGUGGAAUCCGUAGUCUGUAGAAUGGUUAAGUUUUAGAAUUGAUUGAAUCCCUUCAGGACUAGUUGCGUUUACUGCUUAUUUCUUUCUGAUCAACUGGAAUUCGAUCCCAAGCAUUCUCGCACCCAGAAGGUGUUCGAUGGAAUGCUUGAUCCACUAGUUCCUGAGAUAUUCGUCUCUAUCCCAAGGGAUUGGGCGUUUAGAGCGUUUAUUGACUUUAUCAGUCUGUUCUUAUUGCCUGCAUAGUUAGAUUGCGUUAAUGGGAAUUAGUCUGGGCUAGCUUUGCUUGAGGAUUUCUAUCACAGAAGUGAAUUGAUUUGUUGUUGAACCUAUUGUCUAGGGAUAGCUUGAUUGCGCUUGUUAACCAUUCGAAUAUGCUAGGAUAUGAUAAGGUCUGACCCUAUCGAAGACAAGAAAAAGACUAAGAGUGAUAAAAUAACAAGAUAAUAGGAAAUGCACCUUGAACGGCGGAGAGUGUAGAUGAGAGAGAGAAUUUCAAGAUUAAUGUUGUUGAUUGUUUAUUUUGAUAACAAAACCCUAAAAGGGAAGGUUCCUUAAAUAGCAUCUACUGAGACUCAAUACAAAACGCAGCAUUUCGAUAACCCAAAAGUAAAACGACACAGUUGGCGAGCUGUCUUUCUGUGCCGAGCUGGCGAGCUGUCUUUCUGUGCCUUAGCCACUUUUAAAUAGAAGCUUCCUCAGGAACUUCUCACGAGCUCUGCCUUUCCUUCCAUUUGAUUUCGCCCUUCUUCUCACACCAGCCAACGUCACCUGUAACCUAUCAAUGCUCCCGCGCAGAAGACUGACCUUGUCCUCAAGGUCGAAGUCCGGGUACUGCUGCACCAAAGUGAGGAGCGGCUCCCAAGUUGAUUCCAAGGUUGAUAAUCCAGACCACUGUACCAGCACCUCUGGUCCUGAAUUUGUGUUGCUCUGUCGGAUAUCUAGCAGCUUCUCAGGUCCUGUGUUCCAUUCCAGUGUGGGUGAUAGUAUCUUGGGAAGUUCCUGCGGGGUGAAUGACGGAGGUACAGCCCUUUUCAGUUGAGAGACAUGGAACACCGGGUGAAUUGUGCUGUGUUCGGGUAGUUGGAGCUUGUAAGCGACCUGACCUAUGCGGUGCAGCACUUUAAAUGGACCGAAGUAGCGCUGGGACAGCUUUUCAUUCUUCCUAUGAGCCACAGAACUUUGCCUAUAAGGACGCAGCUUCAAGUAAACCCAUUCAUCAAUUUCAAACGCUACAUCACGUCGACUUUUAUCAGCAGCCUUUUUCAUUUGAGCUUGAGCUAUCUCCAAGUUCUCUCUUAAUUCAACCAGCAUUCCAUCCUUAUCCUUAAGUAACUCCUCUACAUUCGCAUUAUUGGUUGGAAUAUCGCCAUACCUGAGCAGAACUGGUGGUUCUCUACCAUAGACUGCUUGAAAGGGAGUGGUUUUGGUGGCUGAAUGGUACGAGGUGUUGUACCAGUAUUCUGCCCAAGGUAACCACUGAAACCACGAUGUAGGCCUCCUCCCUGCAAAGCAUCGCAAAUAAGACUCAAGACAUCUGUUAACAACCUCGGUCUGCCCAUCAGUUUGUGGGUGAUAGGCUGUACUCUUCUGUAGCCCCGUGCCCUGCAGCUUAAACAACUCAGACCAGAAUCCGCUCAGGAAAAUCCUGUCCCUGUCCGAAACCAGUGUGUUUGGGAAGCCAUGUAGCUUGACUACAUCUCUUAUGAAGGCCUCAACUACAGUCUUGGCAGUGAAUGGAUGUUUAAGUGGAAUGAAAUGACUAUACUUACUUAAUCUAUCCACCACUACCAAUAUACAGUUAAACCUGUUAGAGCUUGGCAACCCUUCUACAAAGUCCAAGCUGACAUCACUCCAAAUCUGUUGUGGAAUAGGGAGAGGUGAUAGUAAACCGGCUGGAGAGAGGGUAGAGUAUUUAUUCUCUUGACAGAUUUGGCAUCCCUUGAUGUAGUUAACCACGUCUUUCCGCAACCCUCUCCAGUAUACUUCACUUGUGAGUCGUUUGAAUGUCUUAAGGGCACCUUCAUGACCUCCAAUAGGACUGGUGUGGAACUUCUCUAGCAUCUUUGGAAUGAAGGGAGAUCCUACAGGAAUUACCAAACAGCCUUUUCUGUAAAUCAAGCCAUCUGCCACAGUGAAGUCAGAAUCAUGGUGGUCCCCUUGUGCCCAGUUCUUAAGUAUCUGGCUCAACUCAUGAUCCUGCUGAAUUUCUGCCUUUAGUGCAGUCAAGUCGAUAGUAGGAGGACCAGUUAUAGUGAGCUGUGAGAGAGCCUCAGUUGGAGGUCUCCUUGAGAGUGCAUCAGCUACCUUAUUGUCAACUCCUGGUUUAUAUUCGAUCCUAUACUUCAGUCCACUCAACUUAGACGCCCAUCUCUGCUGUAUUGUGGACACCGACUUCUGUUCCAACAAAUGUCUGAGGCUGCGUUGAUCUGUCUUGAUAAUGAAUUCUUUACUUGAUAGGUAAUGCUUCCACUUUGUGACAGCUUUCACUAUGGCUAACAGUUCACGUUCAUAAACUGACCUUAUUCUGCCUUGACUGGAGAAGGCUUGGCUGAGAAAUGCAAUAAGCCUCUUAUUCUGUGACAGUACUGCUCCAAUCCCCAUCCCUGAUGCAUCCGUUUCCACAGUAAACUCCUGCUGGAAAUCUGGUAACACUAGCACAGGUAGUGCUGAAACAGCUGCUUUGAGAGCCUGAAAUGCAGAAGUAGCUGCCUCAUUCCAAUCAAAACUGUUCUUUUUUAACUGAUCUCUGAGUGGUCUGGCGAUUUGGCCGUAAUUCUUGACAAAUCGGCGAUAGUAGCCAGUGAAUCCUAGGAAGCCUCUUAACUCAGUCACAGAUUUAGGUAAAGGCCACUGGAGCAUUGCUUCCACCUUUUCUGGAUCUGUUGCGACUCCUUGCUCAGAGAUAAUGUGUCCCAAAUAUGAGAUCCUAGUGCUUCCAAAUGUGCACUUUUUAAAAUUGGCAUAGAACUGAUGAAGAUGCAGUAGCUGUAAGACGGUUUCCAAAUGCUUCAAAUGUGUCUUCAUAUCAGGACUAUAAACUAGUAUAUCAUCGAAGAAAACCAAGACGAACUUUCGCAAGUAUGGCCUGAAUAGGUCAUUCAUGACGCUUUGAAAGGUGGAGGGGGCGUUGGUCAAGCCAAAUGGCAUUACCAGAAAUUCAUAAUGGCCCUCAUGUGUCUUGAAGGCAGUCUUCUCCACAUCACUCAGUUUCAUCCUUAUCUGGAAAUAGCCUGAUUUAAGAUCCAACUUUGAAAACACUGUGGCUCCUUUCAGUUCAUCCAAUAGCUCUUCUAUAACAGGAAUCGGAUACUUAUCGGGUAUUGUAGCUUCAUUCAAUGCUCGAUAAUCAACGCAGAAGCGCCAUCCUCCAUCUUUCUUUUUCACUAGGAGAACUGGACUUGAAUAUGGACUCACGCUAGGUCUUAUAAUCUGAGCAUUCAACAUUUCACGCACAAGCUUCUCUAUCUCAUUCUUUUGAGCAAAAGAAUACCUGUAUGGUCGGAUAUUGACUGGUGAAGACCCUUCUUGUAAGGUAAUGGCGUGUUCUCUGUUGCGAACUGGUGGCAAUAGCUGUGGAGUUUGAAAAACCCCUUGGUACUGAUCCAAAAGCCUCUGGAUUGCAGGCUGCAAGGCUGUUUGCUCUUCCUGUUUCUUGCUUUCAAACAAAGAUGCUAGUUCCAAGAGAUAUGCAGUUCCAGUGUAUUUGAUAACUCUUUCCAUAGACCUCAUCGAAAUUUGUCCUCUACAUAGAUCCGGGUCGCCGUAUAAGGAUACCCAUGUGCGACCUAUCUGCCAACUGAUCCUCAAAUCUCUCCAGUUGGCUCUUGUUUCUCCUAGUCCUGCCAACCAAGAAAAUCCCAGAACCAAAUCCAAAUCUCCCAAGUCAAAUAAGUAGUAGUCUUGUACAAACUCAAUUCCUUGGACCUCUAGUGGUAUAUCGACACACUUCCCACUACUUUUGAUGAUUCUGCCUCCACCAACUUUAACUCCAAAACUGCGAGUUUGAGUCACUAACCAUCCUUUCUCUCUUACCAAAGCCUCACUAAUGAAGUUGCAAGUUGCUCCUGAAUCAACCAAUAACACCACUUUGGUGUUGCCAAUGUAUCCCCUCAUUUUCAUUGACUGCUCUUGAGACUCAUCAUUCAAGGAGCUGAGUGUCAUUACCUUGAAACCUUCUGCAGGUUCUGGAUCCCCUUCUUCUUCUGUCAGUGGUUCAUUCAACUCUUCAAUUAGAGGACUCUCCUCUUCAACCUCUUCUGUUAUGGCUAGACCCUUGAGCUUUUGUGGUUUGCAUUUAUGGCCUUGAAACCAUCUAUCUCCACAGUAGCGGCACGGGUUUGAGUUCCUGGCUUCCCCACUGCCUGAAGCACGAGUUGUAUCCCUACUAGGAAUGAAGGGUUGUCUCGUUGGAGCACGGUCUACCACUCUAGAUCCUGUGGAGACCUGAUUGUUGAAUGGAGCUGUGUUGGUUCUAGCUUGAUUUCGCACUUGGUAACUAACAGCAUUCCGCUCUUGUGACUCAAUGAGUUUAGCUAUCUCAACAAUAUCUGCAAGAUUCACUGGCCUACAGCGAACUACCUGGUCUCGAAGACUUCUUCUCAGUCCAUUGAGGAAUGCAGAUUCCAAUAUGUCAGAUGUGACAUGGGGUAAGUCGACUGUGAGCUCUUCAAAACGUUCUCUGUAUUCCUCCACGGUUCCUGUUUGUCUCACGUUGAGGAGAUGAUCCACAGCAGAACUGCCUCUGCUUGGUCGAAAACGUAACAUGAACUUUUCUUGAAAUUCCCUCCAGGUAUAGAUUUGUUCUCUGUCCUUAGAGCAGCGCCACCAUGUAACUGAUGCUCCUGUUAAACAAGACACAGCCUUUUCCAGUUUUUCUUCCUCUAGGGUGCGAUUGGAUAAGAAGCACUGUUCUAGCCGGAACAACCAAUCGUCGGCAUUGCCUCCUUCAUAAGCCGGAUAAUCCACAGUCCUACGCGGGGCUGCUUCAAACCGAGGUUGAUGUGGCGCAGAUUGAGGCGGAAACGUUUGUGUUUGGAAGGUUGGAGUAGUCUGAAACCCCGUGGAAGGAUUAGAUGGAAAACCUGAAGAUGAUGGAAGACCCGUGGAGGCAUUCAGCUGAAACCCUGGUGGUUCUAAUGGUGACGAGUGAAAGCGACGCGGUUCGAAGGGUGAAGCUGGAAGUCGAGGUAUCUCUGAAGUCGACGCCUGGUAUCGCGACUGGUCAAAGAGUAAGGGCCGAGGGUGUGUGUCCCGUUGAUUUGUGCCGGAAAACAGAGUCUCUCUGUUCUGUACCUCCAAGUGUUGAGGAUGAGAGGUGUAGACUGGUAACGCCGGAGCUGGAGAAGAAAAACGGACUCCUCUAUUCGGUCCUUCCAGAUGUUGUGGGUANNNNNNNNNNNNNNNNNNNNNNNNNNNNNNNNNNNNNNNNNNNNNNNNNNNNNNNNNNNNNNNNNNNNNNNNNNNNNNNNNNNNNNNNNNNNNNNNNNNNAGCUCUCUUUGGGCUUUCCGAAAAGGUAUCACAUGCCAAGUUUGGCUUCACGGUCUAAACCUUAUAGACUCAUACAUUUUUCACAAAAAAAAGAAGAGAAAAACAAAAAAAAAGAGUGAUUAAACACGAGGACUUUCCUGGAGGUCACCCAUCCUAGUACUACUCUCGCCCAAGCACUCUUAACUGCGAAGUUCUGAUGGGAUCUGGUGCAUUAGUGCUGGUAUGAACGCAUCUGUUACUACAUGCAAUGCAAUCGUAUGUAUUCUUUUUUGAAGAUUUUAUGAUUCAUUUACCGUGGGUCCCACCAGCUAUGUAGGAAUAACCUAUCUUAUUUAUAAAAGCUUUGAUACAUGCAAAAUAUUCGAAAACAAUGUCCGAACAUAUAAUGUUCGCCCCAAAAUAUAGCAAAGACCACAAAAAUGCCAUAAAAAGUACAUUAAGGUCAAAAUUUGGAGUAGGAAAAAAAUCAAUAGGAGAAUUCCAUUUUCCUUCCCUCAUUCAUCGGAGAGCUCUCUUUGGGCAUUCCAAAAAGGUAUCACAUGCCAAGUUUGGCCUCACGGUCUAAAAGUUAUAGAGUAUUACAUUUUUAACAAAAAAAAAAAGAGAAAAACCGAAAAAAAGAGGGAUGCAACACGAAGACUUUUCUGGAGGUCACCCAUCCUAGUACUACUCUCCCCCAAGCACGCUUAACUGUGGUGUUCUGAUAGGAUCAAGUGCAUUAGUGCUGGUAUGAUCGCAUCAGUUACUACAUGCAAUGCAAUCAUAUAUAUUCUUUUUUGAAGACUUUAUGAUCCAUUUGCCGUAGGUCCCACCAGCUAUGUAGGAAUACCCUAUCUUGUUUAUAAGAGCUUUGAUACAUGCAAAAUAUUCGAAAACAAUGUCCGAACAUAUAAUUUUUGUCCCGUAAUAUAGCAAAGAUCACGAAAAGGUCAGAAAAAAUAUAUUUCGGUCAAAAUUUGGAGUAGAAAAAAAGCCCUUCCUCAUUCAUUGGACAGCUCUCUUUGGGCUUUCCGAAAAGGUAUCACAUGCCAAGUUUGGCCUCACGGUCUAAACCUUAUAGACUCAUACAUUUUUCAUAAAAAAAAGAAGAGAAAAACAAAAAAAAAAAGAGUGAUUAAACACGAGGACUUUCCUGGAGGUCACCCAUCCUAGUACUACUCUCGCCCAAGCACGCUUAACUACGAAGUUCCGAUGGGAUCUGAUGCAUUAGUGCUGGUAUGAUCGCAUCUGUUACUACAUGCAAUGCAAUCGUAUCUAUUCUUUUUUGAAGAUUUUAUGAUUCAUUUACUGUGGGUCCCACCAGCUAUGUAGGAAUAACCUAUCUUAUUUAUAAAAGCUUUGAUACAUGCAAAAUAUUGGAAAACAAUGUCCGAACAUAUAAUGUUCGCCCCAAAAUAUAGCAAAGACCACAAAAAUGCCAUAAAAAGUACAUUAAGGUCAAAAUUUGGAGUAGGAAAAAAAUCAAUAGGAGAAUUCCAUUUUCCUUCCCUCAUUCAUCGGAGAGCUCUCUUUGGGCAUUCCAAAAAGGUAUCACAUGCCAAGUUUGGCCUCACGGUCUAAAAGUUAUAGAGUAAUACAUUUUUAACAAAAAAAAAAAAGAAAAAAACCGAAAACAAAGAGGGAUGCAACACGAAGACUUUCCUGGAGGUCACCCAUCCUAGUACUACUCUCACCCAAGCACACUUAACUGUGGUGUUCUGAUAGGAUCAAGUGCAUUAGUGCUGGUAUGAUCGCAUCAGUUACUACAUGCAAUGCAAUCGUAUCUAUUAUUUUUUGAAGACUUUAUGAUCCAUUUGCCGUGGGUCCCACCAGCUAUGUAGGAAUACCCUAUCUUGUUUAUAAGAGCUUUGAUACAUCCAAAAUAUUCGAAAACAAUGUUGGAACGUAUAAGUUUUGCCCAGUAAUAUAGCAAAGAUCACGAAAAGGCCACAAAAAGUACAUUAAGGUAAAAAUUUAGAGUAGGAAACAAAAACAAUAGGAGAAUUCCAUUUUCCUUCCUCAAUCAUCGGAGAGUUCUUUUUGGGCUUUCCAAAAAGGUAUCACAUGCCAAGUUUGGCCUCACGGUCUAAAAGUUAUAGAGUAAUACAUUUUUAACAAAAAAAAAAAGAAAAAAACCGAAAACAAAGAGGGAUGCAACACGAAGACUUUCCUGGAGGUCACCUAUCCUAGUACUACUCUCGCCCAAGCACACUUAACUGUGGUGUUCUGAUAGGAUCAAGUGCAUUAGUGCUGGUAUGAUCGCAUCAGUUACUACAUGCAAUGCAAUCGUAUCUAUUAUUUUUUGAAGACUUUAUGAUCCAUUUGCCGUGGGUCCCACCAGCUAUGUAGGAAUACCCAAUCUUGUUUAUAAGAGCUUUGAUACAUCCAAAAUAUUCGAAAACAAUGUUGGAACGUAUAAGUUUUGCCCAGUAAUAUAGCAAAGAUCACGAAAAGGCCACAAAAAGUACAUUAAGGUAAAAAUUUAGAGUAGGAAACAAAAACAAUAGGAGAAUUCCAUUUUCCUUCCUCAAUCAUCGGAGAGUUCUUUUUGGGCUUUCCAAAAAGGUAUCACAUGCCAAGUUUGGCCUCACGGUCUAAAAGUUAUAGAGUCAUACAUUUUUAACAAAAAAGAGGGAUUUAACACGAGGACUUUCCGAGAGGUAACCCAUCCUAGUAGUACACUCGCCCAAGCACCCUUAACUACGGAGUUCUAAUGGGAUACGGUGCAUUAGUGCUCGUAUGAUCGCAUGUGUUACUACAUGCAAUGUAAUCGUAUCUAUUCUUUUUUAAAGACUUUAUGAUCCAUUUGCCGUGGGUCCCACCAGCUAUGUAGGAAUAUCCUAUAUUCUUUAUAAGAGCUUUGAUACAUGCAAAAUAUUCGAAAACAAUGUCCGAACAUAUAAUUUCCCCCCCGUAAUAUAGCAAAGAUCACGAAAAGGCCCAAAAAAGUACAUUAAGUUUAAAAUUUGGAGUAGAAAAAAAACCAAUAGAAAAAUUCCAUUUUCCUUCCUCAGUCAUCGAAGAGCUCUCUUUGGGCUUUCUGAAAAGGUAUCACAUGCCAAGUUUGGCCUCACGGUCUAAAAGUUAUAGAGUCAUACAUUUUUAACAAAACAAAAAGAGAAAAACCGAAAAAAACAGGGAUGCAACACGAGGACUUUCCUGGAGGUCUCCCAUCCUAGUACUACUCUCGCCCAAGCACCCUUAACUGCGUAGUUCUGAUGGGAUCCGAUGCAUUAGUGCUGGUAUGAUCGCAUCUGUUACUACAUGCAAUGUAAUCGUAUCUAUUCUUUUUUAAAGACUUUAUGAUCCAUUUGCCGUGGGUCCCACCAGCUAUGUAGGAAUACCCUAUCUUCUUAAUAAGAGCCUUGAUAAAUGCAAAAUAUUGGAAAACAAUGUCCGAACAUAUAAUGCCCCCCCCCCCGUAAUAUAGCAAAGAUCACGAAAAUGCCCAAAAAAGUACAUUUAGGUCAAAAUUUGAGUAGAAAAAAAAACAAUAGAAGAAUUCCAUUUUCCUUCCUCAUUUAUCGGAGAGCUCUCUUUGGGCUUUCCGAAAAGGUAUCACAUGACAAGUUUGGCCUCACGGUCUAAAAGAUAUAGAGUCAUACAUUAUUAACAAAACAAAAUAGAGAAAAACCGAAAAAAAAGAGGGAUGCAACGCGAGGACUUUCCGGGAGGUAAUCUAUCCUAGUACUACUCUCGCCCAAGCACCCUUACCUGCGGAGUUCUGAUGGGAUCCGGUGCAGUAGUGCUGGUAUGAUCGCAUGUGUUACUACAUGCAAUGCAAUCAUAUAUAUUCUUUUUUGAAGACUUUAUGAUCCAUUUGCCGUAGGUCCCACCAGCUAUGUAGGAAUACCCUAUCUUGUUUAUAAGAGCUUUGAUACAUGCAAAAUAUUCGAAAACAAUGUCCGAACAUAUAAUUUUUGUCCCGUAAUAUAGCAAAGAUCACGAAAAGGCCAGAAAAAAUACAUUUCGGUCAAAAUUUGGAGUAGAAAAAAACCCCUUCCUCAUUCAUUGGACAGCUCUCUUUGGGCUUUCCGAAAAGGUAUCACAUGCCAAGUUUGGUCUCACGGUUUAAAAGUUAUAGAGUCAUACAUUUUUCACAAAAAAAAGAAGAGAAAAAACAAAAAAAAGAGUGAUGAAACACGAGGACUUUCCUAGAGGUCACCCAUCCUAGUACUACUCUCGCCCAAGCACGCGUAACUGCGAAGUUCUGAUGGGAUCUGGUGCAUUAGUGCUGGUAUGAUCGCAUCUGUUACUACAUGCAAUGCAAUCGUAUCUAUUCUUUUUUGAAGAUUUUAUGAUCCAUUUGCAGUGGGUCCCACCAGCUAUGUAGGAAUACCCUAUCUUGUUUAUAAGAGCUUUGAUACAUGCAAAAUCUUCGAAAACAAUGUCCGAACAUAUAAUUUUCGCCCCGUAAUAUAGCAAAGAUCACGAAAAUGCCAAAAUAGUACAUUAAGGUCAAAAUUUGGAGUAGGAAAAAAAACCCUUCAUCAUUCAUUGGAGAGCUCUCUCUGGGCUUUCCGAAAAGGUAUCACAUGCCAAGUUUGGCCUCACGGUCUAAAAGUUAUAAAGUCAUACAUUUUUAACAAAAAAAAAAGAGAAAAACCGAAAAAAAGAGUUAUGUAACACGAGGACUUUCCUGGAGGUCACCCGUCCUAGUACUACUCUCGCCCAAACACGCUUAACUGUGGUGUUCUGAUAGGAUCAAGUGCAUUAGUGCUGGUAUGAUCGCAUCAGUUACUACAUGCAAUGCAAUCAUAUAUAUUCUUUUUUGAAAACUUUAUGAUCCAUUUGCCGUAGGUCCCACCAGCUAUGUCGGAAUACCCUAUCUUGUUUAUAAGAGCUUUGAUACAUGCAAAAUAUUCGAAAACAAUGUCCGAACAUAUAAUUUUUGUCCCGUAAUAUAGCAAAGAUCACGAAAAGGCCAAAAAAAAUACAUUUCGGUCAAAAUUUGGAGUAGAAAAAAACCCCUUCCUCAUUCAUUCGACAACUCUCUUUGGGCUUUCCGAAAAGGUAUCACAUGCCAAGUUUGGUCUCACGGUCUAAAAGUUAUAGAGUCAUACAUUUUUCACAAAAAAAAGAAGAGAAAAAACCAAAAAANAGAGUGAUGAAACACGAGGACUUUCCUGGAGGUCACUCAUGCUAGUACUACUCUCGCCCAAGCACGCUUAACUGCGAAGUUCUGAUGGGAUCNNNNNNNNNNNNNNNNNNNNNNNNNNNNNNNNNNNNNNNNNNNNNNNNNNNNNNNNNNNNNNNNNNNNNNNNNNNNNNNNNNNNNNNNNNNNNNNNNNNNUUAUGAUCCAUUUGCCGUGGGUCCCACCAGCUAUGUAGGAAUACCCUAUCUUCUUUAUAAGAGCUUUGAUACAUGGAAAAUAUUGGAAAACAAUGUCCGAACAUAUAAUUUCCCCCCCGUAAUAUAGCAAAGAUCACGAAAAGGCCCGAAAAAGUACAUUUAGUUUAAAAUUUGGAGUAGAAAAAAAAACAAUAGAAAAAAUCCAAUUUCCUCCCUCGUUCAUCGGAGAGCUCUCUUUGGGCUUUCCAAAAAGGUAUCACAAGACAAGUUUGGCCUCACCGUCUAAAAGUUAUAGAGUCAUACAUUUUUAACAAAACAAAAUAGAGAAAAACGGAAAAAAGAGGGAUGCAACAUGAGGACUUUCCGGGAGGUCACCCAUCCUAGUACUACUCUCGUCCAAGGACCCUUAACUGCGAAGUUCUGAUGGGAUCCGUUGCAUUAGUGCUGGUAUGAUCGCAUGUGUUACUACAUGCAAUGUAAUCGUAUCUAUUCUUUUUUAAAGACUUUAUGAUCCAUUUGCCGUGGGUCCCACCAGCUAUGUAGGAAAACCCAAUCUUCUUUAUAAGAGCUUUGAUACAUGCAAAAUAUUGGAAAACAAUGUCCGAACAUAUAAUUUUCCCCCAUAAUAUAGCAAAGAUCACGAAAAGGCCCGAAAAAGUACAUUUAGUUCAAAAUUUGGAGUAGAAAAAAAGGCAGUAAAAGAAUUCCAUUUUCCUUCCUCAGUGAUCGGAGAGCUCUCUUUGGACUUUCCGAAAAGGUAUCACAUGCCAAGUUUGGCCUCACGGUCUAAAAGUUAUAGAGUCAUACAUUUUUAACAAAACAAAAUAGAGAAAAACGGAAAAAAGAGGGAUGCAACACGAGGACUUUCCGGGAGGUCACCCAUCCUAGUACUACUUUCGCCCAAGCACCCUUAACUGCGGAGUUCUGAUGGGAUCCGGUGCAUUAGUGCUGGUAUGAUCGCAUGUGUUACUACAUGCAAUGUAAUCAUAUUUCUUGUUAUUUAAAGAUUUUAUGAUCCAUUUGCCGUGGGUCCCACCAGCUAUGUAGGAAUACCUUAUCUUCUUUAUAGGAGCUUUGAUACAUGCAAAAUAUUGGAAAACAAUAUCCGAACAUAUAUCUUUCCCCCCGUAAUAUAGCAAAGAUCGCGAAAAGGCCCGAAAAAGUACAUUUAGGUCAAAAUUUGGAGUAGAAAAAAAAAGCAAUAGAAGAAUUCCAUUUUCCUUCCUCAGUCAUCGGAGAGCUCUCUUUGGGCUUUCCGAAAAGGUAUCACAUGCCAAGUUUGGCCUCAUGGUCUAAAAGUUAUAGAGCCAUACAUUUUUAACAAAACAAAAUAGAGAAAAACCAAAAAAAGAGAGGGAUGCAACACGAGGACUUUCCGGGAGGUCACCCAUCCUAGUACUACUCUCGCCCAAGCACCCUUAACUGCGGAGUUCUGAUGGGAUCCAGUGCAUUAGUGCUGGUAUGAUCGCAUGUGUUACUACAUGCAAUGUAAUCGUAUCUAUUCUUUUUUAAAGAUUAUAUGAUCCAUUUGCCGUGGGUCCCACCAGCUAUGUAGGAAUACCCUAUCUUCUUUAUAAGAGCUUUGAUACAUGCAAAAUAUUGGAAAACAAUGUCCGAACAUAUAAUUUUCCCCCCGUAAUAUAGCAAAGAUCACGAAAAGGCCCAAAAAAGUACAUUUAGGUCAAAAUUUGGAGUUGAAAAAAAACAAAAAGAAGAAUUCCAUUUUCCUUCCUCAUUCAUUGGAGAGCUCUCUUUGGGCUUUCCGAAAAGGUAUCACAUGCCAUGUUUAGCCUCACGGUCUAAAAGUUAUAGAGUCAUACAUUUUUAACAAAACAAAAUAGAGAAAAACCAAAAAAACGAGGGAUGCAACACGAGGACUUUCUGGGAAGUCACCUAUCCUAGUACUACUCUCGCCCAAGCACCCUUAACUGCGGAGUUCUGAUGGGAUCCGGUGCAUUAGUGCUGGUAUGAUUGCAUGUGUUACUACAUGCAAUGUAAUCGUAUCUAAUGCUUUUAAAGACUUUAUGAUCCAUUUGCCGUGGGUCCCCACAAGCUAAGUAGGAAUACCCUAUCUUCUUUAUAAGAGUUUUCAUACAUGCAAAAUAUGGAAAACAAUGUCCGAACAUAUAUUUUCCCCCCGUAAUAUAGCAAAGAUCACGAAAAGGCCCACAAAAAGUACAUUUAGUUCAAAAUUUGGAGUAGAAAAAAAAACAAUAGAAAAGUUCCAAUUUCNNNNNNNNNNNNNNNNNNNNNNNNNNNNNNNNNNNNNNNNNNNNNNNNNNGGGUCCCACCAGCUACGUAGGAAUACCCUAUCUUGUUUAUAAGAGCUUUGAUACAUGCAAAAUAUUCGAAAACAAUGUCCGAACAUAUAAUUUUCGUCCCGUAAUAUAGCAAAGAUCACAAAAAGGCCAGAAAGAGUACAUUUACGUCAAAAUUUGGAUAGAAAAAAAACGAAUAGAAGAAUUCCAUUUUGACUUCCUCAUUCAUCGGAAAGCUCUCUUUGGGCUUUCCGAAAAGGUAUCACAUGCCAAGUUUGGAAUCACGGUUUAAAAGUUAUAGAGUCAUACAUUUUUAACAAAAAAUAAAGAGAAAACCCGAAAAAUGAGGGAUGCAACACGAGGACUUUUCGGGAGGUCACCCAUCGUAGUACUACUCUCGCCCAAGCACGCUUAACUGUAGAGUUCUGAUGGGAUCCGGUUCAUUAUUGCUGGUAUGAUCGCAUCCGUUACUACAUGCAAUGCAAUCGUAUCUAUUCUUUUUUGAAGACUUUAUGAUCCAUUUGCCGUGGGUCCCACCAGCUAUGUUGGAAUACCCUAUCUUGUUUAUAAGAGCUUUGUUACAUGCAAAAUAUUCGAAAACAAUGUCCGAACAUAUAAUAUUUGCCCCGUAAUAUAGCAAAGAUCACGAAAAGGCCAGAAAACCUAUAUUAAGUUCAAAAUUUGGAGUAGAAAAAAACCAAUAGAAGAAUUCCAUUUUCCUUCCUCACUCAUCGGAGAGCUCUCUUUGGGGCUUUCCGAAAAGGUAUCACAUGCAAAGUUUGGCCUCACAGGCUAAAAGUUAUAGAGUCGUACAUUUUUAACAAAAAAAAAAAGAGAAAAGCCGAAAAAAAGAAGGAUGCAACACAAGGACUUUCCGGGAGGUCAGCCAUCCUAAUAUUACUCUCGCCCAAGCACGCUUAACUGUAGAGUUCUGAUGGGAUCCGGUGCAUUAGUGCUGGUAUGAUCGCAUCUGUUACUACAUGCAAUGCAAUCGUAUCUAUUCUUUUUUUAAGACUUUAUGAUCCAUUUACCGUGGGUCCCACCAGCUACGUAGGAAUAACCUAUCUUAUUUAUAAGAGCUUUGAUACAUGCAAAAUAUUCGAAAACAAUGUCCGAACAUAUAAUUUUCGUCCCGUAAUAUAGCAAAGAUCACAAAAAGGCCAGAAAGAGUACAUUAAGGUCAAAAUUUUGGAGUAGAAAAAAAAACCCUUCCUCAUUCAUUAAAGAGCUCUCUUUGGCAUUUCCGAAAAGGUGUCACAUGCCAAGUUCGGCCUCACGGUCUAAAAGUUAUAGAGUCAUACAUUGUUAACAAAAAAAAAGAGAAAAACCGAUUAAAAGAGUUAUGCAACACAAGGACUUUCCUGGAGGUCACCCGUCCUAGUACUACUCUCGCCCAAGCACGCUUAAAUGCGGAGUUCUGAUGGGAUCCGGUCCAUGAGUGGUGGUAUGAUCACAUCCGUUACUACAUGCAAUGCAAUCGUAUCUAUUAUUUUUUGAAGACUUUAUGAUCCAUUUGCCGUGGGUCCCACCAGCUAUGUAGGAAUACCCUAUCUUGUUUAUAAGAGCUUUGAUACAUCCAAAAUAUUCGAAAACAAUGUUGGAACGUAUAAGUUUCGCUCAGUAAUAUAGCAAAGAUCACGAAAAGGCCACAAAAAGUACAUUAAGGUAAAAAUUUAGAGUAGGAAAAAAAAACAAUAGGAGAAUUCCAUGUUCCUUCCUCAAUCAUCGGAGAGCUCUCUUUGGGCUUUCCAAAAAGGUAUCACAUGCCAAGUUUGGCCUCACGGUCUAAAAGUUAUAGAGUCAUACAUUUUUAACAAAAAAAAAUAGAGAAAAACCAAAAAAAAGAGGGAUGCAACACGAAGACUUUCCUGGAGGUCACCCAUCCUAGUACUACUCUCGCCCAAGCACGCUUAACUGCGGUGUUCUGAUAGGAUCAAGUGCAUUAGUGCUGGUAGGAUCGCAUUCGUUACUACAUGCAAUGCAAUUAUAUAUAUUCUUUUUUGAAGACUUUAUGAUCCAUUUGCGGUAGGUCCCACCAGCUAUGUAGGAAUACCCUAUCUUGCUUAUAAGAGUUUUGAUACAUGCAAAAAUAUUCGAAAACAAUGUCCGAACAUAUAAUUUUUGUCCCGUAAUAUAACAAAGAUCACGAAAAGGCCAAAAAUAGUACAUUUCGGUCAAAACAUGGAGCAGAAAAAAAACCCCUUCCUCAUUCAUCGGAGAGCUCUCAUUGGGCUUUCCGAAAAGAUAUCACAUGCAAAGUUUGGCCUCACGGUUUAAAAGUUAUAGAGUCAAAUAUUUUUAACAAAAAAAAGAGAGAAAAACCGAAAACAAAGAGGGAUGCAACACGAGGACUUUCCGGAAGGUCACCCAUCCUAGUACUACUCUAGCCCAAGCACGCUUAACCGCGGAGUUCUGAUAGGAUCCGGUGCAUUAGUGCUGGUAUGAUCGCAUCAGUUACUACAUGCAAUGCAAUCAUAUAUAUUUUUUUUGAAGACUUUAUGAUCCAUUUGCCGUGGGUCCCACCAGCUAUGUAGGAAUACCUAUCUUGUUUAUAAGAGCUUUGAUACAUGCAAAAUAUUUGAAAACAAUGUCCGAACGUAUAAUCUUCGUCCCGUAAUAUAGCAAAGAUCACGAAAAGGCCAGAAAAAGUACAUUAAGGUCAAAAUUUUGACUAGAAAAAAAAAACAAUAGAAAAAUUCCAUUGUCCUUCCUCAUUCAUCGGAGAGUUCUCUUUGGGCUUUCCGAAAAGGUAUCACAUGCCAAGUUUGGCCUCACGGUCUAAAACUUAUAGAAUCAUACAUUCUUAACAAAAAAAAAAAAAAAACCGAAAAAAAGAAGAAUGCAACACAAGGACUUUCCAGGAGGUCAACCAUCCUAGUAGUACUCUCGCCCAAUCACGCUUAACUGCAGAGUUCUGAUGGGAUCCGGUGCAUUAGUGCUGGUAUGAUCGCAUCUGUUACUACAUGCAAUGCAAUCGUAUCUAUUCUUUUUUGAAGACUUUAUGAUCCAUUUGCCGUGGGUCCCACCAGCUAUGUAGGAAUACCUUAUCUUGUUUAUAAGAGCUUUGAUACAUGCAAAAUAUUCGAAUACAAUGUCUGAACGUAUAACUUUCGCCCCGUAAUAUAGCGAAGAUCACGAAAAGGCCCGAAAAAGUACAUUAAGGUCAAAAUUUCGAGUAGAAAUAAAAACCAAUAGAAGAAUUCCAAUUUCCUUCCUCAUUCAUUGGAGAGCUCUCUUUGGGCUUUCCGAAAAGGUAUCACAUGCGAAGUUUCGCCUCACAAUCUAAAAGUUAUAUAGUCAUACAUUUUUAACAAAACAAAUAGAGAAAAACCGAAAAAAAGAAUGAUACAACACAACGACUUUCCCGGAGGUCACCCAUCCUAAUACUAUUCUCGCCCAAGCAAGCUUAACUGCAGAGUAUUGAUGGGAUCUGAUGCAUAAGUGCUGAUAUGAUCGCAUCCGUUACUACAUGCAAUGCAAUCGUAUCUAUUCGUUUUUGAAGACUUUAUGAUCCAUUUGCCGUGGGUCCCACCAGCUAUGUAGGAAUACCCUAUCUUGUUUAUAAGAGCUUUGAUACAUGCAAAAAAUUGGAAAACAAUGUCUGAACAUAUAAUUUUUGUCCCGUAAUAUAGCAAAGAUCACGAAAAGGAUAGAAAAAGUACAUUAAGGUCAAAAUUUUGAGUAGAAAAAAAAUCAAUAGAAGGAUUCCAAUUUCCUUGCUCAUUCAUAUAGCUCUCUUUGGGCUUUCCGAAAAGGUAUCACAUGCAAAGUUUGGCCUCGCGGUCUAAAAGUUAUAGAGGUAUACUUUUUUACCAAAAAAAAAGAAGAAAAAAACCAAAAAAAAGAGGGAUUCAACACGAGGACUUUCUGGGAGGUCACUCAUCCUAUUACUACUCUCGCCCAAGCACGCUUAACUGCGGAGUUCUGAUAGGAUCCAGUGCAUUAGUGCGGGUAUGAUCACAUCCGUUACUACAUGCAAUGCAAUCGUAUAUAUUUUUUUUGAAGACUUUAUGAUCCAUUUGCCGUGGGUCUCACCAGCUAUAUAGGAAUACCCUAUCUUGUUUAUAAGAGCUUUGAUACAUGCAAAAUAUUUGAAAACAAUGUCCGAACGUAUAAUCUUCGUCCCGUAAUAUAGCAAAGAUCACUAAAAGGCUAGAAAAAGUACAUUAAGAUCAAAAUUUUGAGUAGAAAAAUAAACAAUAGAAAAAUUCCAUUGUCCUUCCUCAUUCAUCGGAGAGUUCUCUUUGGGCUUUCCGAAAAGGUAUCACAUGCCAAGUUUGGCCUCACGGUCUAAAACUUAUAGAAUCAUACAUUCUUAACAAAAAAAAAAGAGAAAAACCGAAAAAAAGAAGAAUUUAACACAAGGACUUUCCAGGAGGUCAACCAUCCUAGUAGUACUCUCGCCCAAUCACGCUUAACUGCAGAGUUCUGAUGGGAUCCGGUGCAUUAGUGCUGGUAUGAUCGCAUCUGUUACUACAUGCAAUGCAAUCGUAUCUGUUACUACAUGCAAUGCAAUCGUAUCUGUUACUACAUGCAAUGCAAUCGUAUCUAUUCUUUUUUGAAGACUUUAUGAUCCAUUUGCCGUGGGUCCCACCAGCUAUGUAGGAAUACCCUAUCUUGUUUAUAAGAGCUUUGAUACAUGCAAAAUAUUCGAAUACAAUGUCUAAACGUAUAAGUUUCGCCCCGUAAUAUAGCGAAGAUCACGAAAAGGCCCGAAAAAGUACAUUAAGGUCAAAAUUUGGAGUAGAAAUAAAAACCAAUAGAAGAAUUCCAAUUUCCUUCCUCAUUCAUUGGAGAGCUCUCUUUGGGCUUUCCGAAAAGGUAUCACAUGCGAAGUUUGGCCUCACAAUCUAAAAGUUAUAUAGUCAUACAUUUUUAACAAAACAAAUAGAGAAAAACCGAAAAAAAGAAUGAUACAACACAAGGACUUUCCGGGAGGUCACCCAUCCUAAUACUAUUCUCGCCCAAGCAAGCUUAACUGCAGAGUAUUGAUGGGAUCUGAUGCAUAAGGGCUGAUAUGAUCGCAUCCGUUACUACAAGCAAUGCAAUCGUAUCUAUUCGUUUUUGAAGACUUUAUGAUCCAUUUGCCGUGGGUCCCACCAGCUAUGUAGGAAUACCCUAUCUUGUUUAUAAGAGCUUUGAUACAUGCAAAAAAUUGGAAAACAAUGUCUGAACAUAUAAUUUUUGUCCCGUAAUAUAGCAAAGAUCACGAAAAGGAUAGAAAAAGUACAUUAAGGUCAAAAUUUUGAGUAGAAAAAAAAUCAAUAGAAGGAUUCCAAUUUCCUUCCUCAUUCAUAUAGCUCUCUUUGGGCUUUCCGAAAAGGUAUCACAUGCAAAGUUUGGCCCCGCGGUCUAAAAGUUAUAGAGGUAUACAUUUUUACCAAAAAAAAGAGGGAUUCAACACGAGGACUUUUUUNNNNNNNNNNNNNNNNNNNNNNNNNNNNNNNNNNNNNNNNNNNNNNNNNNUGCUGGUAUGAUCGCAUCAGUUACUACAUGCAAUGCAAUCAUAUAUAUUCUUUUUUGAAGACUUUAUGAUCCAUUUGCCGUAGGUCCCACCAGCUAUGUAGGAAUACCCUAUCUUGUUUAUAAGAGCUUUGAUACAUGCAAAAUAUUCGAAAACAAUGUCCGAACAUAUAAUUUUUGUCCCGUAAUAUAGCAAAGAUCACGAAAAGGCCAGAAAAAAUACAUUUCGGUCAAAAUUUGGAGUAGAAAAAAAGCCCUUCCUCAUUCAUUGGACAGCUCUCUUUGGGCUUUCCGAAAAGGUAUCACAUGCCAAGUUUGGCCUCACGGUCUAAACCUUAUAGACUCAUACAUUUUUCACAAAAAAAAGAAGAGAAAAACCAAAAAAAAGAGUGAUUAAACACGAGGAUUUUCCUGGAGGUCACCCAUCCUAGUACUACUCUCGCCCAAGCACGCUUAACUGCGAAGGUCUGAUGGGAUAUGGUGCAUUAGUGCUGGUAUGAUCGCAUCUGUUACUACAUGCAAUGCAAUCGUAUCUAUUCUUUUUUGAAGAUUUGAUGAUUCAUUUACCGUGGGUCCCACCAGCUAUGUAGGAAUAACCUAUCUUAUUUAUAAAAGCUUUGAUACAUGCAAAAUAUUCGAAAACAAUGUCCGAACAUAUAAUGUUCGCCCCAAAAUAUAGCAAAGACCACAAAAAUGCCAUAAAAAGUACAUUAAGGUCAAAAUUUGGAGUAGGAAAAAAAUCAAUAGGAGAAUUCCAUUUUCCUUCCCUCAUUCAUCAGAGAGCUCUCUUUGGGCAUUCCAAAAAGGUAUCACAUGCCAAGUUUGGCCUCACGGUCUAAAAGUUAUAGAGUAUUACAUUUUUAACAAAAAAAAAAGGGAAAAACCGAAAAAGAGGGAUGCAACACGAAGACUUUUCUGGAGGUCACCCAUUCUAGUACUACUCUCCCCCAAGCACGCUUAACUGUGGUGUUCUAAUAGGAUCAAGUGCAUUAGUGCUGGUAUGAUCGCAUCAGUUACUACAUGCAAUGCAAUCAUAUAUAUUCUUUUUUGAAGACUUUAUGAUCCAUUUGCCGUAGGUCCCACCAGCUAUGUAGGAAUACCCUAUCUUGUUUAUAAGAGCUUUGAUACAUGCAAAAUAUUCGAAAACAAUGUCCGAACAUAUAAUUUUUGUCCCGUAAUAUAGCAAAGAUCACGAAAAGGCCAGAAAAAAUACAUUUCGGUCAAAAUUUGGAGUAGAAAAAAAGCCCUUCCUCAUUCAUUGGACAGCUCUCUUUGGGCUUUCCGAAAAGGUAUCAUAUGCCAAGUUUGGCCUCACGGUCUAAACCUUAUAGACUCAUACAUUUUUCACAAAAAAAAGAAGAGAAAAACCAAAAAAAAGAGUGAUUAAACACGAGGACUUUCCUGGAGGUCAUCCAUCCUAGUACUACUCUCGCCCAAGCACGCUUAAUUGCGAAGUUCUGAUGGGAUCUGGUGCAUUAGUGCUGGUAUGAUCGCAUAUGUUACUACAUGCAAUGCAAUCGUAUCUAUUCUUUUUUGAAGAUUUUAUGAUUCAUUUACCGUGGGUACCACCAGCUAUGUAGGAAUAACCUAUCUUAUUUAUAAGAGCUUUGAUACAUGCAAAAUAUUCGAAAACAAUGUCCGAACAUAUAAUUUUUGUCCCGUAAUAUAGCAAAGAUCACGAAAAGGCCAGAAAAAAUACAUUUCGGUCAAAAUUUGGAGUAGAAAAAAACCCUUCCUCAUUCAUUGGACAGCUCUGUUUGAGCUUUCCGAAAAGGUAUCACAUGCCAAGUUUGGCCUCACGGUCUAAAAGUUAUAGAGUCAUACAUUUUUCACAAAAAAAAGAAGAGAAAAACCAAAAAAAAGAGUGAUGAAACACGAGGACUUUCCUGGAGGUCACCCAUCCUAGUACUACUCUCGCCCAAGCACGCGUAACUGCGAAGUUCUGAUGGGAUCUGGUGCAUUAGUGCUGGUAUGAUCGCAUCUGUUACUACAUGCAAUGCAAUCGUAUCUAUUCUUUUUUGAAGAUUUUAUGAUUCAUUUACCGUGGGUCCCACCAGCUAUGUAGGAAUAACCUAUCUUAUUUAUAAGAGCUUUGAUACAUGCAAAAUAUUGGAAAACAAUGUCCGAACAUAUAAUGUUCGCCCCAAAAUAUAGCAAAGACAACAAAAAUCCCAUAAAAAGUACAUUAAGGUCAAAAUUUGGAGUAGGAAAAAAAUCAAUAAGAGAAUUCCAUUUUCCUUCCCUCAUUCAUCGGAGAGGUCUCUUUGGGCAUUCCAAAAAGGUAUCACAUGCCAAGUUUGGCCUCACGGUCUAAAAGUUAUAGAGUAAUACAUUUUUAACAAAAAAAAAAGAGAAAAACCGAAAAAAAGAGGGAUGCAACACGAAGACUUUUCUGGAGGUCACCCAUCCUAGUACUACUCUCCCAAAGCACGCUUAACUGUGGUGUUCUGAUAGGAUCAAGUGCAUUAGUGCGGGUAUGAUCGCAUCAGUUACUACAUGCAAUGCAAUCAUAUAUAUUCUUUUUUGAAGACUUUAUGAUCCAUUUGCCGUAGGUCCCACCAGCUAUGUAGGAAUACCCUAUCUUGUUUAUAAGAGCUUUGAUACAUGCAAAAUAUUCGAAAACAAUGUCCGAACAUAUAAUUUUUGUCCCGUAAUAUAGCAAAGAUCACGAAAAGGCCAGGAAAAAUACAUUUCGGUCAAAAUUUGGAGUAGAAAAAAAACCCUUCCUCAUUCAUUGGACAGCUCUCUUUGGGCUUUCCGAAAAGGUAUCACAUGCCAAGUUUGGCCUCACGGUCUAAAAGUUAUAGAUUCAUACAUUUUUCACAAAAAAAAGAAGAGAAAAACCAAAAAAAAGAGGGAUGAAACACGAGGACUUUCCCAGAGGUCACCCAUCCUAGUACUACUCUCGCCCAAGCACGCUUAACUGCGAAGUUCUGAUGGGAUCUGGUGCAUUAGUGCUGGUAUGAUCGCAUCUGUUACUACAUGCAAUGCAAUCGUAUCUAUUCUUUUUUGAAGAUUUUAUGAUUCAUUUACCGUGGGUCCCACCAGCUAUGUAGGAAAACCUAUCUUAUUUAUAAGAUCUUUGAUACAUGCAAAAUAUUGGAAAACAAUGUCCGAACAUAUAAUGUUCGCCCCAAAAUAUAGCGAAGACCACAAAAAUGCCAUAAAAAGUACAUUAAGGUCAAAAUUUGGAGUAGGAAAAAAAUCAAUAGGAGAAUUCCAUUUUCCUUCCCUCAUUCAUCGGAGAGCUCUCUUUGGGCAUUCCAAAAAGGUAUCACAUGCCAAGUUUGGCCUCACGGUCUAAAAGUUAUAGAAUAUUACAUUUUUAACAAAAAAAAAGAGAAAAACCAAAAAAAAGAGGGAUGCAACACGAGGACUUUUCUGGAGGUCACCCAUCCUACUACUACUCUCGCCCAAGCACACUUAACUGCGGUGUUCUGAUAGGAUCAAGUGCAUUAGUGCUGGUAUGAUCGCAUCAGUUACUACAUGCAAUGCAAUCAUAUAUAUUCUUUUUUGAAGACUUUAUGAUCCAUUUGCCGUAGGUCCCACCAGCUAUGUAGGAAUACCCUAUCUUGUUUAUAAGAGCUUUGAUACAUGCAAAAUAUUCGAAAACAAUGUCCGAACAUAUAAUUUUUGUCCCGUAAUAUAGCAAAGAUCACGAAAAGGCCAGAAAAAAUACAUUUUGGUCAAAAUUUGGAGUAGAAAAAAAGCCCUUCCUCAUUCAUUGGACAGCUCUCUUUGGGCUUUCCGAAAAGGUAUCACAUGCCAAGUUUGGCCUCACGGUCUAAACCUUAUAGACUCAUACAUUUUUCACAAAAAAAAGAAGAGAAAAACCAAAAAAAAGAGUGAUUAAACACGAGGAUUUUCCUGGAGGUCACCCAUCCUAGUACUACUCUCGCCCAAGCACGCUUAACUGCGAAGGUCUGAUGGGAUAUGGUGCAUUAGUGCUGGUAUGAUCGCAUCUGUUACUACAUGCAAUGCAAUCGUAUCUAUUCUUUUUUGAAGAUUUGAUGAUUCAUUUACCGUGGGUCCCACCAGCUAUGUAGGAAUAACCUAUCUUAUUUAUAAAAGCUUUGAUACAUGCAAAAUAUUCGAAAACAAUGUCCGAACAUAUAAUGUUCGCCCCAAAAUAUAGCAAAGAUCACAAAAAUGCCAUAAAAAGUACAUUAAGGUCAAAAUUUGGAGUAGGAAAAAAAUCAAUAGGAGAAUUCCAUUUUCCUUCCCUCAUUCAUCGGAGAGCUCUCUUUGGGCAUUCCAAAAAGGUAUCACAUGCCAAGUUUGGCCUCACGGUCUAAAAGUUAUAGAGUAUUACAUUUUUAACAAAAAAAAAAGGGAAAAACCGAAAAAGAGGGAUGCAACACGAAGACUUUUCUGGAGGUCACCCAUCCUAGUACUACUCUCCCCCAAGCACGCUUAACUGUGGUGUUCUAAUAGGAUCAUGUGCAUUAGUGCUGGUAUGAUCGCAUCAGUUACUACAUGCAAUGCAAUCAUAUAUAUUCUUUUUUGAAGACUUUAUGAUCCAUUUGCCGUAGGUCCCACCAGCUAUGUAGGAAUACCCUAUCUUGUUUAUAAGAGCUUUGAUACAUGCAAAAUAUUCGAAAACAAUGUCCGAACAUAUAAUUUUUGUCCCGUAAUAUAGCAAAGAUCACGAAAAGGCCAGAAAAAAUACAUUUCGGUCAAAAUUUGGAGUAGAAAAAAAGCCCUUCCUCAUUCAUUGGACAGCUCUCUUUGGGCUUUCCGAAAAGGUAUCAUAUGCCAAGUUUGGCCUCACGGUCUAAACCUUAUAGACUCAUACAUUUUUCACAAAAAAAAGAAGAGAAAAACCAAAAAAAAGAGUGAUUAAACACGAGGACUUUCUUGGAGGUCAUCCAUCCUAGUACUACUCUCGCCCAAGCACGCUUAACUGCGAAGUUCUGAUGGGAUCUGGUGCAUUAGUGCUGGUAUGAUCGCAUCUGUUACUACAUGCAAUGCAAUCGUAUCUAUUCUUUUUUGAAGAUUUUAUGAUUCAUUUACCGUGGGUACCACCAGCUAUGUAGGAAUAACCUAUCUUAUUUAUAAGAGCUUUGAUACAUGCAAAAUAUUCGAAAACAAUGUCCGAACAUAUAAUUUUUGUCCCGUAAUAUAGCAAAGAUCACGAAAAGGCCAGAAAAAAUACAUUUUGGUCAAAAUUUGGAGUAGAAAAAAACCCUUCCUCAUUCAUUGGACAGCUCUGUUUGAGCUUUCCGAAAAGGUAUCACAUGCCAAGUUUGGCCUCACGGUCUAAAAGUUAUAGAGUCAUACAUUUUUCACAAAAAAAAAGAAGAGAAAAACCAAAAAAAAGAGUGAUGAAACACGAGGACUUUCCUGGAGGUCACCCAUCCUAGUACUACUCUCGCCCAAGCACGCGUAACUACGAAGUUCUGAUGGGAUCUGGUGCAUUAGUGCUGGUAUGAUCGCAUCUGUUACUACAUGCAAUGCAAUCGUAUCUAUUCUUUUUUGAAGAUUUUAUGAUUCAUUUACCGUGGGUCCCACCAGCUAUGUAGGAAUAACCUAUCUUAUUUAUAAGAGCUUUGAUACAUGCAAAAUAUUGGAAAACAAUGUCCGAACAUAUAAUGUUCGCCCCAAAAUAUAGCAAAGACAACAAAAAUGCCAUAAAAAGUACAUUAAGGUCAAAAUUUGGAGUAGGAAAAAAAUCAAUAAGAGAAUUCCAUUUUCCUUCCCUCAUUCAUCGGAGAGCUCUCUUUGGGCAUUCCAAAAAGGUAUCACAUGCCAAGUUUGGCCUCACGGUCUAAAAGUUAUAGAGUAGUACAUUUUUAACAAAAAAAAAAGAGAGAAACCGAAAAAAAGAGGGAUGCAACACGAAGACUUUUCUGGAGGUCACCCAUCCUAGUACUACUCUCCCAAAGCACGCUUAACUGUGGUGUUCUGAUAGGAUCAAGUGCAUUAGUGCGGGUAUGAUCGCAUCAGUUACUACAUGCAAUGCAAUCAUAUAUAUUCUUUUUUGAAGACUUUAUGAUCCAUUUGCCGUAGGUCCCACCAGCUAUGUAGGAAUACCCUAUCUUGUUUAUAAGAGCUUUGAUACAUGCAAAAUAUUCGAAAACAAUGUCCGAACAUAUAAUUUUUGUCCCGUAAUAUAGCAAAGAUCACGAAAAGGCCAGGAAAAAUACAUUUCGGUCAAAAUUUGGAGUAGAAAAAAAACCCUUCCUCAUUCAUUGGACAGCUCUCUUUGGGCUUUCCGAAAAGGUAUCACAUGCCAAGUUUGGCCUCACGGUCUAAAAGUUAUAGAUUCAUACAUUUUUCACAAAAAAAAGAAGAGAAAAACCAAAAAAAAGAGGGAUGAAACACGAGGACUUUCCCAGAGGUCACCCAUCCUAGUACUACUCUCGCCCAAGCACGCUUAACUGCGAAGUUCUGAUGGGAUCUGGUGCAUUAGUGCUGGUAUGAUCGCAUCUGUUACUACAUGCAAUGCAAUCGUAUCUAUUCUUUUUUGAAGAUUUUAUGAUUCAUUUACCGUGGGUCCCACCAGCUAUGUAGGAAAACCUAUCUUAUUUAUAAGAUCUUUGAUACAUGCAAAAUAUUGGAAAACAAUGUCCGAACAUAUAAUGUUCGCCCCAAAAUAUAGCGAAGACCACAAAAAUGCCAUAAAAAGUACAUUAAGGUCAAAAUUUGGAGUAGGAAAAAAAUCAAUAGGAGAAUUCCAUUUUCCUUCCCUCAUUCAUCGGAGAGCUCUCUUUGGGCAUUCCAAAAAGGUAUCACAUGCCAAGUUUGGCCUCACGGUCUAAAAGUUAUAGAAUAUUACAUUUUUAACAAAAAAAAAGAGAAAAACCGAAAAAAAGAGGGAUGCAACACGAAGACUUUUCUGGAGGUCACCCAUCCUACUACUACUCUCGCCCAAGCACACUUAACUGCGGUGUUCUGAUAGGAUCAAGUGCAUUAGUGCUGGUAUGAUCGCAUCAGUUACUACAUGCAAUACAAUCAUAUAUAUUCUUUUUUGAAGACUUUAUGAUCCAUUUGCCGUAGGUCCCACCAGCUAUGUAGGAAUACCUUAUCUUGUUUAUAAGAGCUUUGAUACAUGCAAAAUAUUCGAAAACAAUGUCCGAACAUAUAAUUUUUGUCCCGUAAUAUAGCAAAGAUCACGAAAAGGCCAGAAAAAAUACAUUUCGGUCAAAAUUUGGAGUAGAAAAAAAACCCUUCCUCAUUCAUUGGACAGCUCUCUUUGGGCUUUCCGAAAAGGUAUCACAUGCCAAGUUUGGCUUCACGGUCUAAACCUUAUAGACUCAUACAUUUUUCACAAAAAAAAGAAGAGAAAAACAAAAAAAAAGAGUGAUUAAACACGAGGACUUUCCUGGAGGUCACCCAUCCUAGUACUACUCUCGCCCAAGCACUCUUAACUGCGAAGUUCUGAUGGGAUCUGGUGCAUUAGUGCUGGUAUGAACGCAUCUGUUACUACAUGCAAUGCAAUCGUAUGUAUUCUUUUUUGAAGAUUUUAUGAUUCAUUUACCGUGGGUCCCACCAGCUAUGUAGGAAUAACCUAUCUUAUUUAUAAAAGCUUUGAUACAUGCAAAAUAUUCGAAAACAAUGUCCGAACAUAUAAUGUUCGCCCCAAAAUAUAGCAAAGACCACAAAAAUGCCAUAAAAAGUACAUUAAGGUCAAAAUUUGGAGUAGGAAAAAAAUCAAUAGGAGAAUUCCAUUUUCCUUCCCUCAUUCAUCGGAGAGCUCUCUUUGGGCAUUCCAAAAAGGUAUCACAUGCCAAGUUUGGCCUCACGGUCUAAAAGUUAUAGAGUAUUACAUUUUUAACAAAAAAAAAAAGAGAAAAACCGAAAAAAAGAGGGAUGCAACACGAAGACUUUUCUGGAGGUCACCCAUCCUAGUACUACUCUCCCCCAAGCACGCUUAACUGUGGUGUUCUGAUAGGAUCAAGUGCAUUAGUGCUGGUAUGAUCGCAUCAGUUACUACAUGCAAUGCAAUCAUAUAUAUUCUUUUUUGAAGACUUUAUGAUCCAUUUGCCGUAGGUCCCACCAGCUAUGUAGGAAUACCCUAUCUUGUUUAUAAGAGCUUUGAUACAUGCAAAAUAUUCGAAAACAAUGUCCGAACAUAUAAUUUUUGUCCCGUAAUAUAGCAAAGAUCACGAAAAGGUCAGAAAAAAUAUAUUUCGGUCAAAAUUUGGAGUAGAAAAAAAGCCCUUCCUCAUUCAUUGGACAGCUCUCUUUGGGCUUUCCGAAAAGGUAUCACAUGCCAAGUUUGGCCUCACGGUCUAAACCUUAUAGACUCAUACAUUUUUCAUAAAAAAAAGAAGAGAAAAACAAAAAAAAAAAGAGUGAUUAAACACGAGGACUUUCCUGGAGGUCACCCAUCCUAGUACUACUCUCGCCCAAGCACGCUUAACUACGAAGUUCCGAUGGGAUCUGAUGCAUUAGUGCUGGUAUGAUCGCAUCUGUUACUACAUGCAAUGCAAUCGUAUCUAUUCUUUUUUGAAGAUUUUAUGAUUCAUUUACUGUGGGUCCCACCAGCUAUGUAGGAAUAACCUAUCUUAUUUAUAAAAGCUUUGAUACAUGCAAAAUAUUGGAAAACAAUGUCCGAACAUAUAAUGUUCGCCCCAAAAUAUAGCAAAGACCACAAAAAUGCCAUAAAAAGUACAUUAAGGUCAAAAUUUGGAGUAGGAAAAAAAUCAAUAGGAGAAUUCCAUUUUCCUUCCCUCAUUCAUCGGAGAGCUCUCUUUGGGCAUUCCAAAAAGGUAUCACAUGCCAAGUUUGGCCUCACGGUCUAAAAGUUAUAGAGUAAUACAUUUUUAACAAAAAAAAAAAAGAAAAAAACCGAAAACAAAGAGGGAUGCAACACGAAGACUUUCCUGGAGGUCACCCAUCCUAGUACUACUCUCACCCAAGCACACNUUAACUGUGGUGUUCUGAUAGGAUCAAGUGCAUUAGUGCUGGUAUGAUCGCAUCAGUUACUACAUGCAAUGCAAUCNNNNNNNNNNNNNNNNNNNNNNNNNNNNNNNNNNNNNNNNNNNNNNNNNNCUCCUCAGUCAUCUUUGAGCUCUCUUUGGGCUUUCCGAAAAGGUAUCACAUGCCCAGUUUGGCCUCACGGUCUAAAAGUUAUAAAGUCAUACAUUUUUAACAAAAAAAAAAGAGAAAAACCGAAAAAAAGAGGGAUGCAAUACGAGGACUUUCCACGAGGUCACCCAUCCUAGUACAACUCUCGCCAAAGCAUGCUUAACUGCGGAGUUUAGAUGGGAUCUGGUGCAUUAGUGCUGGUAUGAUCGCAUCUGUUACUACAUGCAAUGCAAUCGUAUCUAUUCUUAUUUAAAGACUUUAUCAUCCAUUUGCCAUGGGUCCCACCUGUAGGAAUACCCAAUCUUGUUUAUAAGAGCUUUGAUACAUGCAAAAUAUUCGAAAACAACGUCCGAACAUAUAAUUUUCGCCCCGUAAUAUAGCAAAGAUCACGAAAAGGCCCGAAAAAGUACAUUAAGGUCAAAAUUUGGAAUAGAAAAAAAAACCAAAAGAAGUAUUCCAUUGUCCUUUGUCAUUCAUCGAAGAGCUCUCUUUGGGCUUUCCGAAAAGGUAUCGCAAGCCAAGUUUGGCCUCACGGUUUAAAAGUUAUAAAGUCAUACAUUUUUAACAAAAAAAAAAAGAGAAAAAACCGAAAAAAAGAGGGAUGCAACACGAGGACUUUUCUGGAGGUCACCCAUCCUAGUACUACUCUCGCCCGAUCACCCUUAACUGCGUAGUUUUGAUGGGAUUCGAUGCAUUAGUGCUGGUAUGAUCGCAUCUGUUACUACAUGCAAUGUAAUCGUAUCUAUUCUUUUUUAAAGACUUUAUGAUCCAUUUGCCGUGGGUCCCACCAGCUAUGUAGGAAUACCCUAUCUUCUUUAUAAGAGCUUUGAUAUAUGCAAAAUAGUGGAAAACCAUGUCCGAACAUAUAAUUUUUCCCCUGUAAUAUAGCAAAGAUCAAGAAAAAGCCAAAAAAAGUAUAUUUAGGUCAAAAUUUGGAGUAGAAAAAAAAACAAUAGAAGAAUUCCAUUUUCCUUCCUCAGUCAUCGGAGAGCUCUCUUUCGGCUUUCCGAAAAGGUAUCAAAUGCCAAGUUUGGCCUCACGGUCUAAAAGUUAUAGAGUCAUACAUUUUUAACAAUACAAAGUAGAGAAAACCGGAAAAAAGAGGGAUGCAACAUGAGGACUUUCCGGGAGGUAAUCCAUCCUAGUACAACUCUUGCCCAAGCACCCUUAACUGCGGAGUUCUGAUGGAAUCCGGUGCAUUAGUGCUGGUAUGAUCGCAUCUGUUACUACAUGCAAUGUAAUCGUAUCUAUUUUUUUUUAAAGACUUUAUGAUCCAUUUGCCGUGGGUCCCACCAGCUAUGUAGGAAUACCCUAUCUUCUUUAUAAGAGCUUUGAUACAUGCAAAAUAUAUGAAAAAACGUUCGAACAUAUAAUUUUUCCCCCCGUAAUAUAGCAAAGAUCACGAAAAGGCCCGAAAAAGUACAUUUAGUUCAAAAUUUGGAGUAGAAAAACCCAAUAGAAGAAUUCCAUUUUCCUUCGUCAUUCAUCGGAGAGCUCUCUUUGGGCUUUCCGAAAAGGUAUCACAUGCCAAGUUUGGCCUCACGGUCUAAAAGUUAUAGAGUCAUACAUUUUUAACAAAACAAAAUUGAGAAAAACCGAAAAAAGAGGGAUGCAACACGAGGACUCUCCAGAAGGUAACCCAUCUUAGUACUACUUUCGCCCAAGCACCCUUAACUGCGGAGUUCUGAUAGGACCCGGUGCAUUAGUGCUGGUAUGAUCGCAUGUGUUACUACAUGCAAUGUAAUCGUAUAUAUUCAUUUUUAAAGACUUUAUGAUCCAUUUGCCGUGGGUCCUACCAGCUAUGUAGAAAUACCCUAUCUUCUUUAUAAGAGCUUUCAUUCACGCAAAAUAAUGGAAAACAAUGUCCGAAGAUAUAAUUCCCCCCCCCCCCCCCCCGUAAUAUAGCAAAGAUCACGAAAAGGCCCGAAAAAGUACAUUAAGUUCAAAAUUUGGAGUAGAAAAAAAAACAAUAGAAGAAUUCCAUUUUCCUUCCUCAGUCAUCGGAGAGCUCUCUUUGGGCUUUCCGAAAAGGUAUCACAUGCCAAGUUUGGCCUCACGGUCUAAAGGUUAUAGAGUCAUACAUUUUUAACAAAAAAAAAUAGAAAAACAGAAAAAAGAGGGAUGCAAUACGAGGACUUUCCAGGAGGUCACCCAUCCUAGUACAACUCUCGCCGAAGCACGCUUAACUACGGUGUUCAGAUGGAAUCUGGUGCAUUAGUGCUGGUAUGAUGUCAUUUGUUACUACAUGCAAUGCAAUCAUAUCUAUUCUUAUUUAAAGACUUUAUGAUCCAUUUGCCGUGGGUCCCACCUGUAGGAAUACCCUAUCUUGUUUAUAAAAGAUUUGAUACAUGCAAAAUACUCGAAAACAAUGUCCGAACAUAUAAUUUUCACCCCGUAAUAUAGCAAAGAUCACGAAAAGGCCCGAAAAAGUACAUUAAAGUCAAAAUUUGGAGUAGAAAAAAACCCAAUAGAAGUAUUCCAUUCUCCUUCGUCAUUCAUCGGAGAGCUCUCUUUAGGCUUUCCGAAAAGAUAUCACAUGCCAAGUUUGGCCUCACGGUUUAAAAGUUAUAGAGUCAUAGAUUUUUAACAAAACAAAAAGAGAAAAACCGAAAAAAAAUUGGGAUGCAACACGAGGACUUUCCUGGAGGUCACCCAUCCUAGUACUACUCUUGCCCAAGCACCCUUAACUGCGUAGUUCUGAUGGGAUCCGAUGCUUUAGGGCUGGUAUGAUCGCAUCUGUUACUACAUGCAAUGUAAUCGUAUCUAUUCUUUUUUAAAGACUUUAUGAUCCAUUUGCCGUGGGUCCCACCAGCUAUGUAGGAAUACCCUAUCUUCUUUAUAAGAGCUUUGAUAAAUGCAAAAUAUUGGAAAGCAAUGUCCGAACAUAUAAUUUCGCCCCCGUAAUAUAGCAAAGAUCACGAAAAAGCCCAAAAAAGUUCAUUUAGGUCAAAAUUUGAGCAGAAGAAAAAGAAAUAGAAGAAUUCCAUUUUCCUUCCUCAUUUAUUGGAGAGCUCUCUUUGGGCUUUCCGAAAAGGUAUCACAUGCCAAGUUUGGCCUCACGGUCUAAAAGUUAUAGAGUCAUACAGUUUUAACAAAAUGAAAUAGAGAAAAACCGAAAAAAAGAGGGAUGUAACACGAGGACUUUCCGGGAGGUAAUCUAUCCUACUACUACUCUCGGCCAAGCACCCUUAACUGCGGAGUUCUAAUGGGAUCCGGUGCAUUAGUGCUAGUAUGAUCGCAUGUGUUACUACAUGCAAUGUAAUCGUAUCUAUUCUUUUUUAAAGACUUUAUGAUCCAUUUGCCGUGGGUCCCACCAGCUAUGUAGGAAUACCCUAUCUUCUUUAUAAGAGCUUUGAUACAUGCAAAAUAUAUGAAAAAAACGUCCGAACAUAUAAUUUUCCCCCCGUAAUAUAGCAAAGAUCAUGAAAAGGCCCAAAAAAGUACAUUAAUGUCAAAAUUUGGCGUAGAAAAAAAACCAAUAGACAUAUUCCAUUGUCCUUCAUCAUUCAUUGAAGAGCUCUCUUUGGGCUUUCCGAAAAGGUAUCACAUGCCAAGUUUGGCCUCACGGUCUAAAAGUUAUAGAGUCAUACAUUUUUAACAAUACAAAAUAGAGAAAAACCGAAAAAAAGAGGGAUGCAACACGAGGACUUUCCGGGAGGUAAUCCAUCCUAGUACUACUCUCGCCCAAGCACCCUUAACUGCGGAGUUCUGAUGGGACCCGGUGCAUUAGUGCUGGUAUGAUCGCAUCUGUUACUAUAUGCAAUGUAAUCGUAUCUAUUCUUUUUUAAAGACUUUAUGAUCCAUUUGCCGUGGGUCCCACCAGCUAUGUAGGAAUACCCUAUCUUCUUUAUAAGAGCUUUGAUAUAUGCAAAAUAUUGGAACACCAUGUCCGAACAUAUAAUUUUUCCCGUGUAAUAUAGCAAAGAUCAAGAAAAAGACAAAAGAGUACAUUUAGGUCAAAAUUUGAGUAGAAAAAAACAAAUAGAAGAAUUCCAUUUUCCUUCCUCAUUCAGCUGAGAGCUCUCUUUGGGCUUUCCGAAAAGGUAUCAUAUGCCAAGUUUGGCCUCACAGUGUAAAAGUUAUAGAGUCUAACAUUUUUAACAAAACAAAAUAGAGAAAAACCAAAAAAAGAGGGAUGCAACACGAGGACUUUCUGGGAGGUCACCCAUCCUAGUACUACUCUCGCCCAAGCACCCUUAACUGCGGAGUUCUGAUGGGAUCCGGUGCAUUAGUGCAGGUAUGAUCGCAUGUGUUACUACAUGCAAUGUAAUCCUAUCUAUUCUUUCUUAAAGACUUUAUGAUCCAUUUGCCGUGAGUCCCACCAGCUAUGUAGGAAUACCCUAUCUUCUUUAUAAGAGCUUUGAUACAUGCAAAAUAUUGGAAAACAAUAUCCGAACAUAUAGUUUUCCCCCCGUAAUAUAGCAAAGAUCACGAAAAGGCCCGAAAAAGUACAUUUAGUUCAAAAUUGGGAGUAGAAAAAAAAACAAUAGAAGAAUUCCAUUUUACUUCCUCAGUCAUCGGAGAGCUCUCUUUGGGCUUUCCGAAAAGGUAUCACAUGCCCAGUUUGGCCUCACGGUCUAAAAGUUAUAAAGUCAUACAUUUUUAACAAAAACAAAAGAGAAAAACCGAAAAAAAAGAGGGAUGCAAUACGAGGACUUUCCACGAGGUCACCCAUCCUAGUACAACUCUCGCCGAAGCAUGCUUAACUGCGGAGUUUAGAUGGGAUCUGGUGCAUUAGUGCUGGUAUGAUCGCAUCUGUUACUACAUGCAAUGCAAUCGUAUCUAUUCUUAUUUAAAGACUUUAUCAUCCAUUUGCCAUGGGUCCCACCUGUAGGAAUACCCAAUCUUGUUUAUAAGAGCUUUGAUACAUGCAAAAUAUUCGAAAACAACGUCCGAACAUAUAAUUUUCGCCCCGUAAUAUAGCAAAGAUCACGAAAAGGCCCGAAAAAGUACAUUAAGGUCAAAAUUUGGAAUAGAAAAAAAAACCAAUAGAAGUAUUCCAUUGUCCUUUGUCAUUCAUCGAAGAGCUCUCUUUGGGCUUUCCGAAAAGGUAUCGCAAGCCAAGUUUGGCCUCACGGUUUAAAAGUUAUAAAGUCAUACAUUUUUAACAAAAAAAAAAAGAGAAAAAACCGAAAAAAAGAGGGAUGCAACACGAGGACUUUUCUGGAGGUCACCCAUCCUAAUACUUCUCUCGCCCGAUCACCCUUAACUACGUAGUUUUGAUGGGAUUCGAUGCAUUAGUGCUGGUAUGAUCGCAUCUGUUACUACAUGCAAUGUAAUCGUAUCUAUUCUUUUUUAAAGACUUUAUGAUCCAUUUGCCGUGGGUCCCACCAGCUAUGUAGGAAUACCCUAUCUUCUUUAUAAGAGCUUUGAUAUAUGCAAAAUAUUGGAAAACCAUGUCCGAACAUAUAAUUUUUCCCCUGUAAUAUAGCAAAGAUCAAGAAAAAGCCAAAAAAGUAUAUUUAGGUCAAAAUUUGGAGUAGAAAAAAAAACAAUAGAAGAAUUCCAUUUUCCUUCCUCAGUCAUCGGAGAGCUCUCUUUGGGCUUUCCGAAAAGGUAUCAAAUGCCAAGUUUGGCCUCACGGUCUAAAAGUUAUAGAGUCAUACAUUUUUAACAAUACAAAGUAGAGAAAACCGGAAAAAAGAGGGAUGCAACAUGAGGACUUUCCGGGAGGUAAUCCAUCCUAGUACAACUCUUGCCCAAGCACCCUUAACUGCGGAGUUCUGAUGGAAUCCGGUGCAUUAGUGCUGGUAUGAUCGCAUGUGUUACUACAUGCAAUGUAAUCGUAUCUAUUCUUUUUUAAAGACUUUAUGAUCCAUUUGCCGUGGGUCCCACCAGCUAUGUAGGAAUACCCUAUCUUCUUUAUAAGAGCUUUGAUACAUGCAAAAUAUAUGAAAAAACGUUCGAACAUAUAAUUUUUCCCCCCGUAAUAUAGCAAAGAUCACGAAAAGGCCCGAAAAAGUACAUUUAGUUCAAAAUUUGGAGUAGAAAAACCCAAUAGAAGAAUUCCAUUUUCCUUCGUCAUUCAUCGGAGAGCUCUCUUUGGGCUUUCCGAAAAGGUAUCACAUGCCAAGUUUGGCCUCACGGUCUAAACGUUAUAGAGUCAUACAUUUUUAACAAAACAAAAUUGAGAAAAACCGAAAAAAAGAGGGAUGCAACACGAGGACUCUCCAGAAGGUAACCCAUCUUAGUACUACUUUCGCCCAAGCACCCUUAACUGCGGAGUUCUGAUAGGACCCGGUGCAUUAGUGCUGGUAUGAUCGCAUGUGUUACUACAUGCAAUGUAAUCGUAUAUAUUCAUUUUUAAAGACUUUAUGAUCCAUUUGCCGUGGGUCCUACCAGCUAUGUAGAAAUACCCUAUCUUCUUUAUAAGAGCUUUCAUUCACGCAAAAUAAUGGAAAACAAUGUCCGAAGAUAUAAUUUCCCCCCCCCCCCGUAAUAUAGCAAAGAUCACGAAAAGGCCCGAAAAAGUACAUUAAGUUCAAAAUUUGGAGUAGAAAAAAAAACAAUAGAAGAAUUCCAUUUUCCUUCCUCAGUCAUCGGAGAGCUCUCUUUGGGCUUUCCGAAAAGGUAUCACAUGCCAAGCUUGGCCUCACGGUCUAAAGGUUAUAGAGUCAUACAUUUUUAACAAAAAAAAAAUAGAAAAACAGAAAAAAGAGGGAUGCAAUACGAGGACUUUCCAGGAGGUCACCCAUCCUAGUACAACUCUCGCCGAAGCACGCUUAACUACGGUGUUCAGAUGGAAUCUGGUGCAUUAGUGCUGGUAUGAUGUCAUUUGUUACUACAUGCAAUGCAAUCAUAUCUAUUCUUAUUUAAAGACUUUAUGAUCCAUUUGCCGUGGGUCCCACCUGUAGGAAUACCCUAUCUUGUUUAUAAAAGAUUUGAUACAUGCAAAAUACUCGAAAACAAUGUCCGAACAUAUAAUUUUCACCCCGUAAUAUAGCAAAGAUCACGAAAAGGCCCGAAAAAGUACAUUAAAGUCAAAAUUUGGAGUAGAAAAAAACCCAAUAGAAGUAUUCCAUUCUCCUUCGUCAUUCAUCGGAGAGCUCUCUUUAGGCUUUCCGAAAAGAUAUCACAUGCCAAGUUUGGCCUCACGGUUUAAAAGUUAUAGAGUCAUAGAUUUUUAACAAAACAAAAAGAGAAAAACCGAAAAAAAUUGGGAUGCAACACGAGGACUUUCCUGGAGGUCACCCAUCCUAGUACUACUCUCGCCCAAGCACCCUUAACUGCGUAGUUCUGAUGGGAUCCGAUGCUUUAGUGCUGGUAUGAUCGCAUCUGUUACUACAUGCAAUGUAAUCGUAUCUAUUCUUUUUUAAAGACUUUAUGAUCCAUUUGCCGUGGGUCCCACCAGCUAUGUAGGAAUACCCUAUCUUCUUUAUAAGAGCUUUGAUAAAUGCAAAAUAUUGGAAACCAAUGUCCGAACAUAUAAUUUCGCCCCCGUAAUAUAGCAAAGAUCACGAAAAAGCCCAAAAAAGUUCAUUUAGGUCAAAAUUUGAGCAGAAGAAAAAGAAAUAGAAGAAUUCCAUUUUCCUUCCUCAUUUAUUGGAGAGCUCUCUUUGGGCUUUCCGAAAAGGUAUCACAUGCCAAGUUUGGCCUCACGGUCUAAAAGUUAUAGAGUCAUACAUUUUUAACAAAAUGAAAUAGAGAAAAACCGAAAAAAAGAGGGAUGUAACACGAGGACUUUCCGGGAGGUAAUCUAUCCUACUACUACUCUCGGCCAAGCACCCUUAACUGCGGAGUUCUAAUGGGAUCCGGUGCAUUAGUGCUGGUAUGAUCGCAUGUGUUACUACAUGCAAUGUAAUCGUAUCUAUUCUUUUUUAAAGACUUUAUGAUCCAUUUGCCGUGGGUCCCACCAGCUAUGUAGGAAUACCCUAUUUUCUUUAUAAGAGCUUUGAUACAUGCAAAAUAUUGGAAAACAAUGUCCGAACAUAUUAUUUUCCCCCCGUAAUAUAGCAAAGAUCACGAAAAGGCCCGAAAAAGUACAUUUAGUUCAAAAUGUGGAGUAGAAAAAAAAACAAUAGAAGAAUUCCAUUUUCCUUCGUCAUUCAUCGGAGAGCUCUCUUUAGGCUUUCCGAAAAGGUAUCACAUGCCAAGUUUGGCCUCACGGUCUAAAAGUUAUAGAAUCAUACAUUUUUAACAAAACAAAAUAGAGAAAAACCGAAAAAGAGGGAUUUAACACGAGGACUUUCCGAGAGGUAACCCAUCCUAGUACUACUCUCGUCCAAGCACCCUUAACUGCGGAGUUCUGAUGGGAUCCGGUGUAUUAGUGCUGGUAUGAUCGCAUGUGUUACUACAUGCAAUGUAAUCGUAUCUAUUCUUUUUUAAAGACUUUAUAAUCCAUUUGCCGUGGGUCCCACCAGCUAUGUAGGAAUACCCUAUUUUCUUUAUAAGAGCUUUGAUACAUGCAAAAUAUUAGAAAACAAUGUCCGAACAUAUUAUUUUCCCCCCGUUAUAUAGCAAAGAUCACGAAAAGGCCCGAAAAAGUACAUUUAGUUCAAAAUUUGGAGUAGAAAAAAAAACAAUAGAAGAAUUCCAUUUUCCUUCGUCAUUCAUCGGAGAGCUCUCUUUAGGCUUUCCGAAAAGGUAUCACAUGCCAAGUUUGGCCUCACGGUCUAAAAGUUAUAGAGUCAUACAUUUUUAACAAAACAAAAUAGAGAAAAACCGAAAAAAGAGGGAUUUAACACGAGGACUUUCUGAGAGGUAACCCAUCCGAGUACUACACUCGCCCAAGCACCCUUAACUACGGAGUUCUGAUGGGAUACGGUGCAUUAGUGCUGGUUUGAUCGCAUCUGUUACUACAUGCAAUGUAAUCGUAUCUAUUCUUUUUUAAAGACUUUAUGAUCCAUUUGCCGUGGGUGCCACCAACUAUGUAGGAUUAUCCUAUAUUCUUUAUAAGAGCUUUGAUACAUGAAAAAUAUUCGAAAACAAUGUCCGAACAUAUAAUUUCCACCCGUAAUAUAGCAAAGAUCACGAAAAGGCCCAAAAAAGUACAUUAAGUUUAAAAUUUGGAGUAGAAAAAAAACCAAUAGAAGAAUUCCAUUUUCCUUCCUCAGUCAUCGGAGAGCUCUCUUUGGGCUUUCCGAAAAGGUAUCACAUGCCAAGUUUGACCUCACGGUCUAAAGGUUAUAGAGUCAUACAUUUUUAACAAAAAAAAAUAGAAAAACAGGAAAAAAGAGGGAUGCAAUACGAGGACUUUCCAGGAGGUCACCCAUCCUAGUACAACUCUCGCCGAAGCACGCUUAACUGCGGUGUUCAGAUGGGAUCUGGUGCAUUAGUGCUCGUAUGAUGGCAUUUGUUACUACAUGCAAUGCAAUCGUAUCUACUCUUAUUUAAAGACUUUAUGAUCCAUUUGCCGUGGGUGCCACCAACUAUGUAGGAUUAUCCUAUAUUCUUUAUAAGAGCUUUGAUACAUGCAAAAUAUUCGAAAGCAAUGUCCGAACAUAUAAUUUCCCCCCCGUAAUAUAGCAAAGAUCACGAAAAGGCCCGAAAAAGUACAUUUAGUUCAAAAUUUGGAGUAGAAAAAAAAACAAUAGAAGAAUUCCAUUUUCCUUCGUCAUUCAUCGGAGAGCUCUCUUUAGGCUUUCCGAAAAGGUAUCACAUGCCAAGUUUGGCCUCACGGUCUAAAAGUUAUAGAGUCAUACAUUUUCAACAAAACAAAAUAGAGAAACACCGAAAAAAGAGGGAUUUAACACGAGGACUUUCCGAGAGGUAACCCAUCCUAGUACUACUCUCGUCCAAGCACCCUUAACUGCGGAGUUCUGAUGGGAUCCGGUGCAUUAGUGCUGGUAUGAUCGCAUGUGUUACUACAUGCAAUGUAAUCAUAUCUAUUCUUUUUUUAAAGACUUUAUGAUUCAUUUGCCGUGGGUCCCACCAGCUAUGUAGGAAUACCCUAUUUUCUUUAUAACAGCUUUGAUACAUGCAAAAUAUUGGAAAACAAUGUCCGAACAUAUUAUUUUCCUCCCGUAAUAUAGCAAAGAUCACGAAAAGGCCCGAAAAAGUACAUUUAGUUCAAAAUUUGGAGUAGAAAAAAAAACAAUAGAAGAAUUCCAUUUUCCUUCGUCAUUCAUCGGAGAGCUCUCUUUAGGCUUUCCGAAAAGGUAUCACAUGCCAAGUUUGGCCUCACGGUCUAAAAGUAUAGAGUCAUACAUUUUUAAAAAAACAAAAUAGAGAAAAACCGAAAAAAGAGGGAUUUAACACGAGGACUUUCCGAGAGGUAACCCAUCCUAGUACUACUCUCGUCCAAGCACCCUUAACUGCGGAGUUCUAAUGGGAUCUGGUGCAUUAGUGCUGGUAUGAUCGCAUGUGUUACUACAUGCAAUGUAAUCGUAUCUAUUCUUUUUUAAAGACUUUAUGAUCCAUUUGCCGUGGGUCCCACCAGCUAUGUAGGAAUACCCUAUUUUCUUUAUAAGAGCUUUGAUACAUGCAAAAUAUUGGAAAACAAUGUCCGAACAUAUUAUUUUCCCCCCGUUAUAUAGCAAAGAUCACGAAAAGGCCCGAAAAAGUACAUUUAGUUCAAAAUUUGGAGUAGAAAGAAAAACAAUAGAAGAAUUCCAUUUUCCUUCGUCAUUCAUCUGAGAGCUCUCUUUAGGCUUUCCGAAAAGGUAUCACAUGCCAAGUUUGGCCUCACGGUCUAAAAGUUAUAGAGUCAUACAUUUUUAACAAAACAAAAUAGAGAAAAACCGAAAAAGAGGGAUUUAAGACGAGGACUUUCUGAGAGGUAACCCAUCCGAGUACUACACUCGCCCAAGCACCCUUAACUACGGAGUUCUGAUGGGAUACGGUGCAUUAGUGCUGGUUUGAUCGCAUGUGUUACUACAUGCAAUGUAAUCGUAUCUAUUCUUUUUUAAAGACUUUAUGAUCCAUUUGCCGUGGGUGCCACCAACUAUGUAGGAUUAUCCUAUAUUCUUUAUAAGAUCUUUGAUACUUGCAAAAUAUUCGAAAAAAAUGUCCGAACAUAUAAUUUCCCCCCCGUAAUAUAGCAAAGAUCACGAAAAGGCCCAAAAAAGUACAUUAAGUUUAAAAUUUGGAGUAGAAAAAAAACCAAUAGAAGAAUUCCAUUUUCCUUCCUCAGUCAUCGGAGAGCUCUCUUUGGGCUUUCCGAAAAGUUAUCACAUGCCAAGUUUGACCUCACGGUCUAAAGGUUAUAGAGUCAUACAUUUUUAACAAAAAAAAAUAGAAAAACAGGAAAAAAGAGGGAUGCAAUACGAGGACUUUCCAGCAGGUCACCCAUCCUAGUACAACUCUCGCCAAAGCACGCUUAACUGCGGUGUUCAGAUGGGAUCUGGUGCAUUAGUGCUUGUAUGAUGGCAUUUGUUACUACAUGCAAUGCAAUCGUAUCGAUUCUUAUUUAAAGACUUUAUGAUCCAUUUGUCGUGGGUGCCACCUGUAGGAAUACCCUAUCUUGUUUAUAAGAGAUUUGAUACAUGCAAAAUAUUCGAAAACAAUGUCCGAACAUAUAAUUUUUGCCCCGUAAUAUAGAAAAGAUCACAAAAAAGUCCAAAAAAGUACAUUUAGGUCAAAAUUUGAGCAGAAAAAAAAGAAAUAGAAGAAUUCCAUUUUCCUUCGUCAUUCAUCGGAGAGCUCUCUUUAGGCUUUCCGAAAAGAUAUCACAUGCCAAGUUUGGCCUCACGGUCUAAAAGUUAUAGAGUCAUACAUUUUUCACAAAACAAAAAGAGAAAAACCGAAAAAAAUAGGGAUGCAACACGAGGACUUUCCUGGAGGUCACCCAUCCUAGUACUAAUCUCGCCCAAGCACCCUUAACUGCGUAGUUCUGAUGGGAUCCGAUGCAUUAGUCCUGGUAUGAUCGCAUCUGUUACUAUAUGCAAUAUAAUCGUAUCUAUUCUUUUUUAAAGACUUUAUGAUCCAUUUGCCGUGGGUCCCACCAGCUAUGUAGGAUACCCUAUCUUCAUAAUAAGAGCUUUGAUAAAUGCAAAAUAUUGGAAAACAAUGUCCGAACAUAUAAUUUCCCCCCCCCCCCCCGUAAUAUAGCAAAGAUCACGAAAAAGCCCAAAAAAGUACAUUUAGGUCAAAAUUUGAGUAGAAAAAAAAACAAAUAGAGGAAUUCCAUUUUCCGUCCUCAUUCAUCGGAGAGCUCUCUUUCGGCUUUCCGAAAAGGUAUCACAUGCCAAGUUUGGCCUCACGGUCUAAAAGUUAUAGAGUCAUACAUUUUUAACAAAACAAAAUAGAGAAAAACCGAAAAAAAGAAGGAUGCAACACGAGGACUUCCCGGGAGGUCACCCAUCCUAGUACUACUCUCGCCUAAGCACCCUUAACUGCGGAGUUCUGAUGGGAUCAGGUGCAUUAGUGCUGGUAUGAUCGCAUGUGGUACUACAUGCAAUGUAAUCGUAUCUAUUCCUUUUGAAAGACUUUAUGAUCCAUUUGCCGUGGGUCCCACCAGCUAUGUAGGAAUACCCUAUCUUCUUUAUAAGAGCUUUGAUACAUGCAAAAUAUUUGAAAACAAUGUCCGAACAUAUAAUUUUCCCCCCGUUAUAUAGCAAAGAUCACGAAAAGGCCCAAAAAAGUACAAUUAGUUCAAAAUUUGGAGUAGAAAAAAAAACAAUAGAAGAAUUCCAUUUUCCUUCCUCAGUCAUCGGAGAGCUCUCUUUGGGCUUUCCAAAAAGGUAUCACAUGCCAAGUUUGGCCUCACAGUCUAAAAGUUAUAGAGUCAUACAUUUUUAACAAAACAAAAUAGAGAAAAACCGAAAAAAAGAGGGAUGCAACACGAGGACUUUCCGGGAGGUAACCCAUCCUAGUACUACUCUCGCCCAAGCACCCUUAACUGCGGAGUUUUGAUGGGAUCCGGUGCAUUAGUGUUGGUAUGAUCGCAUGUGUUACUACAUGCAAUGUAAUCGUAUCUAUUCCUUUUGAAAGACUUUAUGAUCCAUUUGCCGUGGGUCCCACCAGCUAUGUAGGAAUACCCUAUCUUCUUUAUAAGAGCUUUGAUACAUACAAAAUAUUGGAUCACAAUGUCAUAACAUAUAAUUUUCCCCCCUUAAUAUAGCAAAGAUCACGAAAAGGCCCGAAAAAAUACAUUUAGUUCAAAAUUUGGAGUAGAAAAAAAAAAUAUAAGAAUUCCAUUUUCCUUCCUCUGUUAUCGGAGAGCUCUCUUUGGGCUUUCCGAAAAGGUAUCACAUGCCAAGUUUGGCCUCACGGUCUAAAAGAUAUAAAGUCAUACAUUAUUAACAAAACAAAAUAGAGAAAAACCGAAAAAAAGAAGGAUGCAACACGAGGACUUUCCGGGAGGUAAUCUAUCCUAGUACUACUCUCGCCCAAGCACCCUUAACUGCGGAGUUCUGAUGGGAUCCGGUGCAUUAGUGUUGGUAUGAUCGCAUGUGUUACUACAUGCAAUGUAACCGUAUCUAUUCUUUUUUAAAGACUUUAUGAUCCAUUUGCCGUGGGUCCCACCAGCUAUGUAGGAAUAUUCUAUCUUCUUUAUAAGAGCUUUGAUACAUGCAAAAUAUUGGAAAACAACGUCCGAACAUAUAAUUUCCCCCCCCCCCCGUAAUAUAGCAAAAAUCACGAAAAGGCCCGAAAAAGUACAUUUAGUUCAAAAUUUGCAGUAGAAAAAAAAACAAUAGAAGAAUUUCAUUUUCCUUCCUCAGUCAUCGGAGAGCUCUCUUUGGGCUUUCCAAAAAGGUAUCACAUGCCAAGUUUGGCCUCACAGUCUAAAAGUUAUAGAGUCAUACAUUUUUAACAAAACAAAAUAGAGAAAAACCGAAAAAAGAGGGAUGCAACACGAGGACUUUCCCGGAGGUAAUCUAUCCUAGUACUACUCUCGCCCAAGCACCCUUAACUGCGGAGUUCUGAUGGGAUCCGGUGCAGUAGUGCUGGUAUGAUCGCAUGUGUUACUACAUGCAAUGUAAUCGUAUCUAUUCUUUUUUAAAGACUUUAUGAUCCAUUUGCCGUGAGUCCCACCAGCUAUGUAGGAAUAUUCUAUCUUCUUUAUAAGAGCUUUGAUACAUGCAAAAUACUGGAAAACAAUGUCCGAACAUAUAAUUUUCCCCACGUAAUAUAGCAAAGAUCACGAAAAGGCCCGAAAAAGUACAUUUAGUUCAAAAUUUGGAGUAGAAAAAAAAACAAUAGAAGAAUUUCAUUUUCCUUCCCUAGUCAUCGGAGAGCUCUCUUUGGGCUUUCCAAAAAGGUAUCACAUGCCAAGUUUGGCCUCACAGUCUAAAAGUUAUAGAGUCAUACAUUUUUAACAAAACAAAAUAGAGAAAAACCGAAAAAAAAGAGGGAUGCAACACGAGGACUUUCUGGGAGGUAAUCUAUCCUAGUACUACUCUCGCCCAAGCACCCUUAACUGCGGAGUUCUGAUGGGAUCCGGUGCAGUAGUGCUGGUAUGAUCGCAUGUGUUACUACAUGCAAUGUAAUCGUAUCUAUUCUUUUUUAAAGACUUUAUGAUCCAUUUGCCGUGAGUCCCACCAGCUAUGUAGGAAUAUUCUAUCUUCUUUAUAAGAGCUUUGAUACAUGCAAAAUACUGGAAAACAAUGUCCGAACAUAUAAUUUUCCCCCCGUAAUAUAGCAAAGAUCACGAAAAGGCCCAGAAAAGUACAUUUAGUUCAAAAUUUGGAGUAGAAAAAAAAACAAUAGAAGAAUUCCAUUUUCCUUCCUCAAUCAUCGGAGAGCUCUCUUUGGGCUUUCCGAAAAGGUAUCUCAUGCCAAGUUUGGCCUCACGAACUAAAAGUUAUAGAGUCAUACAUUUUUAACAAAACAAAAUAGAGAAAAACCGAAAAAAGAGGGAUGCAACACAAGGACUUUCCGGGAGGUCACCCAUCCUAGUACUACUCUCGCCCAAGCACCCUUAACUGCGGAGUUCUGAUGGGAUCCAGUGCAUUAGUGCUGGUAUGAUCGCAUGUGUUACUACAUGCAAUGUAAUCGUAUCUAUUCUUUUUUAAAGAUUUUAUGAUCCAUUUGCCGUGGGUCCCACCAGCUAUGUAGGAAUACCCUAUCUUCUUUAUAAGAGCUUUGAUACAUACAAAAUAUUGGAUCACAAUGUCAGAACAUAUAAUUUUCCCCCCUUAAUAUAGCAAAGUUCACUAAAAGGCCCGAAAAAAUACAUUUAGUUCAAAAUUUGGAGUAGAAAAAAAAACAAUAGAAGAAUUUCAUUUUCCUUCCUCAGUCAUCGGAGAGCUCUCUUUGGGCUUUCCAAAAAGGUAUCACAUGCCAAGUUUGGCCUCACAGUCUAAAAGUUAUAGAGUCAUACAUUUUUAACAAAACAAAAUAGAGAAAAACCGAAAAAAGAGGGAUGCAACACGAGGACUUUCCCGGAGGUAAUCUAUCCUAGUACUACUCUCGCCCAAGCACCCUUAACUGCGGAGUUCUGAUGGGAUCCGGUGCAGUAGUGCUGGUAUGAUCGCAUGUGUUACUACAUGCAAUGUAAUCGUAUCUAUUCUUUUUUAAAGACUUUAUGAUCCAUUUGCCGUGAGUCCCACCAGCUAUGUAGGAAUAUUCUAUCUUCUUUAUAAGAGCUUUGAUACAUGCAAAAUACUGGAAAACAAUGUCCGAACAUAUAAUUUUCCCCACGUAAUAUAGCAAAGAUCACGAAAAGGCCCGAAAAAGUACAUUUAGUUCAAAAUUUGGAGUAGAAAAAAAAACAAUAGAAGAAUUUCAUUUUCCUUCCUCAGUCAUCGGAGAGCUCUCUUUGGGCUUUCCAAAAAGGUAUCACAUGCCAAGUUUGGCCUCACAGUCUAAAAGUUAUAGAGUCAUACAUUUUUAACAAAACAAAAUAGAGAAAAACCGAAAAAAAAGAGGGAUGCAACACGAGGACUUUCUGGGAGGUAAUCUAUCCUAGUACUACUCUCGCCCAAGCACCCUUAACUGCGGAGUUCUGAUGGGAUCCGGUGCAGUAGUGCUGGUAUGAUCGCAUGUGUUACUACAUGCAAUGUAAUCGUAUCUAUUCUUUUUUAAAGACUUUAUGAUCCAUUUGCCGUGAGUCCCACCAGCUAUGUAGGAAUAUUCUAUCUUCUUUAUAAGAUCUUUGAUACAUGCAAAAUACUGGAAAACAAUGUCCGAACAUAUAAUUUUCCCCCCGUAAUAUAGCAAAGAUCACGAAAAGGCCCAGAAAAGUACAUUUAGUUCAAAAUUUGGAGUAGAAAAAAAAACAAUAGAAGAAUUCCAUUUUCCUUCCUCAAUCAUCGGAGAGCUCUCUUUGGGCUUUCCGAAAAGGUAUCUCAUGCCAAGUUUGGCCUCACGAACUAAAAGUUAUAGAGUCAUACAUUUUUAACAAAACAAAAUAGAGAAAAACCGAAAAAAGAGGGAUGCAACACAAGGACUUUCCGGGAGGUCACCCAUCCUAGUACUACUCUCGCCCAAGCACCCUUAACUGCGGAGUUCUGAUGGGAUCCAGUGCAUUAGUGCUGGUAUGAUCGCAUGUGUUACUACAUGCAAUGUAAUCGUAUCUAUUCUUUUUUAAAGAUUUUAUGAUCCAUUUGCCGUGGGUCCCACCAGCUAUGUAGGAAUACCCUAUCUUCUUUAUAAGAGCUUUGAUACAUACAAAAUAUUGGAUCACAAUGUCAGAACAUAUAAUUUUCCCCCCUUAAUAUAGCAAAGUUCACUAAAAGGCCCGAAAAAAUACAUUUAGUUCAAAAUUUGGAGUAGAAAAAAAAACAAUAGAAGAAUUUCAUUUUCCUUCCUCAGUCAUCGGAGAGCUCUCUUUGGGCUUUCCAAAAAGGUAUCACAUGCCAAGUUUGGCCUCACAGUCUAAAAGUUAUAGAGUCAUACAUUUUUAACAAAACAAAAUAGAGAAAAACCGAAAAAAAGAGGGAUGCAACACGAGGACUUUCUGGGAGGUAAUCUAUCCUAGUACUACUCUCGCCCAAGCACCCUUAACUGCGGAGUUCUGAUGGGAUCCGGUGCAGUAGUGCUGGUAUGAUCGCAUGUGUUACUACAUGCAAUGUAAUCGUAUCUAUUCUUUUUUAAAGACUUUAUGAUCCAUUUGCCGUGAGUCCCACCAGCUAUGUAGGAAUAUUCUAUCUUCUUUAUAAGAGCUUUGAUACAUGCAAAAUACUGGAAAACAAUGUCCGAACAUAUAAUUUUCCCCCCGUAAUAUAGCAAAGAUCACGAAAAGGCCCGAAAAAGUACAUUUAGUUCAAAAUUUGGAGUAGAAAAAAAAACAAUAGAAGAAUUCCAUUUUCCUUCCUCAAUCAUCGGAGAGCUCUCUUUGGGCUUUCCGAAAAGGUAUCUCAUGCCAAGUUUGGCCUCACGAACUAAAAGUUAUAGAGUCAUACAUUUUUAACAAAACAAAAUAGAGAAAAACCGAAAAAAGAGGGAUGCAACACAAGGACUUUCCGGGAGGUCACCCAUCCUAGUACUACUCUCGCCCAAGCACCCUUAACUGCGGAGUUCUGAUGGGAUCCAGUGCAUUAGUGCUGGUAUGAUCGCAUGUGUUACUACAUGCAAUGUAAUCGUAUCUAUUCUUUUUUAAAGAUUUUAUGAUCCAUUUGCCGUGGGUCCCACCAGCUAUGUAGGAAUACCCUAUCUUCUUUAUAAGAGCUUUGAUACAUACAAAAUAUUGGAUCACAAUGUCAGAACAUAUAAUUUUCCCCCCUUAAUAUAGCAAAGUUCACUAAAAGGCCCGAAAAAAUACAUUUAGUUCAAAAUUUGGAGUAGAAAAAAAAACAAUAGAAGAAUUUCAUUUUCCUUCCUCAGUCAUCGGAGAGCUCUCUUUGGGCUUUCCAAAAAGGUAUCACAUGCCAAGUUUGGCCUCACAGUCUAAAAGUUAUAGAGUCAUACAUUUUUAACAAAACAAAAUAGAGAAAAACCGAAAAAAAGAGGGAUGCAACACGAGGACUUUCUGGGAGGUAAUCUAUCCUAGUACUACUCUCGCCCAAGCACCCUUAACUGCGGAGUUCUGAUGGGAUCCGGUGCAGUAGUGCUGGUAUGAUCGCAUGUGUUACUACAUGCAAUGUAAUCGUAUCUAUUCUUUUUUAAAGACUUUAUGAUCCAUUUGCCGUGAGUCCCACCAGCUAUGUAGGAAUAUUCUAUCUUCUUUAUAAGAGCUUUGAUACAUGCAAAAUACUGGAAAACAAUGUCCGAACAUAUAAUUUUCCCCCCGUAAUAUAGCAAAGAUCACGAAAAGGCCCGAAAAAGUACAUUUAGUUCAAAAUUUGGAGUAGAAAAAAAAACAAUAGAAGAAUUCCAUUUUCCUUCCUCAAUCAUCGGAGAGCUCUCUUUGGGCUUUCCGAAAAGGUAUCUCAUGCCAAGUUUGGCCUCACGAACUAAAAGUUAUAGAGUCAUACAUUUUUAACAAAACAAAAUAGAGAAAAACCGAAAAAAGAGGGAUGCAACACAAGGACUUUCCGGGAGGUCACCCAUCCUAGUACUACUCUCGCCCAAGCACCCUUAACUGCGGAGUUCUGAUGGGAUCCGGUGCAUUAGUGCUGGUAUGAUCGCCCGUGUUACUACAUGCAAUGCAAUCGUAUCUAUUCUUUUUUAAAGAUUUUAUGAUCCAUUUGCCGUGGGUCCCACCAGCUAUGUAGGAAUACCCUAUCUUCUUUAUAAGAGGUUUGAUACAUACAAAAUAUUGGAUCACAAUGUCAGAACAUAUAAUUUUCCCCCCUUAAUAUAGCAAAGAUCACUAAAAGGCCCGAAAAAAUACAUUUAGUUCAAAAUUUGGAGUAGAAAAAAAAACAAUAGAAGAAUUCCAUUUUCCUUCCUCAGUUAUCGGAGAACUCUCUUUGGGCUUUCCGAAAAGGUAUCACAUGCCAAGUUUGGCCUCACGGUCUAAAAGAUAUAGAGUCAUACAUUAUUAACAAAACAAAAUAGAGAAAAACCGAAAAAAAGAAGGAUGCAACACGAGGACUUUGCGGGAGGUAAUCUAUCCUAGUACUACUCUCGCCCAAGCACCCUUAACUGCGGAGUUCUGAUGGGAUCCGGUGCAUUAGUGCUGGUAUGAUCGCAUGUGUUACUACAUGCAAUGUAAUCGUAUCUAUUCUUUUUUAAAGACUUUAUGAUCCAUUUGCCGUGGGUCCNNNNNNNNNNNNNNNNNNNNNNNNNNNNNNNNNNNNNNNNNNNNNNNNNNACAUGCCAAGUUUGGCCUUACGGUCUAAAAGUUAUAGAGUAAUACANUUUUUAACAAAAAAAAAAGAAAAAAACCGAAAACAAAGAGGGAUGCAACACGAAGACUUUCCUGGAGGUCACCCAUCCUAGUACUACUCUCGCCCAAGCACACUUAACUGCGGUGUUCUGAUAGGAUCAAGUGCAUUAGUGCUGGUAUGAUCGCAUCAGUUACUACAUGCAAUGCAAUCAUAUAUAUUCUUUUUUGAAGACUUUAUGAUCCAUUUGCCGUAGGUCCCACCAGCUAUGUAGGAAUACCCUAUCUCGUUUAUAAGAGCUUUGAUACAUGCAAAAUAUUCGAAAACAAUGUCCGAACAUAUAAUUUUUGUCCCGUAAUAUAGCAAAGAUCGCGAAAAGGCCAUAAAAAAUACAUUUCGGUCAAAAUUUGGAGUAGAAAAAAAACCCUUCCUCAUUCAUUGGACAGCUCUCUUUGGGCUUUCCGAAAAGGUAUCACAUGCCAAGUUUGGCCUCACGGUCUAAACCUUAUAGACUCAUACAUUUUUCACAAAAAAAAGAAGAGAAAAACCAAAAAAAAGAGUGAUUAAACACGAGGACUUUCCUGGAGGUCACCCAUCCUAGUACUACUCUCGCCCAAGCACGCUUAACUGCGAAGUUCUGAUGGGAUCUGGUGCAUUAGUGCUGGUAUGAUCGCAUCUGUUACUACAUGCAAUGCAAUCGUAUUUAUUCUUUUUUGAAGAUUUUAUGAUUCAUUUACCGUGGGUCCCACCAGCUAUGUAGGAAUAACCUAUCUUAUUUAUAAAAGCUUUGAUACAUGCAAAAUAUUAGAAAACAAUGUCCGAACAUAUAAUGUUCGCCCCAAAAUAUAGCAAAGACCACAAAAAUGCCAUAAAAAGUACAUUAAGGUCAAAAUUUGGAGUAGGAAAAAAAUCAAUAGGAGAAUUCCAUUUUCCUUCCUUCAUUCAUCGGAGAGCUCUCUUUGGGCAUUCCAAAAAGGUAUCACAUGCCAAGUUUGGCCUCACGGUCUAAAAGUUAUAGAGUAAUACAUUUUUAACAAAAAAAAAAGAAAAAAACCGAAAACAAAGAGGGAUGCAACACGAAGACUUUCCUGGAGGUCACCCAUCCUAGUACUACUCUCGCCCAAGCACACUUAACUGCGGUGUUCUGAUAGGAUCAAGUGCAUUAGUGCUGGUAUGAUCGCAUCAGUUACUACAUGCAAUGCAAUCAUAUAUAUUCUUUUUUGAAGACUUUAUGAUCCAUUUGCCGUAGGUCCCACCAGCUAUGUAGGAAUACCCUAUCUCGUUUAUAAGAGCUUUGAUACAUGCAAAAUAUUCGAAAACAAUGUCCGAACAUAUAAUUUUUGUCCCGUAAUAUAGCAAAGAUCACGAAAAGGCCAGAAAAAAUACAUUUCGGUCAAAAUUUGGAGUAGAAAAAAAACCCUUCCUCAUUCAUUGGACAGCUCUUUUUGGGCUUUCCGAAAAGGUAUCACAUGCCAAGUUUGGCCUCACGGUCUAAACCUUAUAGACUCAUACAUUUUUCACAAAAAAAAGAAGAGAAAAACCAAAAAAAAGAGUGAUUAAACACGAGGACUUUCCUGGAGGUCACCCAUCCUAGUACUACUCUCGCCCAAGCACGCUUAACUGCGAAGUUCUGAUGGGAUCUGGUGCAUUAGUGCUGGUAUGAUCGCAUCUGUUACUACAUGCAAUGCAAUCGUAUCUAUUCUUUUUUGAAGAUUUUAUGAUUCAUUUACCGUGGGUCCCACCAGCUAUGUAGGAAUAACCUAUCUUAUUUAUAAAAGCUUUGAUACAUGCAAAAUAUUCGAAAACAAUGUCCGAACAUAUAAUGUUCGCCCCAAAAUAUAGCAAAGACCACAAAAAUGCCAUAAAAAGUACAUUAAGGUCAAAAUUUGGAGUAGGAAAAAAAUCAAUAGGAGAAUUCCAUUUUCCUUCCCUCAUUCAUCGGAGAGCUCUCUUUGGGCAUUCCAAAAAGGUAUCACAUGCCAAGUUUGGCCUCACGGUCUAAAAGUUAUAGAGUAAUACAUUUUUAACAAAAACAAAAGAAAAAAACCGAAAACAAAGAGGGAUGCAACACGAAGACUUUCCUGGAGGUCACCCAUCCUAGUACUACUCUCGCCCAAGUACACUUAACUGCGGUGUUCUGAUAGGAUCAAGUGCAUUAGUGCUGGUAUGAUCGCAUCAGUUACUACAUGCAAUGCAAUCAUAUAUAUUCUUUUUUGAAGACUUUAUGAUCCAUUUGCCGUAGGUCCCACCAGCUAUGUAGGAAUACCCUAUCUUGUUUAUAAGAGCUUUCAUACAUGCAAAAUAUUCAAAAACAAUGUCCGAACAUAUAAUUUUUGUCCCGUAAUAUAGCAAAGAUCACGAAAAGGCCAGAAAAAAUACAUUUCGGUCAAAAUUUGGAGUAGAAAAAAAACCCUUCCUCAUUCAUUGGACAGCUCUCUUUGGGCUUUCUGAAAAGGUAUCACAUGCCAAGUUUGGCCUCACGGUCUAAACCUUAUAGACUCAUACAUUUUUCACAAAAAAAAGAAGAGAAAAACCAAAAAAAAGAGUGAUUAAACACGAGGACUUUCCUGGAGGUCACCCAUCCUAGUACUACUCUCGCCCAAGCACGCUUCACUGCGAAGUUCUGAUGGGAUCUGGUGCAUUAGUGCUGGUAUGAUCGCAUCUGUUACUACAUGCAAUGCAAUCGUAUCUAUUCUUUUUUGAAGAUUUUAUGAUUCAUUUACCGUGGGUCCCACCAGAUAGGAAUAACCUAUCUUAUUUAUAAAAGCUUUGAUACAUGCAAAAUAUUCGAAAACAAUGUCCGAACAUAUAAUGUUCGCCCCAAAAUAUAGCAAAGACCACAAAAAUGCAAUAAAAAGUACAUUAAGGUCAAAAUUUGGAGUAGGAAAAAAAUCAAUAGGAGAAUUCCAUUUUCCUUCCCUCAUUUAUCGGAGAGCUCUCUUUGGGCAUUCCAAAAAGGUAUCACAUGCCAAGUUUGGCCUCACGGUCUAAAAGUUAUAGAGUAAUACAUUUUUAACAAAACAAAAAAGAAAAAAACCGAAAACAAAGAGGGAUGCAACACGAAGACUUUCCUGGAGGUCACCCAUCCUAGUACUACUCUCGCCCAAGCACACUUAACUGCGGUGUUCUGAUAGGAUCAAGUGCAUUAGUGCUGGUAUGAUCGCAUCAGUUACUACAUGCAAUGCAAUCAUAUAUAUUCUUUUUUGAAGACUUUAUGAUCCAUUUGCCGUAGGUCCCACCAGCUAUGUAGGAAUACCCUAUCUUGUUUAUAAGAGCUUUGAUACAUGCAAAAUAUACGAAAACAAUGUCCGAACAUAUAAUUUUUGUCCCGUAAUAUAGCAAAAAGGCCAGAAAAAAUACAUUUCGGUCAAAAUUUGGAGUAGAAAAAAAACCCUUCCUCAUUCAUUGGACAGCUCUCUUUGGGCUUUCCGAAAAGGUAUCACAUGCCAAGUUUGGCCUCACGGUCUAAACCUUAUAGGCUCAUACAUUUUUCACAAAAAAAAGAAAAGAAAAACCAAAAAAAAGAGUGAUUAAACACGAGGACUUUCCGGGAGGUCACCCAUCCUAGUACUACUCUCGCCGAAGCACGCUUAACUGCGAAGUUCUGAUGGGAUCUGGUGCAUUAGUGCUGGUAUGAUCGCAUCUGUUACUACAUGCAAUGCAAUCGUAUCUAUUCUUUUUUGAAGAUUUUAUGAUUCAUUUACCGUGGGUCCCACCAGCUAUGUAGGAAUAACCUAUCUUAUUUAUAAAAGCUUUGAUACAUGCAAAAUAUUCGAAAACAAUGUCCGAACAUAUAAUGUUCGCCCCAAAAUAUAGCAAAGACCACAAAAAUGCCAUAAAAAGUACAUUAAGGUCAAAAUUUGGAGUAGGAAAAAAAUCAAUAGGAGAAUUCCAUUUUCCUUCCCUCAUUCAUCGGAGAGCUCUCUUUGGGCAUUCCAAAAAGGUAUCACAUGCCAAGUUUGGCCUCACGGUCUAANAGUUAUAGAGUAAUACAUUUUUAACAAAAAAAAAAGAAAAAAACCGAAAACAAAGAGGGAUGCAACACGAAGACUUUCCUGGAGGUCACCCAUCCUAGUACUACUCUCGCCCAAGUACACUUAACUGCGGUGUUCUGAUAGGAUCAAGUGCAUUAGUGCUGGUAUGAUCGCAUCAGUUACUACAUGCAAUGCAAUCAUAUAUAUUCUUUUUUGAAGACUUUAUGAUCCAUUUGCCGUAGGUCCCACCAGCUAUGUAGGAAUACCCUAUCUUGUUUAUAAGAGCUUUGAUACAUGCAAAAUAUUCGAAAACAAUGUCCGAACAUAUAAUUUUUGUCCCGUAAUAUAGCAAAGAUCACGAAAAGGCCAGAAAAAAUACAUUUCGGUCAAAAUUUGGAGUAGAAAAAAAGCCCUUCCUCAUUCAUUGGACAGCUCUCUUUGGGCUUUCCGAAAAGGUAUCACAUGCCAAGUUUGGCCUCACGGUCUAAACCUUAUAGACUCAUACAUUUUUCACAAAAAAAAGAAGAGAAAAACCAAAAAAAAGAGUGAUUAAACACGAGGAUUUUCCUGGAGGUCACCCAUCCUAGUACUACUCUCGCCCAAGCACGCUUAACUGCGAANNNNNNNNNNNNNNNNNNNNNNNNNNNNNNNNNNNNNNNNNNNNNNNNNNGUGUUACUACAUGCAAUGUAAUCGUAUCUAUUCUUUUUUAAAGACUUUAUGAUCCAUUUGCCGUGGGUCCCACCAGCUAUGUAGGAAUAUCCUAUAUUCUUUAUAAGAGCUUUGAUACAUGCAAAAUAUUCGAAAACAAUGUCCGAACAUAUAAUUUCCCCCCCGUAAUAUAGCAAAGAUCACGAAAAGGCCCAAAAAAGUACAUUAAGUUUAAAAUUUGGAGUAGAAAAAAAACCAAUAGAAAAAUUCCAUUUUCCUUCCUCAGUCAUCGAAGAGCUCUCUUUGGGCUUUCUGAAAAGGUAUCACAUGCCAAGUUUGGCCUCACGGUCUAAAAGUUAUAGAGUCAUACAUUUUUAACAAAACAAAAAGAGAAAAACCGAAAAAAACAGGGAUGCAACACGAGGACUUUCCUGGAGGUCUCCCAUCCUAGUACUACUCUCGCCCAAGCACCCUUAACUGCGUAGUUCUGAUGGGAUCCGAUGCAUUAGUGCUGGUAUGAUCGCAUCUGUUACUACAUGCAAUGUAAUCGUAUCUAUUCUUUUUUAAAGACNUUUAUGAUCCAUUUGCCGUGGGUCCCACCAGCUAUGUAGGAAUACCCUAUCUUCUUAAUAAGAGCCUUGAUAAAUGCAAAAUAUUGGAAAACAAUGUCCGAACAUAUAAUGCCCCCCCCCCCGUAAUAUAGCAAAGAUCACGAAAAUGCCCAAAAAAGUACAUUUAGGUCAAAAUUUGAGUAGAAAAAAAAACAAUAGAAGAAUUCCAUUUUCCUUCCUCAUUUAUCGGAGAGCUCUCUUUGGGCUUUCCGAAAAGGUAUCACAUGACAAGUUUGGCCUCACGGUCUAAAAGAUAUAGAGUCAUACAUUAUUAACAAAACAAAAUAGAGAAAAACCGAAAAAAAAGAGGGAUGCAACGCGAGGACUUUCCGGGAGGUAAUCUAUCCUAGUACUACUCUCGCCCAAGCACCCUUACCUGCGGAGUUCUGAUGGGAUCCGGUGCAGUAGUGCUGGUAUGAUCGCAUGUGUUACUACAUGCAAUGCAAUCAUAUAUAUUCUUUUUUGAAGACUUUAUGAUCCAUUUGCCGUAGGUCCCACCAGCUAUGUAGGAAUACCCUAUCUUGUUUAUAAGAGCUUUGAUACAUGCAAAAUAUUCGAAAACAAUGUCCGAACAUAUAAUUUUUGUCCCGUAAUAUAGCAAAGAUCACGAAAAGGCCAGAAAAAAUACAUUUCGGUCAAAAUUUGGAGUAGAAAAAAACCCCUUCCUCAUUCAUUGGACAGCUCUCUUUGGGCUUUCCGAAAAGGUAUCACAUGCCAAGUUUGGUCUCACGGUUUAAAAGUUAUAGAGUCAUACAUUUUUCACAAAAAAAAGAAGAGAAAAAACAAAAAAAAGAGUGAUGAAACACGAGGACUUUCCUAGAGGUCACCCAUCCUAGUACUACUCUCGCCCAAGCACGCGUAACUGCGAAGUUCUGAUGGGAUCUGGUGCAUUAGUGCUGGUAUGAUCGCAUCUGUUACUACAUGCAAUGCAAUCGUAUCUAUUCUUUUUUGAAGAUUUUAUGAUCCAUUUGCAGUGGGUCCCACCAGCUAUGUAGGAAUACCCUAUCUUGUUUAUAAGAGCUUUGAUACAUGCAAAAUCUUCGAAAACAAUGUCCGAACAUAUAAUUUUCGCCCCGUAAUAUAGCAAAGAUCACGAAAAUGCCAAAAUAGUACAUUAAGGUCAAAAUUUGGAGUAGGAAAAAAAACCCUUCAUCAUUCAUUGGAGAGCUCUCUCUGGGCUUUCCGAAAAGGUAUCACAUGCCAAGUUUGGCCUCACGGUCUAAAAGUUAUAAAGUCAUACAUUUUUAACAAAAAAAAAAGAGAAAAACCGAAAAAAAGAGUUAUGUAACACGAGGACUUUCCUGGAGGUCACCCGUCCUAGUACUACUCUCGCCCAAACACGCUUAACUGUGGUGUUCUGAUAGGAUCAAGUGCAUUAGUGCUGGUAUGAUCGCAUCAGUUACUACAUGCAAUGCAAUCAUAUAUAUUCUUUUUUGAAAACUUUAUGAUCCAUUUGCCGUAGGUCCCACCAGCUAUGUCGGAAUACCCUAUCUUGUUUAUAAGAGCUUUGAUACAUGCAAAAUAUUCGAAAACAAUGUCCGAACAUAUAAUUUUUGUCCCGUAAUAUAGCAAAGAUCACGAAAAGGCCAAAAAAAAUACAUUUCGGUCAAAAUUUGGAGUAGAAAAAAACCCCUUCCUCAUUCAUUCGACAACUCUCUUUGGGCUUUCCGAAAAGGUAUCACAUGCCAAGUUUGGUCUCACGGUCUAAAAGUUAUAGAGUCAUACAUUUUUCACAAAAAAAAGAAGAGAAAAAACCAAAAAAAGAGUGAUGAAACACGAGGACUUUCCUGGAGGUCACUCAUGCUAGUACUACUCUCGCCCAAGCACGCUUAACUGCGAAGUUCUGAUGGGAUCUGGUGCAUUGGUGAUGGUAUGAUCGCAUCUGUUACUACAUGCAAUGCAAUCGUAUCUAUUUUUUUUUGAAGAUUUUAUGAUCCAUUUGCAGUGUGUCCCACCAGCUAUGUAGGAAUACCCUAUCUUGUUUAUAAGAGCUUUGAUACAUGCAAAAUAUUCGAAAACAAUGUCCGAACAUAUAAUUUUUGUCCCGUAAUAUAGCAAAGAUCACGAAAAGACCAGAAAAAAUACAUUUCGGUCAAAAUUUGGAGUAGAAAAAAAACCCUUCCUCAUUCAUUGGACAGCUCUCUUUGGGCUUUCCGAAAAGGUAUCACAUGCCAAGUUUGGUCUCACGGUUUAAAAGUUAUAGAGUCAUACAUUUUUCACAAAAAAAAGAAGAGAAAAAACAAAAAAAAGAGUGAUGAACCACGAGGACUUUCCUGGAGGUCACCCAUCCUAGUACUACUCUCGCCCAAGCACGCGUAACUGCGAAGUUCUGAUGGGAUCUGGUGCAUUAGUGCUGGUAUGAUCACAUCUGUUACUACAUGCAAUGCAAUCGUAUCUAUUCUUUUUUGAAGAUUUUAUGAUCCAUUUGCAGUGGGUCCCACCAGCUAUGUAGGAAUACCCUAUCUUGUUUAUAAGAGCUUUGAUACAUGCAAAAUCUUCGAAAACAAUGUCCGAACAUAUAAUUUUCGCCCCGUAAUAUAGCAAAGAUCACGAAAAUGCCAAAAUAGUACAUUUAGGUCAAAAUUUGGAGUAGGAAAAAAAAACCUUCAUCAUUCAUUGGAUAGCUCUCUCUGGGCUUUUCGAAAAGGUAUCACAUGCCAAGUUUGGCCUCACGGUCUAAAAGUUAUAAAGUCAUACAUUUUUAACAAAAAAAAAAGAGAAAAACCGAAAAAAAGAGUUAUGAACCACGAGGACUUUCCUGGAGGUCACCCGUCCUAGUACUACUCUCGCCCAAACACGCUUAACUGCGGUGUUCUGAUAGGAUCAAGUGCAUUAGUGCUGGUAUGAUCGCAUCAGUUACUACAUGCAAUGCAAUCAUAUAUAUUCUUUUUUGAAGACUUUAUGAUCCAUUUGCCGUAGGUCCCACCAGCUAUGUAGGAAUACCCUAUCUUGUUUAUAAGAGCUUUGAUACAUGCAAAAUAUUCGAAAACAAUGUCCGAACAUAUAAUUUUUGUCCCGUAAUAUAGCAAAGAUCACGAAAAGGCCAAAAAAAAUACAUUUCGGUCAAAAUUUGGAGUAGAAAAAAACCCCUUCCUCAUUCAUUGGACAGCUCUCUUUGGGCUUUCCGAAAAGGUAUCACAUGCCAAGUUUGGUCUCACGGUCUAAAAGUUAUAGAGUCAUACAUUUUUCAGAAAAAAAAGAAGAGAAAAAACCAAAAAAAGAGUGAUGAAACACGAGGACUUUCUUGGAGGCCACCCAUCCUAGUACUACUCUCGCCCAAGCACGCUUAACUGCGAAGUUCUGAUGGGAUCUGGUGCAUUAGUGAUGGUAUGAUCGCAUCUGUUACUACAUGCAAUGCAAUCGUAUCUAUUCUUUUUUGAAGAUUUUAUGAUCCAUUUGCAGUGGGUCCCACCAGCUAUGUAGGAAUACCCUAUCUUGUUUAUAAGAGCUUUGAUACAUGCAAAAUAUUCGAAAACAAUGUCCGAACAUAUAAUUUUCGCCCCGUAAUAUAGCAAAGAUCACGAAAAUGCCGAAAUAGUACAUUAAGGUCAAAAUUUGGAGUAGGAAAAAAAAACCUUCCUCAUUCAUUGGAGAGCUCUCUUUGGGUUUUCCGAAAAGGUAUCACAUGCCAAGUUUGGCCUCACGGUCUAAAAGUUAUAAAGUCAUACAUUUUUAACAAAAAAAAAAAGAGAAAAACCGAAAAAAAGAGUUAUGCAACACGAGGACUUUCCUGGAGGUCACCCGUCCUAGUACUACUCUCGCCCAAACACGCUUAACUACGGUGUUCUGAUAGGAUCAAGUGCAUUAGUGCUGGUAUGAUCGCAUCAGUUACUACAUGCAAUGCAAUCAUAUAUAUUCUUUUUUGAAGACUUCAUGAUCCAUUUGCCGUAGGUCCCACCAGCUAUGUAGGAAUACCCUAUCUUGUUUAUAAGAGCUUUGAUACAUGCAAAAUAUUCGAAAACAAUGUCCGAACAUAUAAUUUUUGUCCCGUAAUAUAGCAAAGAUCACGAAAAGGCCAGAAAAAAUAAAUUUCGGUCAAAAUUUAGAGUAGAAAAAAACCCCUUCCUCAUUCAUUGGACAACUCUCUUUGGGCUUUCCGAAAAGGUAUCACAUGCCAAGUUUGGCCUCACGGUCUAAAAGUUAUAGAGUCAUACAUUUUUCACAAAAAAAAGAAGAGAAAAACCAAAAAAAAGAGUGAUGAAACACGAGGACUUUCCUGGAGGUCACCCAUCCUAGUACUACUCUCGCCCAAGCACGCUUAACGGCGGUGUUCUGAUAGGAUCAAUUACAUUUGUGCUGGUAUGAUCGCAUCAGUUACUACAUGCAAUGCGAUCAUAUAUAUUCUUUUUUGAAGACUUUACAAUCCAUUUGUCGUAGGUCCCACCAGCUAUGUAGGAAUCCCCUAUCUUGUUUAUAAGAGCUUUGAUACAUGCAAAAUAUUCGAAAACAAUGUUCGAACAUAUAAUUUUUCGCCCCGUAAUAUAGCAAAGAUCACGAAAAGGCCAGAAAAAGUACAUUUAGGUCAAAAUUUGGAGUAGAAAAAACCCCCCCUUCCUCAUUCAUUGGAGAGCUCUCUUUGGGCUUUCCGGAAAGGUAUCACAUGCCAAGUUUGGCCUCACGGUCUAAACCUUAUAGACUCAUACAUUUUUAACAAAAAAAAGAAGAGAAAAAACGAAAAAAAGAAGGAUACAACACGAGGACUUUCCGAGAGGUUACCCAUCUUCGUACUACUCUCGCACAAGUACGCUUAACUGCGGAGUUCUGAUGGGAUCUGGUGCAUUAGUGCUGGUAUGAUCGCAUCUGUUAUUACAUGCAAUGCAAUCGUAUCUAUUCUUUUUUCAAGACUUUAUGAUCCAUUUGCCGUGGGUCCCACCAGCUACGUAGGAAUACCCUAUCUUGUUUAUAAGAGCUUUGAUACAUGCAAAAUAUUCGAAAACAAUGUCCGAACAUAUAAUUUUCGUCCCGUAAUAUAGCAAAGAUCACAAAAAGGCCAGAAAGAGUACAUUUACGUCAAAAUUUGGAUAGAAAAAAAACAAAUAGAAGAAUUCCAUUUUGACUUCCUCAUUCAUCGGAAAGCUCUCUUUGGGCUUUCCGAAAAGGUAUCACAUGCCAAGUUUGGAAUCACGGUUUAAAAGUUAUAGAGUCAUACAUUUUUAACAAAAAAUAAAGAGAAAACCCGAAAAAUGAGGGAUGCAACACGAGGACUUUUCGGGAGGUCACCCAUCGUAGUACUACUCUCGCCCAAGCACGCUUAACUGUAGAGUUCUGAUGGGAUCCGGUUCAUUAUUGCUGGUAUGAUCGCAUCCGUUACUACAUGCAAUGCAAUCGUAUCUAUUCUUUUUUGAAGACUUUAUGAUCCAUUUGCCGUGGGUCCCACCAGCUAUGUUGGAAUACCCUAUCUUGUUUAUAAGAGCUUUGUUACAUGCAAAAUAUUCGAAAACAAUGUCCGAACAUAUAAUAUUUGCCCCGUAAUAUAGCAAAGAUCACGAAAAGGCCAGAAAACCUAUAUUAAGUUCAAAAUUUGGAGUAGAAAAAAACCAAUAGAAGAAUUCCAUUUUCCUUCCUCACUCAUCGGAGAGCUCUCUUUGGGGCUUUCCGAAAAGGUAUCACAUGCAAAGUUUGGCCUCACAGGCUAAAAGUUAUAGAGUCGUACAUUUUUAACAAAAAAAAAAAGAGAAAAGCCGAAAAAAAGAAGGAUGCAACACAAGGACUUUCCGGGAGGUCAGCCAUCCUAAUAUUACUCUCGCCCAAGCACGCUUAACUGUAGAGUUCUGAUGGGAUCCGGUGCAUUAGUGCUGGUAUGAUCGCAUCUGUUACUACAUGCAAUGCAAUCGUAUCUAUUCUUUUUUUAAGACUUUAUGAUCCAUUUACCGUGGGUCCCACCAGCUACGUAGGAAUAACCUAUCUUAUUUAUAAGAGCUUUGAUACAUGCAAAAUAUUCGAAAACAAUGUCCGAACAUAUAAUUUUCGUCCCGUAAUAUAGCAAAGAUCACAAAAAGGCCAGAAAGAGUACAUUAAGGUCAAAAUUUUGGAGUAGAAAAAAAAACCCUUCCUCAUUCAUUAAAGAGCUCUCUUUGGCAUUUCCGAAAAGGUGUCACAUGCCAAGUUCGGCCUCACGGUCUAAAAGUUAUAGAGUCAUACAUUGUUAACAAAAAAAAAGAGAAAAACCGAUUAAAAGAGUUAUGCAACACAAGGACUUUCCUGGAGGUCACCCGUCCUAGUACUACUCUCGCCCAAGCACGCUUAAAUGCGGAGUUCUGAUGGGAUCCGGUCCAUGAGUGGUGGUAUGAUCACAUCCGUUACUACAUGCAAUGCAAUCGUAUCUAUUAUUUUUUGAAGACUUUAUGAUCCAUUUGCCGUGGGUCCCACCAGCUAUGUAGGAAUACCCUAUCUUGUUUAUAAGAGCUUUGAUACAUCCAAAAUAUUCGAAAACAAUGUUGGAACGUAUAAGUUUCGCUCAGUAAUAUAGCAAAGAUCACGAAAAGGCCACAAAAAGUACAUUAAGGUAAAAAUUUAGAGUAGGAAAAAAAAACAAUAGGAGAAUUCCAUGUUCCUUCCUCAAUCAUCGGAGAGCUCUCUUUGGGCUUUCCAAAAAGGUAUCACAUGCCAAGUUUGGCCUCACGGUCUAAAAGUUAUAGAGUCAUACAUUUUUAACAAAAAAAAAUAGAGAAAAACCAAAAAAAAGAGGGAUGCAACACGAAGACUUUCCUGGAGGUCACCCAUCCUAGUACUACUCUCGCCCAAGCACGCUUAACUGCGGUGUUCUGAUAGGAUCAAGUGCAUUAGUGCUGGUAGGAUCGCAUUCGUUACUACAUGCAAUGCAAUUAUAUAUAUUCUUUUUUGAAGACUUUAUGAUCCAUUUGCGGUAGGUCCCACCAGCUAUGUAGGAAUACCCUAUCUUGCUUAUAAGAGUUUUGAUACAUGCAAAAAUAUUCGAAAACAAUGUCCGAACAUAUAAUUUUUGUCCCGUAAUAUAACAAAGAUCACGAAAAGGCCAAAAAUAGUACAUUUCGGUCAAAACAUGGAGCAGAAAAAAAACCCCUUCCUCAUUCAUCGGAGAGCUCUCAUUGGGCUUUCCGAAAAGAUAUCACAUGCAAAGUUUGGCCUCACGGUUUAAAAGUUAUAGAGUCAAAUAUUUUUAACAAAAAAAAGAGAGAAAAACCGAAAACAAAGAGGGAUGCAACACGAGGACUUUCCGGAAGGUCACCCAUCCUAGUACUACUCUAGCCCAAGCACGCUUAACCGCGGAGUUCUGAUAGGAUCCGGUGCAUUAGUGCUGGUAUGAUCGCAUCAGUUACUACAUGCAAUGCAAUCAUAUAUAUUUUUUUUGAAGACUUUAUGAUCCAUUUGCCGUGGGUCCCACCAGCUAUGUAGGAAUACCUAUCUUGUUUAUAAGAGCUUUGAUACAUGCAAAAUAUUUGAAAACAAUGUCCGAACGUAUAAUCUUCGUCCCGUAAUAUAGCAAAGAUCACGAAAAGGCCAGAAAAAGUACAUUAAGGUCAAAAUUUUGACUAGAAAAAAAAAACAAUAGAAAAAUUCCAUUGUCCUUCCUCAUUCAUCGGAGAGUUCUCUUUGGGCUUUCCGAAAAGGUAUCACAUGCCAAGUUUGGCCUCACGGUCUAAAACUUAUAGAAUCAUACAUUCUUAACAAAAAAAAAAAAAAAACCGAAAAAAAGAAGAAUGCAACACAAGGACUUUCCAGGAGGUCAACCAUCCUAGUAGUACUCUCGCCCAAUCACGCUUAACUGCAGAGUUCUGAUGGGAUCCGGUGCAUUAGUGCUGGUAUGAUCGCAUC